RNAcentral lists this long non-coding RNA (106395 nucleotides) under Eucalyptus grandis. Its description in RNAcentral is "long non-coding RNA (EGRA_LNC005752)". The record is from RNAcentral. Lineage: Eukaryota; Viridiplantae; Streptophyta; Magnoliopsida; Myrtales; Myrtaceae.
AAGACACAUUCACUUGUUCUCACCCAAGCCCAUCAACCUCUUCAAACUAGGAAAAAACGCCGAAUCGUCCGAGAAAGACGGCUUCUUUUCUCGCCGCAGGUGCUCCUCGAACCAUCUCCACGACGGACCUCGCGGACAGGGGAUGGAAAUCGGCGCUCCAAUUCGACACGAACUCCGCCGCCAUAUCCCUCCGCUCGCCGUCCUCCAUCCUCUCCCACCUCCUCCUCAGCUCGUCCUCCCCCAGGGAGAAGUAGCCGCAGAGCUCGGCGAACAGGAGGGCCCUGCCCUUCCUCAGGGCCUCGUCCUUCUGCUUCUUCUGGGCAUGCACCCUCGCGACCUCCUCCGCCAAGGCGGACGCGAUCUCGGCGUCGCCGGUGGGCCUCUUGGCCCUGCACGACACGGAGGCGGGGAGCGGCUUGCGGGGGUCGAAACGGAGGGGGAGGAGGCGGGAUUUCGGGGGCCGGGGCAGGGCGUGCAGGGGAAGGACGUGGAUUCUCAGCGCCAUUGGAGGGUCGGACUGCUUCGGAGAGGACGAGGAUUCGAAUGGAGGACGACGGUCGGGAAGGAGCAUUUGGGGAGGGGAAAAUCGUCUGAGUGCGGCUCCAAGGGGUUCUUAAAAAAUAAUUUGUAGAUUUCUAAUGAAAUUAACUUCACAUUCGCGUAUAGUUUUCAUAUUCCGACCAAAAAAAAAAAAUAUGGCUUUCGUAUGAUAUGCAAGAUUGUUUCUGUUUUGUGUGAAAGUCGACAACUGAUCAUCAUGUGAAUGAAUUCUGAUCACAUUAAAAAUCUUAAUUUUUCUUCAUUGAGAAAUGAGAAUGCUUAGGCUAUGAAAUUACUAGUUUUGAAACAUUUAGUACCUUUUAGAAAAUGUGUGCAAACACUUGUUGCUAUUAAUUAUUUAGAAAUGAUUAGUGAAUUUUAAUGAAAGGAAAAACGUUCCCCCAUUAAUAUGUGUAAUGGUAUAUACAACCAUUAAUGUACUAACAACAACAAAAAAAAAAAGUCUUUUUCGUCGUGGCUAUUAUCAUGAGACAUACAAUAAGUAUAGAUCUAUAUCUGUUUAAUUUUCCAAAAUAGAAAAGUAAAUUUUAACAAUUUAGUCACACUUUACUUAUUAGCUAGUUUUGAUUCAUCGCAACUUAUAUAAAACAAAGUAUCAGUUGAAUUUGCAAAAAUUGAAAUAAUUUUGAGGGACGGUGUUUUAAUUUGGGAAAGAUUUCAAAAUGUUCCGAUUUAUAUACUAGUAAAAAUAUUGAUUGUGUAAAAUAUAUGGAAAAGGAAAAAAUUAAAGUAGAAGGCCCGUAAUCAUAAUGUGCCCUCUCGCAAAUGAAGAAAUCCAAAUAGAUCAAAGCCAUCAUAACCGUUGAUAAUACAAAUGACAUACAAAUCUAAUUGCCACAAUUGCAAAGGGCCUCCAACCAGGGUCCAAAAUUCCAAAUAGAUCCACCCCCAGUGAUGGACGUGUACUAACAUACAAGAUGGUAUCAUAUCAAGCUACCCAAGAACCUUUCUAGAAUCUCGACUAGCUCGUUCAUGCACCACUUUGAGUCGGCCUAGUUCCUGGAGAACACGAUUAGGGCAAUCCUCGCAUGCCAAAUGGCUUUGAAAAGCUUGGAUUCCAUGUCUUCCCCAAUAUCUUCUCUCGCGUUAUCUUUGAAGCAUAGACACAUAUAAAACUUGGGAGAAUGACACAAAAAGUGCCUUAACUUGUGUUCGGCAUUUACUUUGAUAUCACAACUUUUUGUUGGCUCACUUAAAUAUCAAAAUCGGAGAAAAAUGAUUACUUAAGUCUUUCUAGGAAAAAAUUUUGACUAGAGAAAUCACGUAACUUUUAUAAUUGAAAAUUUUAUCUAAUGUGGCAUUUUUUUGGCAUUGAAAUAAUAAUUUUUUUCCGACAAAAAAAAAAGUGAUAAUUUUUUCAUUAAGGUUGACACUAAAGUAAUCAAUUUAUAACAAUGAUAGACACUGAAGUGAUCAUUUUUUUACAAUGACUAGCAUUGGAAUGAUUACUUCUUAACUUACUAUAUGAAGUUGUUUAAAGGUUUUUUUGGCACUAAAAUGAUCACUUUAUGUUAACAACAACAAUCAACACUAAAAUGAUCACUUUUUUAUAAUGACCGACAACAUUGAAAUAAUCAUUUUCUAACUUGUUACACGAUAUCAUUUAGAGAUUAUAUAUUGACUGACAUGAUGACAAGUCACGUAGGAUUGAUAAAUUAAUAAGAUAUAGCCACGUCAGAUUUUUAGCGACUCAUAUCAAAGUUGACACUUCUAUGAUCAUUUUUUUUUAAGUGACACUUAAGCGAUUCGGCGAAAAAUUGUGGCACCAAAAUGAGGGUAGUACAUAAGUGAAUGCAUUUAUAGUGUUCUUCUCCCUAUAAAAAUUAAAAACUUCAUUUCUCUCUCUUCGUCCACCAUGACAGGCAUCGCCGUACCGUUGCCUCCGCUCAAGCUGCCACCACCUCCAUCCCCGGGCCUUUCGCGACGUCAUGGCCAUCACACCCAGCGGCAAGUUUACACCCUCUACCUUCAUUGCCGCGGAUCUGCUCCUAGCAGAUUUGGAACCAUGGCGGAAGACGGAGCCGACCAAAUCUGAAUAAUGACGUUGCUGGUCCAUGAUCGGUGAGGGGGUUCGUCCACAGACACGAGCCUUGCUCUCCUUGGCUGCUACGACCGGAAUGGGCCACUGCUACGCUAUGAGCUCAAAACAAAAACAGUGGAAAACGAAGUUGAAGACAAGCAGACAUACAAAGGACUGUGACGCCGAAGACAAACUGAGUAAGACGAAGCUGAAGACCAGAUCAUGAGCCAUGGUGAUGGCGAGAAGGCGAAGCAACCAGAUCUGGCUGGUGGCCGAAGACGAAUGGACCUCACCAUCAAGGCUCAGGGCCAUGGACAAACUCCAAAUCUGGAAGUCCCAGUCUUUGUGCUCGUCUCAUGACGGAGGGACAUGGUCAUCAUGGCUCCAGGCCUAGUUCGGAGGAAGACGAACAUGAUAGAGGGAGUGGCUCAGUUUGGACACCUAGCAGUGUUGGCCUGGAUGCGGCGCCGGGCGAUGGCAGUGGUCAAGCUCAGAGGUGGUGUGGACGGAGGGGAAGAGAGAGACACUAGGUGGUCCGAAUAGAUUUCUAUUUUUUUUCAUUUUAUUUCAUUGUCAAGCGGACCAAAAUGCUCGCUUCCCUGAAGUAUUGGAUAGAGGCCUGAUUCAAAGCAUGGAAGAGGCGUGACAUGAAGUUUUUCCUCAGGUCCUUGCCUCGGAAACUCACGUAGACAUGAUAUUUCCACUGAGGAGGACGGCGAGGAGGAGCUGGUCGUGGUGGUAGAGGAGCAGAAGGGUAAGGAUACAUGAUUUCAGACAUUGAUUCGAUGCUCCUACGAUGAUUUGUUAUGCAGUUAGGGGCUAUAAAUAAGGUAAGUUUGAUCAAGACAUUGGAGAGAGACUUAUUUAAGAAGCAUCCUACGCAGAUUCCAACGGUGCUACUAUUACAAAAUCUGUGUACUUGAUCAUUUAAUCAUCCAGUGUUGUCUACGUGCUAUUUUGUGUGUCAAUUUUGUAAGAUUUUUUUUUUUUUCACCAGCAACAGCAUUGUCUUUGAAUUAUUUUUUUCAUUCGGUAAUGAGCUUAAAAUCCUUAUCCAGGCUCAGGCAUGAUAAUUUUAAAUUUUCUUGAUAUAAUGGCUAGGCGUGGACAGUUGGAUCGGACCUAAGUGGAUGGGUCUGGGAUGAAAAAGAAAUAUGCUUUGCUCAUCCUCGCUCAAAUUGUGUUCGGACCUAAAUAAACUGGUCGGAUUGUCAAAUUCAUGUUCAGAUUUAUUGCAAUAAUUUAUUCGAGGAAAAGGGAAUUAUUGAUUAUUGUGAUCCAUUUCUUUCACUUGAAGAGUAAGUUAAAGACCGAUGAUCUAUUUGGCAUUCAGAAAAAGGAAUUAGACCAUGUUUUCCUCUCAUGGGUUCCUCCAAGCAAGUAUGUGUCAUGUAUGAAUUGCAAGGUAGUGGUGCGCGGAUGAUGAUGAUGAUAACGAUCAGAGAAGUCAGCGGGGGCCAUGGCGGAGUGAUCGCGGAGGUGGAUGAGCUUAGCUAGAAAGGGGAAGAGAGAAAUGAUAUUAAGUUUUUUCGGUUGUGACCGGAGUUAUCCAUACAAAUCUGAUUUCAUUUGUUACCAUCAAUUCUAUAAAUUGGAUUGACUGAUCCCUCAAUCAUGAGUUAAAAGAUUUAAAUAUUAAACUAAGCAUUCAUAUAAUAAUUUAAGUUUUUUAAAUAAUUACCAGUGUCACACAAAAUUUUACUUAGCCCCUUUUUUGUCUCCCUUAUUAUCUGUUUAUACCCUUAAUCUUAGGCCAAACUCCGGGGUACGCUUAUUAUUUUUACAUCAUGUUGGCAGUAAAAUGUAGCCCAACUAUUUUUAAUUUUAUCUUUAGUGAAAUAAGAAUGAAAAAUGAGUUUCCUAUUUGGUUUGAGAAUAUACUACAAUUACAUGUUUCGCAGUGGAAGACAAACACAAUAGGAAAUGCAUUUAGUGAGACAUCGAAUUUGCUCUCAAAGUAGAACACAAAAAAAAAUCAUUUUUUUUAGCACUGAACACUAAGAAGAAGACAGAUUUUCUUCAAAAGUUUCUAUCCCGAGGAAAAAACAUGGCGAAUCUAGUCUAAGGUGAAAGCAGGCUUGUCGUAGAAAGCAUAGGCCAAGCUGAGGAGCAUGUCAAGUUUUAUUGGCCAGGGUAAAAAAACACUUGGAACAAGAAACCUCUUUGCUGGAAGAAAAGAACUCAAACCCAGAAAAUGAGAGAAAAGAAAAAGUGAAAGUGUCCUCUACAAUCUCAUCUUUUUACUAUCAAACUAAAGUGAAGGGGAAAAAAUGAAACUUCAAGAACAUAUUCUAGUCAUUUAUGCUUUUCUUACAUUACAAGGUAUAGUUUCUAAAGUGAUUAUGGGAAAUAAUUCGAGAUGCGCAGAGCAAGCAAAUAAAAAGGAACAGGGGAAUCACAUUUUUUCUUUUGCUUCAUGGGAGACAUUAGGUUGGACACUGUUAAAUUCAACCAACCAUUGCAAUGCGAAGCAAUGCUCAUGAUAAUUUUAUAGGAAUGCCACUGACACAAUAAUCAUUAAUCAUAUCUAUUGACACCUAAAUUUUGGUUAAAUAUUAAGAUUUAAAUUGUAUAGAAAAUUAGGGAUGAGUGUCGCCAACUUUGUGAAAGCAGUUUCAUGACGUUUGUGCGACUAAACAUAUAGAGCAAUUUUGACACACCAAUGAAGAGGAAUUCUUCCAUCGUGAUCUGGUGCAUCAUAAUCAGCAUGAUACCUCCUGUAAUAAUGUGAUUUAAGAAGGCCGUCUGGCCAUAUUGGGCAGCAACUGCCUGUAGCAGAGAGCCUAGCAAAUGAUGGUCAUAAAAAAAUUUACGCUAGAUGCGCAACCCUUCUCAAUGAACAAAAAUGGAGAACAUAUAGGCAAACAGAAUAAAUCACGACUUCAGAAGACGACGUUCCACGAUCUUUUGCAGACAUAGUUUUGUAUUUUUGACACGUGAAUUUUUGUUGAUAUGCGAAAUACACAUAUUUUGCGAAAUACCAAAAAAAAAAAAAAAGGAAAAAGGAAAGGCUUAUUAGAUAUCUGGACUGCGGCCCAGAUCCACGACCAGCAGUGAAGCCCAUUCGUGCUGUCCAGUUCAUUCAAACUAAGCCCAUCAGACGUCAGCCCACUAAACCAGAUCGUUCAAGCCCAGUUCGCACAGCCCAGAUUCGCAUGCGGCCCAAAACCAUUUACUUCAGUCCAUCAAUGAACCCAACAAUUUAAGCCCAGCAGCCCAAAAGCCCAUAAGAAUAAUUAAGUCCGUGAAACAGAGGGCCCAUCUGGAUGAGGUCACGCGAAGGAUUCGCUAGCGACCGCCAACCGCCGCCGUUGGCCGCUUCCCGACUCCGGGCUGUGGUGCUCUGUUACGCUCUGUCUUUCGGACGCCAUUGCUGAAGUCGUUGGAGGCGCGGUUCUUCUCCUCCAUCGCCUGCUCUGAACCUGGAGUUUUCUCUGAAGCAGACCUGCACAUCUCCUUCUUCUCGACUCGACCUUUGCAGAAUUGAAGCUGAUCUUUGGCUCUUCCUCGGUCAAGGAUUUCGACGAUCGAAUCUUCAUUUCGACGGUUUCAGCAAACCUAAUACUAUCGGUUCGUCUGAUCGAGGAAGAAGUUGAGCGAAUUUCCUAGAGCUCCGAUCAUUGAAAGAAUUGAAUUAGAAAUGAGAACAGCUUCAAGUAGAGUCUGGCCAAACUCGAAUUCCAAAUUCCCGCUCUGCAUCACUUGAUCGCUGCUACUGAUUUGACUCAAUUAAUUGCGCUGAUUUUUUCCUCAGUAUUUUCAGAGGCUAUCGUCCUUAAUUUCCGGAGAAACAUCGCCGUCGCCGGUUUCCAGCGCUUCCAUUGCCACUCCAAGUUUGCCCUGCAACCUCUGUUUUUCGGGCGCCAGUGGCCACGGUUGACUCCUUCACAGAUUCGAGCCCUCGAAAUGGAUUCCGCGACUGUUUUGUUCAAUGCUGAUCGGUCAUCGUUGUAGGUAAUCACCGUUUGCUAGAUAGAACCAUAUCCUCUGCUUUAGAUGUAUGAGAAUGAAAGCAGCGGCCAGGAAGCUAGUUCUCGCGAGCUUGAAACUGGCUGCAAUCCUCACUAUUUUGCCGAGGGUUUGUUCUCUCGGAUCAAGUGCACAUUAUCCGUUCUCUGAAAUGCCAGAACCAUGCUAGUAUGAACAUAGUCUUAGGGUGUGUUUGUUUCACGGAAAAUGUAAUGUUUUUGGAAAAUGUUUUCCGGGAAACCAUUUUCCAGGAAAGUGAUUAGUUUUCCUUUGUUUGGUGAUACAUGACUAAAAGUAUUUUCUGGUGUUUGGAUCGCAUUUGAAAAAUGAUCUAACAAUUGAUAAUAGUGUGCCUCUUAUUUCCAAAUUAAUUUGUUGAGUCCAUGUUACUUUAUAAACGGAUUUUUCUCAAUCAAUUUAGUAAAUCUAGAAUUUGAACCUAUAAAAUGAAAAGGAAACUUGAAUUCAUACACGUAUUUUUUUUCCUAAAAAUGGACAUGAUUUCCUGUUACAAGAGCAAGUCAAAACGAUAUCAUUAAUCGCUUCAAUGCAUUUGGCUCUCUUUAGAUGGAUGCACCUCCCAUGCGUAAUAUUAAUUAAUUUGACAAAAAUUAAUGAAAGAUAAAUUCAUUAUAAAUGUACUAGUUUAGAGGUUCUUUGUGAAAAAAAAUUAAUUUAAAAUUUUAAUUUAUAAUAAUUAUAUUGAUUUGAGAUCUUUUAUAUAACAUUAUAUUAAUUUGUAUUUUUUCAUGAUAUUAAGUAGGAAGUAAAUGAAGCGAAAAUAAAGAAAAACAGAGAAAGGAGGAAAACGUCACCAUUUGUCCAUAUAAUCGGCAAUAGCAAGCUAAAAUCUAUUUCUUUCCUUUUCUCAUUAUAGAUUUGAAUGUUUCAAAAGGUUGUGCUUCUCUUUAAUUAAGAGGCAAGAAAUUUGGGAAAAUAAAUAAAAGAAAUACAUCUAAAAAGAAAAAAAAAAAUCUUAGAAGAAACAGUCCUUUUCCAGCAAAAUGAUCCCCCAAAUUUGAACCCCUCGGCUCGCGCACAACCAUCCAAAAUCAAAUCCAUUUUCCGCUCAAAAUUACCAAAAAAAAAAAAACCCAAAUAAAAAAUUAAAAAAAUGGGCUGUCCCCACACCGAACUCCCUCUCUCUCUCUCUCUCUCUCUCUCUCUCUCUAGCCCGACGACACCGAUGGCCGACCCGACCUCCUCGCCGCCCCCUCCUCCGAUCCCUAGCCUCCUCCUCCCGCCAUACUCGCCCCCGCCUCCGCCCCCCGGCCUGGAGCAGCCGCCACAGCCGCCGCCGCCGCAGCAGCAGCCGUGGAUCCUCUUCUCGUUCCCGAAUCGGCCGGCCCUCCGAGUCACCUCCGAGUAUGACAGCGACAGCUCCGUCUUCCUCCAAAAGGUCUCGUGCAAGCUCCUCGACGGCCUCGCCAAGCUCAAGCUCUCCUUCCGCAACGACCGGAAGAGCGAGGUCGCGGAGCCCCGGCUGGCCUUCGUCUCCAAGCACCUCUCCCUCCACUACGACGUCGAAAAAGCGAAAGAACCCAGAAUCGUGUUGAGCGUUGUUGAAGAAGAGCCAGACCUUCAAUGAUGAAGAAGAUCUGGACCUCCAAUGGCGAAGGAGAUGCGUGUCGUUGAAGAAGAGCCGAAGAAGAAAGAGGGAAAGAACGAAGGGAGAGAGCGGCGUACCUCAGAAAAAUUUGGAAAGGAAAAGUGAAAGGACAGAGAAAAAUUGAAAAGGGAAAGUGUUUUCAUCUCCUCACGCGGAGGAAUUCGUUUUCCUAAAAUAACACAUGAGAUUUAUGUUGACCAGAAAGUCAUUUCCGUUGACCAAAUCUGUUUUAGAGAUCCAAACGGCUGAAACUCCGGAAAACACUUUCCGGUAAAAUAUUUUCGGUGAAACAAACACACCCUUAGAUUUGCGCGAAAACAUCUUUUCCGCCUCAUUGAUUCGUAGGUUGGAUAAAUCCAUUGGCUUCAGAGUUAUUCUCUGAGGAUAUCGAUUUGGAUAUGUAUUCGAAGCUUAUGGCUCAUGCGUUUGACUCUAUGAAAUUAGUUAGGAAUAUUGUUGUGCUGAAUUGAAAACACUUGUUGAUUUCUGCUGAUUCCCUUCAUUAGGAAUAGAUUGAAGCGAAGGAUUAUGUAUCCCUUGCACGAGAAAAUUAAUUACGACAAUAAUGGUAGUGCAUGCUCCUAUGCUAGGUGUCAAAAUAUGUUGAUGACCCAUUUUUUUAAACCAUCUUUGAUGAAAUGGGCUAGAAAUGGGUUGCCAUAAUUUCAAUGAAUGGGUUCUAAAUGGGUCUCCAUUUCUACCCAAUCCAACCUACCUGCAAAUCCUCGUCCACUCCUUCGCCCCCAAGCAUUUCUUCGUCCACUACUCCUCUUCUUCUUCCACCUUGUCCUCCUCUACCACAGUGGCCGCCGCCUCCCCCGCUGUCGCCGCCUCCCCUCCAGCCAAGGAAGCUGCUGCAUCCAUGGCCAACACGCAUCCGCCAACUGUACUCGCCACCGCCGACUGCAUCCAUGGCUGAAGCUGCAUCCACUCAAAUUAGGCUUCUUUGUCUUCGCUUCAAACUCAUCAUUUCUUUCUUCUUCUUCGCCAAGAAAGAAUUUCCUGACUUUUGGCUGAUGUGCCUCCACCGACUGUACUAGUGUGAAAUUCAGCAGGGGUAUCUCGGAAUCGAACUUCAUGAACCCAUGCGCGUUGGCCUCCUUCCACACCUUUGCCACAGUCUCUUGACCAUCUUUGAGCCGGCCCUCGUAGACGUGGCCGUACUCACCUUCUCCAACGAAGUUAUCCUUUAACUCUGUACAGGUUCGGAGGCUAGGUGGGACCUUAUUGGGGUUCCGUGAUAUAUUCAAGGUCUGGUGAAGUUUCAAGGUUGAAUACGAAUUGAUUUGUUAGCUUGGUUGUUUGUUAGUGUCUCAAGGUCUAGUGUUUUAGAAAUUGCUGUUAAUUUUGGUUGGUUCGAUAAUGGUGUUAAUGUGCUAUUCGAGAUUGUGUUAUUAGGAUUGGACUACAUUACCACCCCCGUCUGUUUGAUAAAUUGCUCAACUAAGCAGGCAUUCCCACUUAUUUUGACCAAACUUUUGUUCCUCCUUGUGGAAAUAAGCAACAUCAAUUACUAUGAUUUGUCUUUCUGAUAGUGUUCGGGUAUGGGUUUGACAAGCUUCAUACUUGUAACAUCCGGAUGAGCUUUUCGAGCAGGCCUAGUGUACACAAUCCUAUAUUUUGAAAAUAAUCACAAUUAUCAUACGAUAGUAAAUAUAUGUGUUGGGUGCGGAUUGGAUCGGAAUUGAGUUGUUAAACUUGAAUUGAGUAUAAAUUGGUCAAAACGGAUUCAAUUGAUCAAUUUAGGUCGGAUUAUUUUCGGCCUAACCCUAAGUCCAACCCAACUCACCCAUUUGAUAGUCCCAAUGCUGGUUCACUUUGUUCUUUUUCUUUUCUUUUUUUAAGAAUUUCAUUUUGUUCUUUACUUUGUUUGUAUCUGUGGCGACUGGGGAGUGGUCUCUGUCUAGAAUAAAAUUGGAUUUGUUGAAUUUUUAUUUAUUUAUUUACUGGACCUUUAAAUAAUGGAACGAGAGAGAGGGCAGAGUAUACACACCGUCUGUUUGAAAACAAAGAAGAUGGGGGUUAUCUUGAAUUGCUCAGAUGGUGUUCACUGUUCUGUGAAGGAUAGCAGAGUGUACAUGCUAUAGCUCGGGGAUUAUGGGGACUUGGGUCCAGCAGCCGCGGUCCCGAUCGCAGUAGCUCGGAUUUCUAGGCUUCGCCACUAUAAAUCUGAGCACAAGCACUGGAGACCUGGGCCUGGCUCAAUGGACUCGAGUCUAGGUGCCUCGAGCGCGGCAGUUGGGUACCCAAGCCUACGUGACUUGACAUUAAUCGUAAAUUCAACGUAUUACUUUAUAAUAAAUGAGAAUUUGACUUGUGGGUUUAUCAACGAGGAUAGAGAAAACGAAUGACGAAAGCGAAUAAGGAUUGCCCUGGGGGGCUUCAUCAAAGCUCUAAACUUGGUUGAAGUUCUUUGAUGUCGGUCACAGGGAAUAACAUAAACUUAGCUAAGGAAAAAGUUUUCGAUAAAUAUUUUUUCUCAAUUUUCAGAAUAAGUGUUUUCUUGAUUGGAAAUGCUUUUUCAACCGACUUAUUAUUUUAAUCGUUCCAAAUAUCGAAAAGUCCGCAAAAUAAAUUUCCACAAAAAUUCUUUUUCAAGACUAGCUUGUCAUCAAAUGUAAAUAAAUCAAUUAAUCUUUUAAGACAUGUAAUUAUUUGUACGUUAUCCCCAUACAUUAAUUGGGAAAAUUACCAAAAUGGUUAAAAACUAUUUGCAUUUAUACCAAUUUGGUUUAAAAUUUUCUAUUGUGCCAAUUGAAGUCUAAAUUUUUACGUUUUGUCAAUUUAGUCAAUGCAAUCAAUUUUGGCCGGAAAUUGUUAACGUGGACACUAGUUGUCUACAUUAGACUACCAGCGUUGAUGUAGACAAUUUUUUUUUAAAUUUUUUUUUCAAAUUUUUAAUUGAUUUUUUCUUUCUUCUCUUUUUCUUUUUUUUUUCUUUUUUUCUUUUUAUUGUGGCCAGCGAGGGUCGUCAAGGCCUCAUCGGCCAUUGGGCAAGGGUAGUGAAGCCCUCUUCACCCAUAGUAAAAAAAAAAAAAGUAAAGAAGGAAAAGAGAAGAAAAUAAAAAAUAAUAAGUCGAAAAAAAAUUAAAAUAUUGUUAAAAAUUCCCCCUAUCAACAUCAGCUAUAUAUAUAAGAUGCUACACAUCAAAAUCAAUGGUUUCCGAUCAAAAUUGGCGAGAUUGACUCAAUUGGUAAAACUUGAAAAUAUUUAUAAUUCAAUUAGUACAAAAGUUUUAAGAUUGAAUUAGUACGGGUACAUAUAUAUAUAUAUAUAUAUAUAUAUAUAUAUAUAUAUAUUCAUUGACAUUUUUGUAAUUUUCCCGACAUUAAUCAAAUAUACUUUUGGAACACCCUAUUAUGAACAUUCUUGUUGUGUAAAGCCAUAAAAAUAAAGUGCCUCCCACUCCCGUGAGAGACCGUAGCUAAGUUGGUCAGUAAAGAGACGAAGACAUUCACGUGCACAACACGUGCAUUUACUUAAUCCAAACAAAGCGCGAAGUUGUUGAGAAGACGAGUGGCAAAAGCCGAAAAGACGAGCUACACCAGUUAACACUCCAUACAUCGCUCAGAUACGACGAAGAACACGACACAUCAUUCCAACCAUCUUCCCGAGAAGAGAUCUGCAUGAGUAAAUGUUAUACUCCUAUGCUCAGAUACGUCGCUCAAAGCUCUAGCAGCUGUGACAAACCCUAAAAAUGACUCGCAGCAGAAGCUCAUGAUUUCGCUGAACUAUCAUCAGAUUACAAGACUCGACUUUGUUGCUAUUGCUCAGGCAGAUGCGAGAAUCCAAAAAAUCUGUUGAUGAACAGUGUGAGUGAGACAGAGAAAGAAGGGGUUGAACUACGACCCCCGUAUGCCCAGAAAAAGAAAGACUCGCAACCCAGAAAAUCAAAUGUAGUUCAUUCUCUGCCUUCCUUUCGCCUUUUUCUCUCUCGGACACGAACAUGAGGCAACUGCUUACGAGCUUUAUUGGAAAGCGCGAAAAUAGGACUUCAUUACCGAAAUAUCUAAACUGUUUGAAUGUACGACUAUCAGUCCCGAGUGCAGCAAAAAGCAAAAGUUCCAUAAAGCAGACAAGUUGUGAAGCUAGAAUCUGUAGAGUCACCUUCAUAGACGUCACUCUAUAUCUCAGCGCACCUGGCACCCUCAACGCUCUGUUCGUUGAUCAUGCCUUGCUCUUGCUCGUUGAGGUUUUCGCCAUCGCGCAACGUACUGAGCCACCGGACCAGGGAGUAGGAGUAUGCAACCCCAAUGACAGCGCACCGGGAUCGCGAUCUCUGUUGCUAGAGCUGAGAGCCAUGCCAUCCUCCCCGGAACUCUAGACUACGUCGCUGGAAUCGCUGGACUCUAUGCCUAGAUGGAAUCCACGCCUAUCAAAGUAACAGAGAGAGACAGAGAGACAGAGAGGAAUGAAGUGGGGAGUGUGCUUGUCUGUGUGGGAAGUGGUGAGAGUCUCAUGAAUUAGCAGGUCAUGGUUAAGUGCAUGGUACAGUAAAAUGUCGGAUUCGCAAGCGAUGGACAGCUGUUCGAGAGUAGGAAAAUCGGACCGUAGAAGCGAGAGUGAGUAUAAUCUUAUCGUGUAAUUUUGACGCAUCAAUGUCUAAAUAGAAGUAAUGUAUUAUUAUUUCUCAAUAUUAACAUAUAUACUUUCUAUCUGCAUUGUGGCUAAAAGACUUUUGCCAUUUCCAUUAGAUUUAUGCGAUUGAUGGGUAAAAUAAAUCCAAAUGGAUGAAAAAAAUCAAGCAUAGAUUAAUACAUAUAGCAACCUCUUGUUGCCUGCAUUGCUGUCUUUGCACCCACAUAUAUUUCUAUCGCAAUUGCUAGAUAUUUGAAAAUUCUUGUUUAAGAACUGAAAAUCAAUUUAUUUGUGAUACAAUAGUAGCUGAUUUUCUGGAUUUUCAUCUUUCUAUGGUGUUAAUUUUUAAUCUUUGUCAAUUUCGAGCUCAAAUCACGAAAAAAGCGUUGAUGAGCAGUAUUAUAGGCAGGUAAGGAGAAUGUUUUUAAAUUAUAUUACAGUAUUAAUGUAUAGUGUUUUUCGCAUAUUCCUAUUUAUUUAUAUAUUUUCUUUGCCUCGGAGUGAGGAUGGUGAUAUGCUGAUGAAUUUUGGAAGAUGGUAAAUAGCUGCCAAAAUUGUCAGCUCCCUCUUGAAGGAACAGAGACAUAGGAUAUGGCCCACGUGACUCGUCCCUCAAUGUUAGUCUGGUAGUUCCUCCGCCGGCGAGGGCGUCGCAGCCCUUGCUGGAGGGGAAAAAAUAUAAAGAAAAUAAAGAAAAAAUUAUAAAAAAAUUCAAAAAACAUUAAAAUGCCACAUUAGCGCUAGUAGCACUACGCCAUUGUUGGGCGACCAAAAUUGGUCGAAUGGACUGAAUUAGCACAAAAAUAAAAUAUUUAGGGCUGAACUGACUAAAAAAGAAAGUUUAGGACCUCCUAGGUUCAUGAGUUUAUUUGUAAUUCCCUCUUAAACUCAAUGAACCAUUGCAAUGCAAAGCAACUACUAAUGAUUAUUUCACAAAAAUUCCAUUGAAACGAUAAUCAAUAAUGUUAACAUUCUACAACUUAAGCCUAAUUACAUGGUUCCAAACGCUCUCCAAUUGAAUCAAGAUGUGAUCUAGACCGUCCAUAAAAGCUAAUGAUCCUGCCACCAAUAGUAUAUGAUGAAAUACGAAAUUUCUUGCCCUUUUGCUUGCCAAACGGUCCAUAGGCGCAUCUAGUGGUACUUAUUUUCAGAGAUUGGAUAACGGCAGGUGGAGAGCCACCGCUUUCUCUUGUGUAACUUAAUAUGGAAAUCAAAUGCUCCUUGAGGUAAUCUAGCUUGACCUACAUAAUUAGCCAAUUCAAAGUCCUUUCAACUUUCACUUGCCAACAACACUAAUAGUUGAAGAAACUUUGUACUUGCAACAACUACGAGCAAAGUAUACGAAAGGAAGCACAAACCGAGCAGACCAGCAGCCUUCGGCAACAAUGCCACCCACCUCGCUGAACCUCAAUCUCUGUAAAAUUAGUGUGGACAGCGCUUGGAGCAGCUCAGAUCUAGAGGGAUCGGCAGCAGGGGAUUGGAGAAAUAAAGAUGGAGUGCUUCUCGAUGGCUUCGUGAAAAGGAUUCACGCCUCAUCUAUGUUUGUGGCUGAAACCCUAACUAUUAGGGAGGCAAUGAACUAGCUAAAGGGAAAAUCGGACUCACAAAUGGCACGAGCUGAAGGACUUUCAGCUGAUCUGCACAUGUACUUGUCUCCUGAACAGUGCACGGUCUUGACUUCGGACAAUUUAACUGCGGUAAAUUACAUUUUGGGCCUGCCCGAAGGGCCAUGGCCGCAUGAUCUAUAAUCCACGACUGCACCGCUUUGUUGGGCUAGUUGAAGGGAGUUACCAUCUGCUUUAAACAGAGACAAUUUAAUCAAGUAGCUGAUUAAGUCGCUAGGGCAUACCGAACUAGCUCUCUCCCGAGAAAUUGGGUGAUUAAUCCCCCUCAUCCUCUUUAAUUAAUUUUAUGUAUGGACUCAUAAUCUUUUUAUAGCUCAUUAGUUUCGAGCUAGUAAUGAAACAUCGUUAAAUUUUGACCAACAAAAAAACAACACUAAUGAAAUAUGUGAUGAUUCGUAAACCAUCUAACGCAGUGCAUUAGGCAGUCGUACCUUUUCCUCUUUUGGCUGACUUCUACUUUUCUACUUUUACUUAUCGCUGGAAUAUUAGCCCAGACAGCUAAAUCUUCUGACAACGCAAGUAUCUGUCAUAAUCCUAUGACACCUCUUUCAGAGCUCUUAUUAUGUUCAGUGCUAAUUAAAUAACUUUUUUGCACUUUUUUUCAUUGAAUGAAUGACACGUGUAUUUAGAUAAAGUUGCGGUGACCAAAUUCGUCCACAUGUCAGCCUAAACUUAUAAUUCAGUAAUUGUUGUCCUAUUUUAUUUUCUCCUCCAAACAUCUCCUUUAUCCACUUCUUGCACUCUCUGCAACACAAAUCCUCUAUAUUUAUCAUAUAACUUUUCAAUCAUAACAAUAAUAACUUAUAAUACAUUUUGUUAUACUAUUAUAUAUAUUUACCUUCUGAAGGAUCAUUUUAUUACAUUCAUUUAUUUUUUUUUGUAUUACAUAAUCUUUUGUGAUGAUGGAUCUUUUUUUAUUAUUCUUUUAAUAUAAUACAUUUUUCAAACAUGAGUUGAUUAUGAGAUUCAUUUAAAUUUUUUAUUACUUCUCAAAUAUAAUUUAAAUAGUAUUUAAUUAUUUAUCAAAUGUUGGCCCUAUCUUAUCUUUUUAAAUAUGAGUUAAUAUGAGAUAGAUAUGAGAUAGAUUCCCUAAAUUGUUAAAUUCUUUUUAAACCUCUUUAUAAAAAAUUAUUUUUGAACAUAUAAUAUACAUGUAUCUCCAAACGAAAUCCUAUAUAGAUGGAUGGGAAUUUGCCAAUGUGACAAUGAAAAAUAAACAGUUGGGAAAAGUUUAUAUUUGAGCGUGCCACGUGACUCAACCUUGUGUGAGCAUUACUCAUUGUUAUAUAUGUCUAUUAGAUUUGAGAUUUGACCUUUUCUUUUGAAUAUACAUACCCAAAACUCCUACAAUUAUGUGAAUUACUAACACCUUUAAAAUGUAAAUCCAGGAACGCACCUCAUGUCUGUCUCCAUGAUCUCCACCAUGUUUAGAGCAAUGAACCGAGGAACCAUUAUAAUCAUAUUCAACUCUGAUGGACUCAAUCCAAGAUCCAACCACAAUCUCAAAUUCUCUCACACUAGUAUGUACUCCAUCAUCCCAUGGAUAUCCACCUUCACCUCCGAACGGUCCGAGCGACUUGAAAGGGUACAAAUGUGAUAUUGGUUCUGCAUAUACUCCGAUAGAAUCGAGAUUUGAACUGGAUCUUCCAUAAAAGUUGAUGCUUUGGCUUCCAGUCGAUGGAUACCCAAAGUACCUUCCUAUUUCCUUGCCAAAGGGACCAUAUCUUCCUUUAUUGCUAUAAAAUGUGAGCGAGUGAACAAUGAUUUGUUUGUAAUUCUCUCGCUUGUAGCCAGAAAUUGAUGUCAAGUACUCUCGUGGAUAGUCCAAUCGAACCUGCACACAAUUUCUCUCUCAUAAAGUUUGGCUCGGUAGAAUCAAAGUGAUAAAUUUAACAAGACAAUGAAAAUGAAGAUACACAACUUUCAUAUAAAACUACAUUUCAUAAGGGACUUGCGUUAAUCCCAUAUGCGGGACCAAUAACUAAGUUACUCUCGAGGAACUCGAAACAGUCUUGAUCGUCACCAAUCAGUCAAACAUAUGAACAAAACAACUGAUAGUCUACUUGGCGAGAAAAGUGAAGUGGAAAAGGCUAACUUUGGCGACUUUUGGCCUUGCAAUUUCUGAUGUCAGCACCACGUGUACCGGAGCAAACCGGUUCACCAUUCUUGUCAUAACAAAAGAAAAUGUAAUGGAUGAUAUCGUCGUGCAUGAUCUCAGUCUCCCUCACACCACUGAACUUACCAUCAUCCCAAGCAUUCCCACCUAGUCCUCUAAAUGGUCCAAUUGAUUUGAUCGGGUAAAGAUGAGAAAUUGGCUCAAAAUAUACUCCGAUUGCAUCAAGAUGGUCGCCGCUUCUUCCAUAAAAUCCGAUUACUUUGCCACCCGUUGUAGGCGACGAGAAGUAAACUCCCUUUUCAUCGCCAAAUGGUCCAAUCUUCCGUUUGUUACUUUGAAAGGUGAGUGAGCGAAUGACAGUGGGACAAGAACUAGAACUUCUUAUGUACCCUGAUAUCGAAGUUAGAUACUCAUCCGAAUCAUACAGAUCAAUCUGCAUAGACCUGUUAAUAGCUGAUGCGUUAGCCGCUCAUUGUAAUCCUUUUGUGCGUUGAAUGAAAUGUUCUUCUUUUUUUCUGACCAAAAAAAAAAAAAAAAUCUGCAUAGAGUAGUGGGGUGCGACUAUAUCAAACGCAUAAUCAGUAACACAUGCAAAAUUUCUACGAGGAAUGUAUACGAGGACUUACUACAUGGAUCUCGCCUUGACCUGUGCCACCAUGAUUUUCACAUAACCAUAGAUCUUUAUCCUCCUCUUCAUAUUGAAAUGUGAUUGACUCGAUAAUCGGUUCUCUACUUGGUUCGAAUGCAAUUAUGAUUGUUCUCACGUUAGCAUGGUGGUUGCUGUCAUCCCAAGAUGAACCACCUGAACCUAAACAACCCCACUGAUUUGAAGGGAUACAGCUUGUUCGAGAAGAGCUCAAUGUGUGCUCCUAUAGAAUAAAGUAAAGCACCACUUCUCCAGAAAAAUCCAACACGUUUCCUAGCUUCUGAUGGCAAGGAAAAGUACUUCCCUUCCUCUUUUCCAAUCGGUCCCCAUAUUCUUUUGUUGGUUCGAAAUGUGAGCGAGUUGAUUAGACUGAGACUAUUGUUUGAAUUGAUAUAUCCGGAAAAAGAAGUUAUGUACUCAUCAGGAAAUACCAAUUUAACCUGCAAACAGGCCACAAAAACAAAUAUUUGACAUGAGUGACUAUAUGUUGCAUCAAUCCAUGAGCAAAAUAAAUUGGUAGAUUUUUUUGAAAUAUGAUUCUGAUCUAUAAAAUAAGUUAUACAUGUUAAGAUUUCUGUAAGUUGUGUUCCUAAUACAUCUCAUUUUGUAAAUCGAAAAGUAACUUUUUGUUUAUGUCUGGGUUGGUCUUUGCCUAACCUUAAUAGAGUGAAUAUAUUAUUUUUUCCAAUUCGUUUGCUAACAAUCAUGCUGAUCCUCAUGUAUCUCUGGCAUGAGCUUUCAAGUGAUUUUCAAAGAUUAAGAAUAGGUUCCGUAAUCGACCAAAAUUAUAAUAAACUAGGAAGGUUACCUUAUUACAUUCAAGCAGGAAAGGAGAAAGAGAAAAAUAAAGUCUAGAUACAACCUCGGAAGUAUUCUCCCCGCCAUUUCCACCAUGCCUAAUCGACCGUAUGGAACCGUUGGUGUUGAUGUAAUCAAAAGCGAUAGAAUCAAUGACUAAUCCAUACCCAACGACAAUUCUGCUUAUAUGCACAUAUUGUCCAUCAUCCCAGGAAUCUCCCCUCGCACCUCCAAAAGGCCCUAAAACCUUGAUGAGAUAUGUGUGAGGAAUCGGCUCAUAAUAAGCUCCAAUGGACUCGGGACGAGGGACAUCACACCUCCCAUGAAACCCAAUAAUUUUGCCGCCGGUGUGUGGAAUGAUUUGGAUCUCUUGCUGUGAUCAAGAUUCUACUCCCCGGGUGAAAUGAUUUUCGCUCUCCGCUGAAAUAGUCCAUUUGUUUUUUUCUCAGUAACACUGUCAAGGAGAAGAAGUAUCUUUUUACGACACAUGCUACUUUUUAUCUCAUUGAUGUUGGUGUGAAUGUCGUCAUACAACUUCAGUCCUUUCACCUUCAUGAGAUUUUGGAGUAACUUCUUCUGCAGGCUGAGAAGGUCCCGAUUCACUUCUCCAAUUCUUUCGAGAAAGGCAAAACGAUCGAAUUCAGCAAAAAUGCCAUCACAAGUAACCGCAGCCACUGUUGUCUUCCCUAUUCCUUCCGUACCACAUGCCUAUCAUGCGCCCAUCCUCCUCUUCGCCAUUUCUUAGCAAGGGAAUCGUAUCUUCUGCUAAAUGAGCUACUCCAAUUGUGUUUUUAGUAUGGUAGAGAGACCGUGUUUGACGUAUCUUCUCAGCAAGGUACUUGGCAAUCUUUUCUGUGAGCUUCGCCUCAUUGCUGACGUUAAAUGUUGGUACCAAAUUAUAUGAGCAAUAUGUAUGAGAAUAUAGACAGACACAUACACCCAAGAGACGAAAUACGAUGAACGUUAUACUAAAAAAGUCUAUGGUUUGUGAAGAGAAGAAAUCGAGUUUGACUGAAUCACCAGAGACAUUGGCAUGUAUCAACUGGUGAUUAACUCAACUUUCUAUAUAACCUCAUCCUACAGCAGAGAAGGGUGCGUCCAGCUUCUUCUUCUUCUCUUUUUAUUUUUAUUUAUUUUUAAUGGUUUUUCUUGGUCGUCUUGUGUUGCGCCGUACCAUGAGUACGACGAAGCGACGCCUUUCUGAUUUAAAGCCAUAAAAACAGUAAAAAUUAGUGUAUACCCCCUUUCUACUAUGUUGUCAUGAUUUUAAGACUGAAACUCCACAAUUUAGUCCAAAAAAGGUAUGAAACCUCGACAAUGUAAACUACAAACUUCGGGAAAUUUACUCCGGCUUUUCGCUUUGACUUUACGGGGAAAUUAUUUAGAACAUUAUCACCUUUCAAUGUCAUGUCAAUUUGCACCUUGAGUUAUGCAACUCUAUGAUUAGCAUUUCAAUUACAUUUAACAUCUAAUCCUGUCUAGGAAUUUAUCAUUUUCCUUUCAAUUUUGUCCCUUCCAUCAUUUCAAAUUCACCAACAAUGAAAAGUCACUUACCCAAAACCCCUAACCCAUCCGCACCCAAUGUUCAGGCCCUCCCCUCGACAACCGCCUCGCCAUCACCAUCAGCCCAGGUCAGAUCCAACUCGAACUCGACAGAUCUGAGUCGAGUUUGACUCCGACCGUGGCUGAGAAGAGGGAGAGGCCGAAAGCAUUGUGCGAAAGAGAGAUGCAAAGAGGGUUCAGUCGUAAUCCUUCAAAAGAUGGCAAUAAGAAUUCAGGAAAGUGGAAUAAGACUUCUGCUAAUACCAUUCCCUUAAGAAAACCAAUUCCGUCGAUUAUACACAAAUUCCAUCUAUAAAGCUGACAAACCAAAAAAAAAAAUGGCAUCAAAAAAGGAAAAAAUCACAGAUGGCGAUACUAGGCUUCGACAUAGAGUGAGAAUCACAGGUACUUCACUAAUGGCGUUGUUCUGCAAAUGGAAGCCGAAUAUAUGCUUAGCCCCUAUUAGAGCAUUUUUCCAUAUUGUUGUCUGCGCAUCAUUUUUCUGGAUCAUACACAACCUCUCGAAACCUUGUGAGAACUUGGUUCCGCUCGUCAACUUCGGAACAUCAGCCGCGUCCACGCCAUGAAAAAUGGGGACAACCACGUGGCCCCGGAUCUUGAGCUACCCUCUGCACUCGAGGAUCUCUACCAGCUCAUUCGGGCACCACUUGGAGUCAGCAUAGUUCGCGGAGAACAUGGCGAGGGCGAAACUCGCAUGCCAGAUCGCUCUGAAGAACUUGUCCUUGAUCUCCUCCCCAGCGUCCUCUCUGUCCUCAUUACUGAAGUAGUUAAUCCCCGCAUGGUUCAGCUCGUGGAAGAGCAGUGAUAUGAAGUUCUUCCUAAUGUCCUUGCCGUUGAAACUCACAAAGACUUCGUGCUUCCAUUGAUGAGAAGACAUGGAUCUUGUCUUGUUGAUAUGUGGUGUGAAGAUAUCACCGCUUAUCUCUUGUGACUUUUUGUGUUUUGGUCGAAAAGCUGUUUAGUUUCGACAGGAGUCUUUUCGGCACACAUAUUAAAGUGUCUUUAUUACUAUUUAUUGAGACAUGUCUUUUCAUAUAUGUAAGGUAUGUCAAGAGUCGUGUUUUAAGCCUACAUAUAAACAAGUCUUGUAAUUGUUUCAAAUAAUGGAGAGUGAAAAGACAUUUAAGCAAGUAAAGUAGUGUAUUCAUCCCCUUCCUUAAGAGCUUCUCUUGUGAGAGUAUUAAUAGAGCUGUGCAACUCUGAUAUUCAAUAAUUGGUAUCAAAGCAAGGUUAUUUGGGACUGAGAGCAUGGUUGUCAGGGACCAUGAGUCGAGUCUUCCGGAGCGUAGUUUGUGAAGACAGUGGUCAAGGACCAUUGUUCGUGCAUAGGCGGUUGAGGAUCGGAAUACGUCGAAGUUCUGUCAGUGUGCAGUCAGGGACUGUGAUCGAUUGGUCGAGGAUCAAGGUUUCUUGGAGUAGUGUUGGGCAUUAUUUCAAGUCAAAUGGCGGAUAUUUCAAAUUCGACGAAUGGCAUUGAGAAGCUCAACAACUCUAAUUACAAUAAUUGGAGUGUCCGGAUGCAGUUUUAUUUGAUGGGUCAGGAUUUGUGGGAUAUCGUUGGCGACAGCAACACCACAGCACCCAGAGACAAUGAUGAAUAAAGGAGAUGGAAGAUAAAAGCGGGUAAGGCUCUUUACGCUCUUGCUAUAACUGUCGAAGAUGAUUUAUUGCCGCACAUUAGGAGCGCGUAGACUCCUAGGGAGGUGUGGGAUAACUUGGCAGCGUUAUUCGCAAGGUCGAAUGAUGCCAAGCUACAAAGGCUGGAGAACGAGUUGCUGUCGAUGUCACAACAAAAUAUGAUGGUGAGUCAGUAUUUUUCCAAAGUUAAGUCUAUUUGUGACAAAAUUUCAAAGUUGGAUCCCACUAAUGCCAUCUUAGAAACAAGAAUGAGAAGAAUUAUUAUUCACGGGUUAAAGCUGGAGUAUAACGGUAUUAUUACGGCUACUCAUGGAUGGGCAAUUCAACUGACGUUGACCGAUCUGGAGAAUAUUUUGGCUAACCAAGAGACUUUAGAUAGUCAAACGUCUAAGGUUUCGAUUAAGGAAGAAGAAAGUGCCAUCUUCAAUGAUAAAAGAGGUUCAAGGGCCAGAGGCGAACUUAUGCUGACAAUAAAGAUGGCAAGUCUAGGAAAAGCCAUAUUGAAUGGCAAAAGCAACCGGCUCAUGAAGGAUGGCAAAAGCGUCCAAGAGAGUCAAGCCUUCGACUAGGGGGAGCCGGGUGACGCGAUGGCAAAAGAUGUAGGGGACAAUGUUACGUUUACGGUAAGGAGGGCCACUUUGCUAGAGAUUAUCGAGCGAAGAAAGUUGAAGGAAAUGUCACAGCAUCAUCGAAGGGGAAUGAUUUCGAUGAAGAUAAGGAAUGGGAUUUCCAAACGUCUAUUGCAAUAGUGGUAUCAGACGAGUUCGCUGCCUCUUCCACAGUCGAGUUAAACGAUUCGAUGGCAUUAAUCUCUGUAAGUGAAAAGUCGAUUAAUUAUGAUUAUGACUAGAUUGUUGAUUCAAGGUAUUCGAGUCAUAUGACUGGAGAUCAAGACAAACUAUCAAACAUGAGUAAUUAUGUCGGAGGACGUGUUAUUAUUACUGCAGACGGCUCGAGGUUGUCGAUUACUCAUAUCGGCGAGACGAUGAUAACUCCUCGAUUCAAUUCACAGCAAGUUGAAUUGAAAAGUGUGUACCAUGUGCCAGAAAUGAAGAAGAAUUUAUUAUCUGUGUCCCAACUCACAGACUCGGUAAUUAUGUGGUGUUCGGUUUACGAGAUGUUAAGGUGUACUGAAGUUUGAAGCCCACUAGUCAACCAAUCAUGGAAGGACAUCGGUUGGAGUCUGUUUACGUGAUGUCUGCUCAAACGACAUAUGUAAACAAAACUCGAAGGAAUGAUACACCUGAUUUAUGGCAUACAUGGCUUGGGCAUGUAAGUUAUCACAAGUUGAAGGUAAUGAUGCAAAAGAACAUGCUGAGGGAUUUUCCCCAGUUGGAAGUGCAAGAAAAUGUGAUUUGUGCCAGGUGCCAGUGCAUGAAGGCACAUCAACUUCCGUAUGAGGAAUCGUCGUUCAAAGCUUGGGUGCCUCUCAAGCUCGUUCACUCGAAUGUGUUUGGUCUAGUGAAGCAGCAAUCUGUUAGCGGAUUCAAGUAUAUGAUCACUUUCAUCGACGACUUCUCCAGUUACGUCGAGGUUGAUUUCAUGAAGGAAAAAUCUGAGGCGUUUAUCAAAUUUAAGGUGUUUAAGGAGAAGGUUGAAAGUGAAGUAUGUAGAAAAAUUCGUUGCCUAUGCACUAAUAACGGGGGAGAGUACAAUUCCUACGAGUUUACGAAGUAUUUGUAAGAGUACAUCUAUCGUUUUGGCGCCCUGUGUCCGUAUUUGAAUCCUUGAGAUUUUCACGACAAUCGAGAGUCACCAAUGGGUCGAGUGGGUUUAUUGUGGCUUGAAGAAAAUCGACCACGGGUCAUAUGUCCUAAAAAAGUUCUGAAAACUACCCGGUAGUCUAGGUCAUACUAAAGCGCGCCCGAGUGAAAUUAACCGCCAGUCUAAGUUCGAUUUCAGAAAUUGGAAGUUGUAUCAUGUCACAUGUCAUUUUAAGAACGUCGAAUCAGUCUCAGAAGAUUUUUCGGGGAUUCCGAGAUUUUUACGGAAAAUCGUUCGGACGUCGCGGAAAAUUAACAGAAAUUCGUUUGGACUGAAUUUAAACGAGUUUGGACUUUUGAGCCAAGCCUUUGGGUGUUGGGUAACUACUGAAAAUUCUACGGGAUUUAUCUUCAUCAAAAUUGGACUUCGAUUUGGAGAUUGGGUGGAUAAAUUGAAGAUUAAAAUUGAAGAAUUCGGAUCUAUGGUAAGGGCAACAUAUUUUGACAUCAAUAUUAGAUUUAUUGGUGGAAAAUUGGUGGGAAAGUAUUGGGGACCAAGCAUUUAUGUAAGAAGAUAUUUUAUUUGACUUUGGGUCCAUCCUCAUCCAUUCCUUUCCACCUUCUGGAGCAAGUUUCACUCGCCGACUUUUCCCCCUCCUUUCUCUCGAGCGACCAUCCCCUCCAUCAAUUUUCCUGCAACCUUGUUUUCUUUCUCUUUGCAUUCGCUACUCCCAUUUUUAAUUCACUUUCUCUGCAGCCCCAUCUUUGUUCAAUCCCCCACCGAAAACUAGUUGUUCCCCACUCACGCUUCAGCCCCACUAAUCCCUGCUCACCACCGAAGCAUCCCUCUCUCUUCAUGCCGUUCCACCGAAGUCCCUUGCACCUUCAACGAGUCCAACGCCAGCGAGCUGCUUCCUUCGUCCCUCUCCACGUCGAUGCUGCAGCUCCACUUCGGUCUUGCCACGCCAGUUGAAGCCCAGCGAAGCCACAACAGCCCACGCCUCGGUCAGCUCGGCGAUUAUCUCAGCGAGUUGUUGACUCCUCCACGCGUCCGAGUCACCACCAACGCAGCUGCUUCACUUCCUCCUUGAUGAUUCAUUUGCGGGCCGCGCCAGACCACGUUGCUGCUACCAGACGUUCCAGCUUCUGUUAGCCACGCCUGCCCAUCCGAGUGAUGACCGAAACCCGUGAUUCCUCUUCACUCUACCAGCUUCUUUAUCUACUUCGUUCAACAAGCGGAGUUGAAGACCGCCGAAGGAAGCCGCACGUUCCACCGAGAACUACCAUCCACCGAGCUCUCUUCCCCUGCCACGUUUCGGUCCAUUUCACCGGCUAAAACCCAGCUGAAAACCGCUGAAGAUUGACCGAAGAAAUCCCCCACCGAGCGAAGCUGCAUCUCGUCCCCUUGUUGCCAGCGAAGCUCGAAGAUUCCAACGCACGCUAGCAGCUGCUUCUCCAGUUCGUGGGCCAGCCGCAGCAGCCCAGCCCGCGCGUGACACCAGCUCCAGCAGUCUUCGGUCUUCUCCAGCGGCGUGCCCUUAGCCCAACACUUUCAGUCAUUUGGGCCCAGUAAAAUUCAGUCCAGCUGAGGGCCAUUUCAAGCCCAGUCGAAUUACUUCAGCUGCAGCCCAGCCCAGUCCAUGUGAGUUAAUUGGCCAAGCCCAAUUUCCAGCAAAGCAAUUGAAGUCCAGCCCAUAUCUUGAAGCCAGUUCAGUUUUGUUUCAAGCCCAUCUCAGCCCGAGUUUCAAGUCCAACAUCAUUUGUAUUUCAACGAGGCCUAGCAAGUUCAGCCCAUCUUGGGCCCGUGAAGCAAGUUCGGCCCAAGGCCAGCUUUUGAUGUGGGCUUGCGAGGCUUGUAGGCCCGGCUCGAGUGUCUAUCGUCGCCGCCGAAAUUUUGGAAUUCGGCCGCCGUCGCGGUUUUCGAUCUUCGCUUUACCAAGUGAGUUUUACUCACUAAUGCCUUUUUAGUGCGCUAAUUAUACUUAAAAGUUGAUUAGUGUUAAUUAAGUGUAAUUAGGUUGUUAGAUUAGAAUUGAUUAGUGAUUAUUAGUUAAUUGUUUUGCAUUUUAGUUGUGUGAUUAGUGUAAUUAGAUAGAGAAUUGCCUGUAGUAUUUAUUGGAUGCUUCUUGGGAUUUUUCCCGUCCCUUAUCGGGUGUUAAUUAAGCGAUUUGGGCCUAGGUGGUAUUUUUAGGAAUUAAAUAUUAAUUUUCGAAAUUAAUUAUUUAAUUAUUUAUUUCCUGGAAAUUCAACUAGGAUGGUCAGUGACCGGAAUUUUAUGCUGAUGAUCAUGGCGCAGUCCGUUUAUUUAAUUGAGCUUUAUAUUGUGCUAAAUUGAAUUUAUUGUAUUUAUUUAUUUAAUUUUCGAAAUUAAUUAUUUAAUUAUUUAUUUUCCGAAAAUUCAACCGGGAUGGCCAAUGAUCGGAAUUUCGUGCGGAUUGUCGUGGAGCAGUCCGUUUAUUUAUUUAAGCUUUAAUUUGUAUCGAAUUGAUUUAAUGGUGCAUUUUUAAGUAUGUUAUUAAAUAAUGCAAUUUUGGCCUUGUGAUUGAGAAUUAAUCGGGUAUCGGUUGUUAGUAUCGAAAGUGAGUUGGUAAAUCACCUUGAGGAUGCACGUGGCCCAGUGAAUUGGAAUGUUACUUGGGAAAGACACGUGGCUCGGUGAUUAGAUAUGUCAUCUUGGCGAAAAGGUAGCCUUAGAGAAUGCACGUGGCUCGGAGACUCGGUAUAUCUUCUUGGAGAAUGCACGUGGCUCGGUGACAUAGUAUGGCAUUGUAAAAAGGUCGGGUGGGACCGUAAAGCCACUAGUUCUUGAGAGGGUCGGGUGGGACCGUAAAGCCACUAAAUCCAAGGAAUUGCUUGGUGUGAGAUAAAUGACCUAGAAAUGAUUUGACUGGCUUGUAAUCGACUAGGUCGAUUGAUCGAUGAUUCGAUCUGAGAGUGUCUUGAUGUGAUUCAUUGCCUUGGUUUGAUGUUGUGAAUUGAAUGAUUGAAGGGAGAUGAUCGUGAGUGCUCUUCCUGAUGUGAAAUCGACUAAGUCGAUUAGAUCGAUGUUUCGAUCUGUGAUGUGAUUGCUUGUGUGCCUAUUCGAUCUGUACUAAUAUGCAGGUGGAAUCUGAGGCUAAGGUAAGUCUUCUAAUUCAUGUUGUGCAUAGGCAGCCUUAAGGUGUAUUAGUUUACUAAUCGGGUCUUAGGAGGUAGAACUUGCUGAGACGUUGUCUCAGUGGUUAUUAAAUAACCAUUUCAGGACCUGGAUGAGGAGCCUAAGGAGCAUGAAUCCGAUGAGGAGAUCCCUGUUGAGGAACCCAAAGAGGAGUACGUGGAGGAGGACCCCGAGUAUGACAUCGAGUACGACCCGGAUGAGGAUCGAAAUCCUAUCCUGUCUUGUCAGACCUUGUUUGCAUGUAAAAAGAUGUAGUUGUGAAUUUUCAGUAUGAGAAAUGUAUGGCCUGCUUUUCUAUCCCAUUGCUUUAUUGUCCGGGGAAUUAUAACUGCUUCCGCAUGUGCAUAUAUAAUUGAAAGGGUCGGCGAUACAUAGUCCUGGGAUAUUGCAUUUUAAAAUCGACCAAAAGUAAGGAUGUGUGCAUGCCUGAGGAUCGUAGCGUGACAAAAGGGGACCGAGUGAUUUUGUGAAAGUGACGUCUCUCUCUCUCUCUCUCUCAAAAGGGCUGCAAAUAGGGGAUUGAAAAAAUUUCAACUCAAAAUCUACUAUUUUAAUACCAUAUAAUAUUUUGUGAAAUCAUUGUUAAUUAUUUUUAAAGUUUAAAUUAUUAAAUUGAGGCAUGACUUAAUAUUUAUAUAUUCUAACAUAAAACAGGAAAUUAAAGAAGAAGAUUCUUACAAUCACAAGCCAAAGAAAAGACAAAAAAUAAAAAUAAAAGAGCUUAGGGGAUGGGAGGGUGUUGAAUUUAAUAUGGUUCCAAUCGUGCUCCAAUAGAAUUAAGACGCGAUCCCGCCCUUCCAAAAAAGCCAACAAUCCUACCACCACCUGAUGCUGACGGGAUAUGAAAUUCCGUUAACCUUCCACGAGCAUCCUUUGAUCCGAAUGGCCCGUAAGUGGUUUUUGUCGUAUGUAUUUUCAGGCUGUGGAUGAUGUUGUCGGGAUUGUUUCCAUAUCCGUUAGUGUAGCCUGAUAUCGAAACUAGACGCUCCUUGGGAUAAUCCAGCAAGAGCUGCAAGAAUAGCAAAGCGAAACGUGUUUUACUUGUGAAAACUUAUGGGGGAAAUUCGAGAUACAGGAUGCCAAAAAUAUGGCCUCCCCCAGUCUUCGAUGAAAAGAAACGGUUGCUACACGAAGAUAAGAACAUUAGGACAAGCACCUUGUAUACAUAAACGACUUACAGACAGAAAGAGGAUCAAAGAGGUAAAAUAGAGGGGUGGAUUGAGAUAUAUGGAACAAACCCGGAUGAACGAAGGCUCUUUUGUUCCGCCACGUGGAGGGCGUACGACCGGGGAACCAUUGUUAUCGUACGUAAUCCCGACGGAUUGAAUUACAUCGCCGACGGUUAUAUCAAAUGCCCUCACGUCAGUAUGUACUCCAUCAUCCCAUUCGGUUCCCCCGGAGCCUCCAAAGGGUCCGAUGGUUUGGAAAGGAUACAGGUGCGGUAUGGGCUCCGCGUACACGCCUAUGGAGUUGAGAGUCUCCCUGCACCUUCCGUAAAAGCCAAUGAUUCUGGUUCCGGUUGAUGGAUACCAAAAGUACUUCCCCGUCUCCUUACCAAAUGGACCAUGUCUCCCUUUAUUAGUGUGAAAUGUGAGCGACUGAACAAUAGCAUUAUUGAUGUCGUCAUCCCCAUUCGCACGCUUGUAACCUGAGAUUGAUGUCAAGUACUCUCGUGGAUAAUCCAAUUUGACCUGCACAAUCUCAAAAGUAUCUCCUAAAAUUGGAUUGAGUGGCGUAAACAAGACCUAUUUGUUGAGUUUAAUUUACUACUUCACAAGACCAAACACAUAUUAACAUCAUCUCGAUCAGUGAGAUAUAAGUAAUUAAAUAGUCACGAAUUAGAGAGGGAGAAAAACACUAACCUUGGUGAUGUUGGCCAUGUAUUCUCCUGCGUGGCCACCGUGCAUAACUGAGCAAACUCGUUCACCACUCUUGUCGUAUACAAACAUGAUGUAAUGGAUAACGUUGCCGUGCAUUACCUUAAUUUCCCUCACACCAUUGAAUUUCCCAUCGUCCCAAGCACAUCCACCUAGGCCUCCAAAUGGCCCAAUUGAUUUGAUUGGGUGGAGAUGCGAGAUCGGUUCAAAAUGCGCUCCAAUUGCUUCAAGAUGUUCACCACUCCACCCGUAAAAUCCAACAAUUUGCCCACCCGUUGCAGGACAUGAGAAGUGCCUUCCCAAUUCACCACCAAUAGGUCCGAUCGUUUUUUUUUGUUUGUUUGAAAUGUGAGAGAUGUAAUGCCGCCCAUAAUGUAACCUGAUAUAGAAGUUAGAUACUCAUCCGGAUCAUCUAUUCUAAUAUGCAAUUAUAGACAACCACCAAACUCGUGAUUUAAAGUCUACAAAGAGUCUUGUCAGCAUGGGCAUUGUAAGUUUCAUAAUGAUUUUACAAAGUAUACGUAUGUAUGGGGACCUACAGUAUGGAUCUUGAUGUCCCUUACUAUAUGGAACUUGUUUCCAUGAAUGCCUCCAUGUGUCUCAGAUUGCCACAAUUCUCUAUUCUCCUCUUCAUACUGAAAUGCGAUUGACUGGAUCAAUGGCCCUUUACUUGGUUCAAAUUCAACAAUGAUUUUCCUUACAUUGGUAUGCUUAUUGCCAUCAUCCCAAAAUGAUGCAUUUGAACUCCCAAAUAACCCCACAGACUUAAAGGGAUAGAGCUUGUUAGAGUAAAGCUCGACUUGUGCUCCAAUAGAUUCAAGAAAAUUACCACUUGUCCCGAAAAAACCGACAACUUUCCCAACUUCUGACGGUAAGGAGAAGUACUCCCCUUUCUCUCUACCAAUGGGUCCCCAUAAUCUUUUGUUGGUUUGAAAUGUGAGCGAGUUGAUAAUGCCGGUGAAGAAACCUGAAAAUGAGGUUAUAAACUCAUCUGGGCAACCCAAUUCAACCAGAAAAUUAUAAGUCACUAAACAAGAUCAUGUUGUGGACAUGAAUCAUUGUAUUUCAAUUUUAACCAGUAAAUUGGCUAUUUAGUAUUCUAGGGAAACGUGAGGCAAAUCUAUAUAAUCAAUUAAAAAGGUUAUAAAGAUCAUCAUCAACCUUUUUUUUCCUGGCCGAGAUUUUAAUCCUCUAUUUCAAACAGAAAAGGAAAAGAAUUCAUAGAAGUUUCUUCUCAGGUGGCAUUAUCUUCGAGGGACUGAUUUCGUUCGACAAUCAAAAUAAUUAGAUUCACUUAUUGAAACCUUUAUGAUUCUGAUCCUUACAUUGAAAGAUCAUAGGAAAUUGGUUUACCAACCUCAUAGAUGUGUCCCCCAAGAUUUUGACCGUGCGUCGUGGAUCGAAUAGAACCAUCCAUGUUGACAUAAUCAAAAUCGAUGGAAUAAAUGAAGUCUGAGUAACGAACAACAAUCCUCUUUAUGUCAAUGUAUCUUCCAUCAUCCCAAGUAGGGGUGAGCAUGGUCCGGGUUGGUCCGGGCCACCCUCUAACCCUAGGACCAACCCGUACAGUGUCGGUCCUCAAAUUUUAGGACCGAGGACCGACCCUAUUAAGCCUGGGACCAAGGAUCGGACCGACCCAAUGGGUUCGGUCCAGUUCCAGGGUCAACCCGAACCAAUCGACAAUUUUUUUCGCCUUGUUUUUUAUACUCCCUAAAAAAGCAAACUUACAAAUUCAAAUUACACAUCCAUCGACAAUGUAGCAUUGUACAAUGAAACUAUAAAUACCAAUACAUAUUCACCAAAAUUUCCUUUCUUUUCCCAGCAAAACUUUGGCAUUUUUUUACCUAAUUUCAGCUCAUAAAUUACAAGCUCAUGUCUUUAUCGAGCUUGUUGUUCCAACAUGCAACGAUCUAGAUUUUAAAAACAUGACAUCAAUACGGUUCAAUUGCUACUUCAGUUAAAAUCACGAUGGAUGAUGAGCACGAUUCGGUUCUCCAAUCAAAGCUAAAACCCAUCUCCAAAAAAGGAACGAAAAGCCUAGAAAGAACACGUCGGAUGCAAUCGCCCCCGUCAAUCGAGGAUCAAAAAGGGGAGGUCACAGGGACUAAUACCCAGCCAAACUGAUCACGUACGUGAAGCAAACGUGGAAAAAUAAAAAUUCAACACAAAUCAAGAGCAUUGAAGAUCUCAAAUGAAGCACAAAGUAGAACUCACUAGCCAAGUUCGGAAAGCAAGGGUGAGCCGAGCGUUAGGGUUUCUAGUUAGGGUUUUUUCUUUUCCUUCUAAUUUACUCGGCGAUAAGCGAGGCGACCGGCGCGAGUGGCGAGCGGCAAGCGUCGAGCGUUGAGUGGGGCAAGCGUCAACUAGCGAGCGGCAAGCGUUGAGCGAGGCCAGCGGUAAGCGGCAAGCGUUAAGCGAGGCUAGCGGCGAGUGGUGAGUGGCGAGUGUUGAGCGAGGCCAGCGAUCAUAGCAAAGGGCGAGUGGUGACCGGCGAGCGGUGAGAGUGGCACGCACGGUCAGAGGUGAGCGGCGUGGGCAACCAGAGGUGAGUGGGAUGUUGCUACUUUUGAUUUUGGCAAAUUGAAGAACAAGGAAGACAGAAUGGAAGAGAACGUACUUUGGGGAAGGAAGCUAUGAGGAGAUUUACGGCGUAAACUUCAUGCCGUUUUGGAUGUCGCGAGUCUGUGACUGUGAGGACUCCUUGGUCCUCAUGGUGAAGAUUGAAGAACAUACUCUAGACUGUCCUCCACACCUUUUGAAAUUGGAUGCCGUCUGUCCGUGACUGUGAGCCUGAGGAGUCAACAACUUUAAUAUCAUUUUACUUAGGUUUUUUUUUUUUUGAACAGACAUUUUACUUAAAUGUGAAUAUAUAAAAGAAUUAUAAAUAAUAUAAUAUAAUAUAAUAUAAUAUAAUAUAAUAUAUAAGGUUGGUCCAGGGUUGGACCAACCCAAAAUUCUCAGGACCGAGAACCAACCCGCACAGUGUUGGUCCUGGAAUUUCAGGACCAAGGAUCGACCCAGUCCCCUUGGGAACCGGACCAGGACCAGCAGGGUUGGGCCGGUCCAGGGUUGGUCUAGGGUCGACCCUAGACCGCUGCUCACCCCUAAUCCCAAGGAUCUCCACCAUCACCUCCAAAAGGCCCAAAAAGCUUGAAAGGAUGAAUAUGAGGAAUUGGCUCAUAAAAAGCUCCAAUGGACUCGAGACGAGGGCCAUCACAACUCCCAUGAAACCCGAUAAUUUUGCCGCCGGUGUAUGGAAAUGAAAAACGCCUUCCUUCUGCUAUGGAAUGUUAAUGACCGAAGAAUGAUAACUCCAGAAUCUUUUUCCGUGUGGCCCGAGGCCGAACUCAAAUACUCAUAGGGAUAGUCAAGUUUAAUCUGGAAAAAAAAGAAGAAAAAAAUCAAAGCUCAAGAAGGGGCCACAAAAGCAAGACCAUAACUCAAGAGACGACAUUUAAUAUAUUAACACAUCUCUAGGGAUGACCGUUAUAUUCACUUUUCUUGGUUUUGUGAGUGUUUCAUUACUUCUGAAUUUUCCUUUUACUCAUUUUGGCCCAUUUAUUCCCGAUAGCUUAAACAACUGCGGCUGGGCUAUUCAAUCCAAAAAUUUUCGAGGACGAGGAGGAGGAAUUACCCUAUAUGUUUUGCUUCCGCCACUUGUGCCAUGUGUGAAGGGACCAACUGGAUGUCCCCACUUAUCGUACAAAACAGAAAUAUACGUGAUUGCUGAAUCGAAGCCUACGACGAUUUCCCUCACAUCUGUAUGUCUCCCGUCGUCCCAAAUGUCUGUACCAUAAUCGCCUCCGAAUGGUCCCACGACUUCAAAAGGAUAUGCAUGUGAAAUUGGCCCAAAGUGUGCUCCAAUCGAAUCGAGAUGGCCACCGCAAUUUCCAUGAAACCCAAUAAUCUUUCCGCCAUCAACUUGUGGAGAACGAAAAAAUUGCCCGUUUUCAGAGCCAACUGGUCCAUAUGUCUUUCUGUUGCUAUGGAAUUUGAGAGAAUGAAUAACCAUAGAAUUUCGGUAGUCACUUAUAUGGCCCGAGAUUGAAGUCAGGUACUCAUUUGGAUAAUCUAGUUUGACCUGCAACAAGUGCAAGAAUCUUGUAAGUCAUGUUGUCUUUCAAGAUUAAGAAUUACAUUUGUUUAUAUGUAGAACCUAAAUUCUAUAUCUUUUCCGUCCUUUUGAUCUAUCGCUCCACCUACUUGACUUCUUAUCAACAAUACCAUGUGAGAGUUUAUAUAAAUCAUACGAUGGGUUUUGGUUCUUGUGUGGUAUGCUAAUGUGUGAUUUGAGCACAUAAUUACUUCUAAUCCAUCACUUAAUCAUGAUGAUCCAGCAUAAAAUAAAAUAAAAAUAGUAACCCGAGGAAACUUUUAAGACUAAUAGGAUUACUCACCGUAAAAAUUUUACCAUAAGGACAUCUGCCGUGCUCGAAAGAACACACCAUACAGCCGUGUUGAUCAUAAUCAAUGGUUAUGGAAUUGAUAACCGACUCAACCCAGACACUAAUUUUCCCUACACCGGUGUAUCUUCCAUCAUCGUAAGCAUCGCCACGUUGGCCUCCAUAUGGCCCGACGGAUUGUAUUGGGAGGCCCAGUGAACUACCGACUCCAACAAUGCAAUCAAGAUAAGGGCUUCUCACCAACUUGUCCAAUGUUUUAUGCCAUUGAUCUUUUGACUCAUCCCUAAGGUAGGAACCUAAUUUUCUGAGGGCCAAUGGAUGACCUCCUGCAUAAUGAAUUAGACUUUCAGAUAACUCCUCAUAACCUUGUGUAGGUUCUGAUUUCUUGAAGGCAUGGUGACAAAAGAGUUGAAGUGCUUCGUUUGGACUCAAUCCUUUGACGAUGUACUUCUCAUCUACCUUCAGAACUUUCAGUAAAUUUUGAUCUCUCGUCGUGAUCAAGAUUCUACUCCCUGGGCAAAACCAUUCUCGCUCUCCGGCGCCGAAAUCGUCCAAUUGUUUUUUCUCAGUAACACCAUCAACAACAAGAAGUAUCUUUUUAUGACGCAUGCUUCCCUUUAUCUUGUUGGUCUUGGUGUCGAUGACGUCAUAGCACUCCUGUCUUGUUUUCUUCAUGAGAUUUUGGAGUAACUUCUCCUGUAAGUCGGGAAUAUCACUCCAAUUCGCUUCCCCAAUUUUAGGGAGGAAGACAGAACACUCGAAUUUGCCACGAAUUCGAUCAAAUGCAACUCGAGCCACUGUUGUCUUACCCAUUCCAGCUGUACCACAUAUACCUAUCAUGCGCACAUCCUUUUCAUGGCCAUUAUUUAGCAAGGAAAUCACGUCAUUUGCCAAAUGAUCUACUCCAAUUGCAUCUUUCACAAAGUAGGGAGGCCGUAUUUGACGAAUCCUCUCGGCAAGGGAUUCGACUAUUAUUUUAAUUAGCGUCGAUUCAUUACUGAUGUUACAUGUCAGUACAAAAAUUAUGAGUGAUAUGUAUGAUAAAAUAAGCAUACACAUAUUCCCCAAGAGACAACAUACGACAAACUUUGGACUUAAAUUUCUAUGGUAUAACAAUAGAAGAAAUGGAGCUUGACAAAAUAACCAUAGACAUUGGCAUGUGUAACCAAGAAUAGUGAUUAACUAAGCUUUACUUUCAUUUGACAAAAAAAGAAGAAGAAGAAAACGAAGCUUUAUUUUCGAUAGUAACCUCAUCCACCCGACCACUGCUUAGCCCCUCCCCUUCCAGCAUCGGAGAUGCCUGCCACCAACCACCAACCCAGCUGAGCCAUGAUUCGUUGACCUCGACUAGAUAGAUCUAUGGAGGUCCACCGACGUCCAGCUCGAUUCAGAUAUGUCGAGUUUGACUCAAACAUAAGCCUAUAUUUCUAAGUUGAGCUCAACACCAACCAUGGCCAAGAAGAGAUUCCAAGGUCUAUCUAGUUUUUAUUUGUAUUGUUAAUUGAACAAUUGUAAUUAAUUAUUACCUUUAAUGACCACUACUUACUACUCAAUCUAUUGACCACAACUUAUAUUUAUACACACGAAAAAUAUGAAAUAUUAAUAAAGUAAAAGUUUUAGUCAUAAAAUAAAAGUUCAAACUAGUAAUUCUACACCAUGGAGUAUCGCAGGAUAUUGCGAAAACAUAUACCAUAAAAAAAACUUGUUCCGGGUUCUCAAUUUCCAGUUUCACAUACCUAGAAUCUGAAACCUACCCAUUAAAAUAAGUUCUCCAAUUUUUGUAAGAUGACGAAGAGCAGUUCUUUCUUUAUCCUACACACUUUUGACUAUUGCAUAGCCCACUUGAGCCUAUAAAUUCAUUUCAUGUCAAACCUAGUUGGUGAUCAUCCCCCACACUAGGGCAAGAUGAAAGACAAUCAUUCAAGUGGCAUGGUCUAAAAUGCUCAUAAAAGAAGACUGUGUAAGUCCAAAGAGAAGAAGUGCAAAAUAGGACAUGAAAAAGUAGUGUACCUGGUAAAAACAAGGCCAAUGCCCAGAAAAAAAAAAUCAAAAUCAAACUCUUGAUAUGGUGAGUCAUAUCCCCAAUAAAGCAAUACUAAAAAACUCAUAUACUAUUGCAAUCAAGUGAGUUGUGAUAUAAAAAAUCUUCGAUAGUGGAGAAAGAAAGUGGUGGAAAUGUUAAGAUGAUCACCAACUUUGACCCCCCAAACACUUUUUGAGUCUAAUGAUCCUUUCAUUUCUCAACCCAUGAGAUAAGCCUACGUUAUGUCCCUUGCAAAGUCUCUUCAAAUUAGGGCAUUUGAAUUAACCUAGGGGUUCACAUGUUUUAAGCAACGCUCGAAGAAGUGCGAGCAAGUUUAUUCAUUUCUCAUUUUGCAGGGUUCUUAACUUGUAAACCCAGAGAUGAUUACAGAAUAUCAAUCAUUCUUUCAAAAGCCUCGACUCAAAGAGUCUCUUUUGUUAAGCCAUUGAACAGGCCCACAUUACGGUCCCUGUUAAAGACCUCUCAGAUUGGUAAGGUCAUACCACUUGCAAGAUUGCACAAACCCUUGUUUGGCAUCAUGACAGUGAUAUAGAGUGAUUGCCAAAGUCCUACAUCAAAGGUCGAAAUGAAACGGCCCUUUUAAUGAGGAUGAGAGAAAAGUCCUUUCAGACCAAAAGAUCCCUCAUUCGAUACCUCCAUGACACAUAUGUUUGGAUUGGGAUAUUCUUUUGAGAUAUUUCCCGAUGGAAAUUAGGCAAUGCAAGAUUGAUAGAAAUCAUCACGCAUGAACCUCAUUUGAAUUAAUGCAUGUCUGUGAAUGCAUAUUGCCUUUCCUACAAUUGCGUUUUGCAGGAAACAUAUCCCCAAGGAACAGAUGUGUCACCAGGUAAGUCUAUCCAUACCUUAAAUACUUGUCAUUGUACAGGUAUUCCUUUUCAAGCACUGGUGCUCGAUGGAGUCGCACCCCAAAAAUUUUUCCUAGAUACACCUAUUCAGGCGACUGUAGAAAGGUACGAGUCUUGGAAAAUAAAUUUCCGUUUAGGCGACAGUAGAAUGAUACGGGUCCUAGACAGUAUUCAGGCGACCGUAGAAUGGUACGGGUCUUGGAAAACGAAUCCCCGUUUAGGUGACCGUAGAAUGGUACGAAUUCUAGACAGCAUUCAGACGACCGUAGAAUGGUACGAGUCCUGGAAAAUAAAUCCCCGUUUAGGCAACCGUAGAAUGGUACGGGUCCUAAACAGCAUUCAGGCGACGGUAGAAUGGUACGGGUCCUAAACAGCAUUCAGGCGACAGUAGAAUGGUACGGGUAUUGGAAAAUGAAUCCCAGUUUAGGCGACCGUAGAAUAGUACGGGUCCUAGACAACACCUAUCCAAGCAGCCGUAGAAUGGUACGUGUCCUGGAAAAUGAAUCCCAGUUUAGGCGACCGUAGAGUGGUACGAGUCCUAGACGACACCUAUUCAGGCAACCGUAGAAUGGUACUGGUCCUGAAAAAUGAAUCUCAGUUUAGACGACCGUAAAAUGGUACGGGUCCUAGACAAUCUCAGUUCAGGCGACCAAAGAAUAGUAUGGGUCUUGGGAAAUCAUUUUUUUUCCGUCAAUGUGACCAUAGAAUGGUAUAGGUCUUAGACAGCAUUCAGGCGACCGUAGAAUGGUACGGGUCCUGGAAAAUAAAUCUCCGUUUAGGCGACCGUAGAAUGAUACAAGUCCUAGACCAUUUUUUUUUCCGUCAAUGUGACCAUAGAAUGGUAUAGGUCUUAGACAGCAUUCAGGCGACCGUAGAAUGGUACGGGUCCUGGAAAAUAAAUCUCCGUUUAGGCGACCAUAGAAUGAUACAAGUCCUAGACAACCUCAAUUCAGGUGAUCAUAGAAUGGUAAGGGACCUGGAAAACAGAUCCCCGUUUAGGCGACCGUAGAAUGGUAGGGUUCCUAGACAACCUUAGUUCAGGCUACCGUAGAAUGGUACGGGUCUUGAAAAAUCAUUUUUUCAUUCAAGAGACCGUAGAAUUGUACGGGUCCUAGAAAACCAUUUUUUUUUUUUUCGUUUAGGUGACUAUAGAAUAGUACGGAUCCUAGACACAACCAAACAAUGUCAUACUAGGCGACCGUAGAAUGGUACGGGUCCUGGACAUGUAACACUAAUCUAUCUUGAGUUACUCUACCGUCCCUGAAGAUAAGUAAUUCCAGGUAAAUUCCAUUAUCAUCUGCAUUAGCAUUUCCAUGCAUCAUAUAAAUUUCAUUUCAAAAUGGGAUUCAUUUUCCAAAAAAAAAAAAAACAAACAAACAAAAACAAAAAGUCAUUUAGUGCAUGUGCAUAAUUAAAAUUAGGUCUCAAUUUGUUUUUUGUUUUUGAAAGCAACCUCUACGAGCUCACCUUCAAAGAUGGGUAACUGUUGACACCUAAUUUUGGAAAAAUAAAAUUGCAUUUUAAACAAAUAAAAAGAAAAAAAAUGAAAAUGGGGGAAAUUAGUUUGAUUGAAUUAUGCAAGGAAAUAUGGAAUUAUGAUGGAUGUUUGGAUUUUGUUAAAUGCAGCAACAAUUUUGAAAUCAAGUGAAAAAUUGGCAAUAAUCGAGCUGAUUGUCAAAUUAUACAUAUUUGAUUUAAUGUGACAAGAAAUGGUAACUCAGGAAAUGCCAUGUAAAGAGACUGUUUCAAAUCACUAUAAAAGAGAGGCUCAUUUUUCAUGACAAAGGCAGCGGAUUCAAAAAAAAAUUCAAAGCAAAAAAAAAGUGAGAGUGGUUCUUUCGUUUUGUUAGAAUUCGAAAUUCAAGGAAGGAAAAAAAAAAAGAGUUCUUUUGUCUUUGUUUUCGAGAAAAAAGGUCAAGAAAAGAAAAGAGGGAAAGAGAGAAGAGACGUGAGAGCAGAGAGUGCAGUGACAGAGAGAAAAGAAGUGAUGUGAGAGAGAGAGAGAGGGAAUAAAAGAAAAAGGAAAAGGAAAAGGAAAAGAGAGGGGAAAAGGAUUCGUCUUCUUCAGGAAGGCUUCGCUCGACACCGGCGCCCAUCUCUUGCAGCUCGUCGCUGCACCACCGCGGCACCUCAGCCCGCCUGCCACCACCGUCGCUGGUUGUGGCACCGCUAUCCACCCAUCACUGCCGUGCCCCUUCGAGCAACGCCGCGCCUACAUCUCCGCCCUGGCGUCCCCUGCAGAUCUGGAUCCUCGCCACUCCGCUCCGACACCCAUUGCUUGAGCGUUGUGCCCUUCGGCCUGUUGCUGACGCGCCCUCUCCGAGCGUCGCUCGUCCCCUGCCCGAGCACCUGCAACAACCCGCGCCCCAGCCGACGCCACUGCCCAUCGUCGCACCGAAGCCCUGCUGCCGCGCCUACACCAGCAUCCGACGCCUACCUUGUUGUGAUCAGUCUUCUGCUCGGGCAUCCGCAAUACCGCCGCCGCACCGCUGCCGACGCUUGAGUCCGAGCUUUGCCCGCAACCUAGCACCCGACGACCGCAAUCCAACACCCAGCCGACGCCCCUGCAGUACUCCGCACACCUAUCCGCGACUCCACGAGCACCGCCGCCGCUUCACCAGGCCCCGCGUCGCCGCGCUUCAUCCGCGAUCUGCAGCGCCCAUCACUACGCGCCUCUGUUCAUCCGACACCAGCAACCCGCUAUCCCUGAGCCAAAGCUCGACUCCGUUGCUACACCUCAGUAGCCCGCACCAUCGCCGACUGCUACUCACCUGACUGAACCCUUCCGCCUCAGCAGCUCGUCUCCGCAGUGCCGCUGCCCGUGUCGCCCCCGCACCUGACCUCGAAGCCCGACGCUGCCGCGCCAGCAGCCCGCAUUGCCUCCGCGCCGCUCAUCACCGUGCGUCCGCUCCUCACCUGGGCCUACACCGGUCCCGCGUCGCCGCGAUCCCGCACCCUCGCCGUUCAGCAAGCCGCGCCUCCGCUCGUCCGUGGCACCUGCCGCACCUCCGAGCACCAGCAUCGUCACUGCCCAAACGCCCGCGCUCCGGCCCCCUUUUUUAUUUAAGAAAAAAGUCAAGGUAGUUUAUUAUUAUUUUUAUUUAUUUAUCAUGUUUAGUUGUAAUGGCUUAAAUUGAAACAUUGGAUGUUCGUUCAUUUUAUGAAUAUUGUAGGCAUUAUCCGUUAGGAUUGUUCGGAAUCAUUAUAAUUAUUAAUUUAAUCCGAGAGACAUUAGAUUUUUUUUUAAUUAUAUUAAUUUUUGGGCUUUUUGGUAGAAUUUUAAUUGUUAAAUCAUUAUAAUUAUUAAUUUGAUCCAUAAGACUUCGGAUCAAAUUUUUAAUUAUUUUGAUCUCUUUGUCAUGAUAAUUAAGGUUAAGAUAAUCGUUAAUUUGACUUGUGGGACAACAGAUUAUUUUUUCGAUUAUUUUAAUCAUUUAUUUUGUUGAGAGCUUAGAUUUAAUAUUUAUUUAAUAAUUACUUAUCUUUUAAAAAACUAAAAAAAUCAAAAAAACAAAAAAAAUCAAAAUUCUGCAUGAGCAUAUAGGUUUGGUAAAUCAGACAUUCAAGUUUAGUAAAUUAGAAUUUUCUUAGGAUUACAUUUUUAGGGUUGCAUUUUUGGAAAUAAGUUAGGGUUGAACCUAAAUUAAUUUUUUAGAUAAUGUUCGCACAUUUUAAUUAUCUCAUUUUUCAAAAAAAAAUAAUUUUCUAAAAUAGGAUAGGAUUUAAGUCAAAUUAAUCCCUAGAAUAAAUUAGAAAAUUAUCCCUUUUUAGAUAGUAUAAUUAGGGUUUUUAUUAAUUCUGAAUUUUAAUUAAAAAAAUACAAAAAUACUAGGUGCAUGUUAAUUAGUUUGCAUAAUAGGUUCAUUUAAUUAGAAUUCAUUAUCGGAAAAAUGAGGUCAUGUAAUUAAAAUGCAUGUUUCAUGAAUAAUUCUAAUUUCAAGAAAACCCAAAAAAAAAAAUAAUUGAUUGCUUUGUGUGAUGCAAUUUAUUAUUUAUUUAUUUGAAUGUUUACUAGUAGAUGCACAUCCGUGUGGUCACCAUAUUUUCAUGAUAGCAAUUUAGGUUAAAAUAAAUCCAAGUUACCUGAAAAAACAUUUUUGAAAAUUAAAAAGAAGUGGUAUCGAAAGGGCAUUAGAGAAAUCUAGUGUAACCAAAUUCCCGUACCCUUAGUCUCUGAUUCGUAUGAAUAAAAUAAUUAUCAUAUUAUUUUGCUUAAGUGUCUAAUCGACUUACCAUAAAUCAAUUAGUGGCGACUCCUAGUUAAUAACAUUUUGUAUGUUAAAUGUUUGAACCUUAAGUCACGAAUUGGUAUUGACUUGGGAGAGCCCGAGCUAAGUUAAAAGACUUAAUAGUCCAUUAACCUAGUUCUAGGUGGUGUACCUGAAAUUUAGGUCGCGACAAUGAUCCAUCAGAUAAUAUACUAAAAAUAGAAAAAGAAGCAUACCAUACACUUAGGCAAUUUACUAUUUUUUAUGGAAUUUUAAUAAAUCACAGGACUUAUAGAACUUGCAAGAUAAAAGGGAAUCUUGAGUCUUGUGAAGAAAUAUUACGAAAUGUUAUAUAAUGAUUAAAUAAAUUUUAGUGAGGAAAAUUACGAACCAUGAAAUUUAAACAAGCGAAAAAUAUAAUAUGCGAAAUCAAUAUGUAUUAUUUAUAAUAGGAUCAAAUGUUGUAGGUUCAAUUGUCUCAUUUAUAAAUUCAUUAUACUUAUCAAAUAUCCUAUAUGUCCUAUUUUACUAACAUGAAUUUAUCAUGCCCUAUUUUUCUUUUUAAUUUGACACCACUAUCCAGUCAUUUAUGAACAAUCAUCAUUCUUUACUCAAGUAAAAUUAACUCUGACAUUGUAUUUUACUACAUUUUGUAUACGCUUGAACCAAAGUAAUUUUGUGUUAUAAUAUUGAUUCAUGCUGAUAAAUAAAUUUCACAUAACAUAAUGUGUAUAGUAUAAUCAAUUAUACUAUAAAUGAUUCUUUUUCCUAUGCUUGACAUAUCGUUUCACAUAGCGUCGGUUUUGCUUUGUACAAAUUCCAUUACAAUUCCAAAAUCAAUUUUCCUCUAACUUAAAUAUAUUUUUUUACCACAUAAAUGCCGUGCCUAAUUCAUAUUUAUUUUCUUUUUAACACAUAAAAUGUCGUGCCUAAUAAGUCAAUUUUACUUAUGUUUACAAGGCUCAAGCAUAAUUAUUUUCUCAUUCUCAUGAAGCUUCCUUUUACGACUUUUUUUUUUUUUUGGACAAUCCUUUUACGACUUAUUACUAUAUAUAUGAUACUUAUGAUUUAAUAUUUAUAGAAUAUUUUUUCUCUUAAAGUUUUCUUGCGAGAAAAGAAAAGAUUUCUCCCUAUCACAUUAUUGUAGUACAUAUUUUUUACUACGUAUAUAAAAUGUCAUGAGAUUUCUCCCUAUCACAUGAUUUGAGACUUGAUCAUACUAAUUUGAUAAAUUUUAGACUUGAUUGCACUUUUUAAAGACUUUAGAACUAGAUUGCACUUUGCAACAAGUUUCAGAAUUACUAAUGCACUUACAUAAGAAAAAUUAAGGAAGGAAAUUAAAUAAUCAAAAAGACAACUUCAAUCGUUCAGUACAUUUGAAUGGUUUUGAUUUCCCAACUCUACAUUAUGUAUACGGGUAAACUCAACAUUGACCGUAUGGCGCAUAUAACGGCGGAGCUUAACAUGUCAAGGCUCAAAAUGUGCUCCAAGUGAAUCAACCCAACAUCCAGACCACCCAUGAAACCCAACGAUCUUUUUACCAAUUGAUGGAAAAUAAAAGUAGUUCCCGAUCUCCUGACCAAAUGGCCCAUAAGUUCUUUCAUUGCUCUGAAAUGUGAGGGAGCGAAGAACAAUAUGCCCGGCAACAGAUUCAAAGUGACCAGAAAAUGAUGUCAAGUACUCUCCAGGAUAAUUAAGAUUAAUCUGCAAAAUUAGAAAGACAAGCAUAAUUAAUCCCAACCCCCAACCACAGAAUCUUGAAAAUCGGUAAAAACAGAACUCCGGUUGAUAAGUUGUAUCUAUUUAAACAAACAAUGCAAUAGCUAACUAAAUAAUUCCGCUGCAUCUAGAGCGUAAACCUAUUUUGGUCCGCCGCAAUUAGGCAAUUGCUUAAAAAAUGCUUUGGCAACUCUUUGAGAACAGCUACUAAAAUUUGGGAAAAUUGUUCUCAGAUUUAAAAGUCAUAAAAUAAAAAUAGCUUUCGAUAUUCUUUUUUCCCCCUUUUUCGGAGGCGGUACUUUUCUGAAUGUAUUGAGUGCUUUCAUCGUAAAUGGAACCGAGGAAGGUUGGAAAACCAAAGAGAAGUCCCUGUUCAAUAAUGAUAUAACACCAUGCCCCAACAAUGACUUUCUCAUUCGAGAUCAUUUGUCAAACUCAAAAUCCAGAUUGUUCUCAUCAUCUUACUUUUACCUCCACGCUCUGUUUAGAAUACUUUGCUCAUCUGCAUAAACGUGAUCUCUAGACCACUUAAAACUAAAACCUUAGCAACAACCCAUAAGCUGCACGUUCAUAAUAUUAAGCAAACGUCUAAAGGGCCAUACCUCGAGCGUUAGAUGUCCCCCAUCUCCACCAUGUCUAGGGCCCUGAACCACAGACCCGUUCUUGUCGUACUCAACAGUAAUGGAGUAAAUAAGAAAUCCACCUUUUACCAUUACUUUUCUCACACCUGUGCUAUCUCCAUCGUCCCAUGGACUGCCACCUUGUCCUCCAAAUGGCCCAAUGGAUUUCAAGAGACGAAGAUCGGAAAUUGGUUCAAAGUAGACUCCUAGCGCAUCAAGCUGGAUACCAGACCUUCCGUGAAAGCCAAUUAUCUUGUUGCAUGUCAAUGCACAGCGAAAGAAGUUCCCUUCUUCCUUACCAAAGGGUCCAAGCCUUCUUUUAUUGCUUUCGAACGUGAGUGAUUGGAUAACAGAACAGUCAUGUCUGAUAUAUCCUGAUACCGAGGUCAAGAACUCAUGAGGGUAAUUCAAGUUAACCUGCAGAAUUGAGAAGUACUUAUUGCAUUUAACUGUUAUAUCGAUCCAUAUCAAAGAUGAUAGAUAGCUUAUAGUGGCCUAAGAAAACACUGGAUCCACGUGCAACCAAGACCCGAGAAUUUCUAAAGACUAAUAUUCUUACAUCAAACUUCUAGGGUCAACAAUAAGAUGAUAGAUCAUUAGGGUUCACUGGCGCCCUUUGCUGAUUUGCUUCAUUUAGCAUAAAAGAAAAAAACUUAUCAUACCUGGUUAUUCACAUGGAAUCCAUCCUGCAUAAAGCAUAUUAAUUGACCAAAAGCUUAUGGUACCGGGUUGCUCUCAUGGAAUCCAUCUCACAUAAAUCAUAUUAUUGACCUUCGUGUAAUUUAUAAAAUAAAAAGGGACGACUAUAUUAGAAGUUCUAAAACCUGUUAAGAAAUAUAAUUGGGUCCUAAAGUUUUCAAAAUAUACAAUAAAAUUCUAAAACUUAUUGAGCUACUGCAAUCAAGUUCUGAAAUUCGAGCUUGUGACCCUGGCCUUUCGAUCUUCAUCGAGCUUGGCCCUGGCCACUCGAGCUUCUUUAAGCUGCCCAAGUUUCAUUGAAUUCGGCCGUGGCAGCUCCAGCUUCUAGGCUUCUUCAAACUCAUGCCCAGGGCUAAUUGAGCUUCAAAUAGCUCAGCCAUGGCCGCUUGAGCUUCUUCGAGCUCACAGCCAUGACGACUUGAGCUACAUCAAGUUUGGCCAUGGCUGCUUGAACCUCGUCGAGCUCGGAAACCACAUUCCAGUAUUAUGAAAUUUUUUGCGUGUUUUUCUAUUGAAACUUGGCAGAUCUUCUGCAUUGUGCUAGGGAUCAUGUUGUCUUUUGCUUAUGUCUCUAUCAUAACUAUGGGAAGUGUUCAGUAUUUUAUGGCAACAAAUUCAUUGGAUCGUUUCCUAUUAACAGGCAUUUAUAUGCGUAGGUUAUUUCAAUGGAUAUUUAUAUGUUUUUCGAUUAUAAAUUGGGUAAUUUUCAGCUUUGUCCUUCAAAGUGCGAUUGCUUUUGGCUGACUGUGAAUUUGAUAAAAAUAUAGUUCCAAAGGAAUCUCUGAUCCUCUUUUCUUUUUCUUUUUUUGAUUUUUUAUAUCUUUUGAUUUUAUUUUAUUUUUUAAAAUUUUCAAGUUUCUUUCUAAUGUGGUACUUUGUGGGUGCCCCAUGUCUUAAGAAAGUAAUAAUAAAAAAAAGGGGUCAGCAUUUGGCCAUAGCCUAAUUGGACGAAACUAUUGAAAUUACACCAAUUUAAUAAAAUUUAGACUUGAUUGCACUUUUUAAAAACUUUAUAACUCGAUUGCAUUUAGCAAUAAGUUUUAAUAUUUUGAUACACUUAUCCAAAAAGAAAGAAGAAUAAAUUUAUAUAAUCAAAAAGACAACUUCAAUUUUUCAUUACAUUUGAACAGCUUUGAUUUCCCUCUAGGAUGCUUUCCACACCCCAUACAUUAGCAGUGCGCAUGGUGUAUGCGGGUGACAAUCAUUCAUAACUUACUUUGAUAAAACUUUUCAAGUAAUUUUGAAAAACUAGGAUAUAGUAGUUGCACAAAAAUAGGCGUGUGCACCAGAGAGAGAGAGAGAGAGAGAGAGAGAGAGAGAGAGAGAGAGAGAGAGAGAGAGAGAGAGAGAGAGAGAGAGAGAGAGAGGAUCAAAGGUAGUAUGAGUGGAGAAUAUUCAAUGAACUGACCGUAUGGAUACUUCCGUUUUCGUUACCAUGUGCAGAGGACCAAAUAGAUUCACCAUUAUCAUCAUACUCAAACGAGAUGCAGUUGACAUCAUCUUCUAACGUCAUCUUUAUUUUCUUUACUCCAUUGAAUUUUCCAUCAUCCCAAGAGUGUCCACCUUGGCCCCCCAAUGGUCCAACACACUUGAUCGGGUAUAGAUGAGAGAUUGGUUCCAAAUAUGCUCCUAGAGAUUCAAGAUGGGAACCGGAACUCCCAUAGAAUCCAAUAAUCUUUCCACCAGUUGCUGGAAAUGAAAACUUCCUUCCGGUUUCAGUGCCGAAUGGUCCAUAUGUCCUUUUAUUGCUUUGGAAUGUGAGUGAAUGGAUGACAGUAGAACCAAAAUCAUUCACAAUAUAUCCCGAAACCGAAAUAAGAACUUCGGUUAGCCAGUCCAGAUUUAUCUGUACCAAACACAUGAACGGUAAAUAAAUGUCAAAGCAACAAGUUGAGAAGCAAAAGCAUGGUAGAUGACAACGACUAGUGUGUGAUGCUCUUGAUGAUCGAGAUGAUAAUUUAUGAUCCGGAAAAUAGUAGAUUAUCUUGCCUACUUCAAUAUCAUGUUAACUAUAAUAGAUGUGAUAAGGAAGACAACAACCAGGGUGCAUUUAUUUUGCUAAAAAACAAGGAUUUGGAAAACACUUUCCUAGAAUCGAUUGAGUGUAUCACUUACAAAAAUGAAUUAACAAACGAAUUUUCAUCAUUAAAGAAAAUGUUAGGAAUAAAUUCUUGUUGGUAAUACAUAUUAACUAAUGUUUUUAUGUGAUACAAACAAUUAUUUUUGGAAAAAUAUUUUUCAAUUCAUUGAUUUUCCAUGGAACAAAUGCACCGUUAUUGCAAACAUUAUCUCUUCAGUGCUCUUUGUCAGGAAAAAAAACCUCAUCUUUCGAACAACCAUGCCUAGAAAGAAUAACUAGAUGUUAUCCUACCAACCAAAAUCUAUAUGCAGAAGGUCCAUAGAUAUCCCUUAUCGACUGUUUUAAAAUACAAAAAUUUAAAAAAAGUGUUCAAUUUUAUGACGAAUUGUUUUAACAAAUCUUUUUCCAAUAGAAACUUGCUUCCUGUUGAUGGUGUCAUACCUAAGUUCCAAAGUUAACAAUCUAUCACUUUCACCCAGACGCCAUCUUCAGCAAUGGCAAGAUAAGAAUCAUUGAAAAUAAGGGGUAAUGUUUAUCAAACAUCGAGUUCCUACUAGAGUAGUGUACCGUAUUUCUUUUGCCACCAUGAGUUCUACCGUGUCUGAAAGGAGGACCCUCCUCAUAGGUAAAACUAACAGAUUCAAUUGCAGAACCAGAGACUACAACAAUUUGUCUGACAUCUGCAUGCUUGCCGUCAUCCCAGCGGUUUUUCCCAUUUCCAAAUGGCCCUACCAUUUCGAAGGGAUAUGGAUGAGAGACAGGGCCAAAAUGAGCUCCAAUGGAAUCCAGAAAAGAGCCACACCUUCCAUGAAAACCAAUGAUCUUUCCAUUAACUUGUGGAAAACUGAAAAACUUCCCUUUCUCCUCGCCAAUUGGCCCAUGUGCCCUCUUAUUGCUGUGGAAGGUAAGAGAGUUGAUGACAUGACAAGAAUCUUCUCUAGUGUAGCCUGACACCGAAGUCAAGUAUUCAGUUGGAUAAUCUAAAUGUACCUGUAACAAUUGCAGAAGAGCAAAGUGAGUAUCGAUCACCUUUGAAGGGGGGAAAAUUCUAUGCUCUCCAGAUGCAUUAUUUAGGUUAACUUUUCCCAAAACAAAAGAUAUCUAAUUAUUGGGACGACUGGAUUUUUUCUCUUAUUUUGUAGCACAGUUUGCCUUGUUCACUAGUCUUGUGCCAUAACGAUUGAACUCCAUCUAGAUUCCCAAUGCUUUGGUCCAUAAUUAAAUGGCAUUCUCGAUGCUCUAUAUUGACAAUGGCAAGCACUGGAGUAAUCUCUGAUUAACUGUAACAUCAGAGUAGGCAGAUGACGCUAGUGUAAUUUUUUUUCUUUUUGGCACCCUAAAAAAUAAUAAUAAUAAUCUUAGCAAGGUACAUCAAAGUCAUCAACAUAUUGAGAGACGACCAAGCAUCGAAGAAGUACCCAGUUGAAAUUUAUCAGGCAAGUCCGUCUUUUAUGACUUUGUGACACCACUUUUUCUCAACCCCCAUUCCACAAACGAAUGGUAACUGACAAUUUCUUAGAGAAUAACAUAAUUAGACGUAAAUAUUGCAAAUUAACAAAGCGAACCGUAAUGAUGGACUCACAUCAUAUGUGUGGUCUCCCAAAGAUCCACCAUGUCUUGGCGAGCGCACAAAACACCCAUUCUGAACAUAGUCAAUAGUAAUGGAGUUGAUCACUUUUCCAAAGACAACCGCUAUAUUUCUUAUACCAUCGUAUGUUUGAUCAUCAAAAGAAUCUCCACCAUGGCCUCCGAAUGGCCCUACAGACUGACGAAGAGAGGAGAAUGGAUCUAAAGGUAAUCCAAUUGAAUAAAGAUGAGGAUCCCUUACCAACUUCUCCAAUAUCUCAUGCCACUGAUUUUUCCUACUAGAAAGAAAGGAACCAAAUCUCUUAAGAAACACUGGCAGACCACCUGCAUAGUGGACAAGACUCUUGAACAACUCCUCAUACCCUUCUUUAGGUUGGUCCUUGCCAAAGGCGUGGAGACUCAUGAGUUGGAGCGAUUCUUCAGAACCCAGUCCAGGGAGCAUGUAGUUAUCAUCCACUUUGAGAUCUUUCAAAAGCCAUUCUUCUCUUGUAGUUAUCAAGAUUCUACUCCCAUAUUUGAACCAUUCUCGAUCUCCAGCGCCAAAAUACUCAAUUUGGUGCUUCUCAGUGAUGUUAUCAAGAACUAGAAGGAUCCUUUGCCGCCAGAGCUUAGCUUUUAUCUCGUUGAUGUUGCUGUUAAGAUCAUAAAUUUCUAGAUCUUGUCCCUUCAGAACAUCGCGGAGAAGUUUCUUCUGAAGAAAUAAAAGCGUAUCUUGGUUUGCAACUCCAACAUUUUCAAGAAAGCUAACCCCGUCAAAUUCCCUAGAAACGCGAUGGCAGACGGCUUGGGCCACCGUUGUCUUACCAAUUCCUUUCAUUCCCCAUAGUCCGACCACAUGGACAUCAUCCUCUGACCCAAUCUUCAGCAACGAUAUCACAUCAUCUACAAAGGAAUCUACCCCAAUAGCAUCGGGGGAGCUUGUUCUGGGAAUAAUCUUUAAGAGACGUCCUACAAUUUGCUCGAUGAAAUACGCUUGAUCCCUGCAGUUGUAUGGGAAGAACAAAUUCAAAUAUGACUAACUACAGCGUGAAGAGACCAUCAGCAUAUAAGCAAGAAACACAUUAACUAAAUUCAAUCAACAGUAGAGUUCAAAUCAAGCACCAAUAUGAGCUUUUGCGGUGAGUGAAUUUAUCCAUCAAGUGCAACUGGGAAUACAACUAACGAAAACAUAAUUUUCUUGGGGAAGAUGGUGCAUUACCCAUUAGCAUCAUUAUUCAAAUGCCAUCCUGACAAAUUCCCAGCUUCUUUAAGCGAAUCCCUCCACUUCUGCACCAGCAAAUCGUCCGUGUGGGUGGCCAAACACCUUUCAAAACCAUCCCCGAAUUGCCCGCUCUGUUUCCGAACGUCGCGUGGCUCGACAUCGUAGAAAAUGGGCAGAACCACAUGGCCCUGAUGAUCUCCGAACCUCCUGUUGCACUCCAGGAUCUCCACCAGCUCGUUCAAGCACCACCGCGAGUCGGCGUAGUUGGCAGUGAACACGACGAGAGAAACCCUCGAAUGGCGAAUCGCGUCGAGCAGCUUGCCCUCAAUGAGAAUCCCUGUCUCCUCUUUUUCAUUGUCCCCGAAGUAGUAGAUCCCCGCCUGCUUCAGCGCGCGGAAGAGGUGGGCAGCGAAAUUCUUCCUUAUGUCCCCGCCCCUGAAGCUCACGAACACGUCGUACUUCCACCUAUGAACCGAAGCGGAAGAAGAUGGAACGAGUCCCCCGAUUUCUUCGAUUUCCAUGAGGACAAUCGGGGAUCGAGCGAGAGACCGCGAAAAAGCUCGAAACUUUUCCCCGCAGGCGAAGGCGUACGAAUGAGAGAGAGAGAGAGAGAGAGAGAGAAAAGGCGCAAGUGGCGAAUGAGAAGAAGGGACGAAAGUUCAAUGCUUCGCCACCGGUACGCGCUCUGCUUCUUUAAUGGAGCGUCGAGACCAGCUGGUGAGGGAGACUACUUAUGGGUUCAAAGAACCGAAGAGGGAUUGAAUCGUCAAAACCAAAGCAUCGACCGAUGGCUACGUGACAGGGACAUGUCUGAAAUCGCGCACGUGGAUUUGAAGCUCCAGAACGACGCGCGUUGAUUGGCGGAAAUAAGAUUCUACGAAGAACAAAUCCACAUUUGCUAACGAGCACGCAAUCUCACAUGGCUGCAUGUAAAUACUAGUUUUUCAUUUCAUCGAAAACUUCUCUUCAUGAUCUCUUCCCCCCUUUCUAGAAAGAUACAUAUUAAAAGUUCCUCUGCAUGUUUAGUCACUUUUUAACUUAAAAAUGCAUUUUCAAAAAAUAAAAAACUUAAAAAAACUAUUUCAUUAGCUAGUUUUAAAUUUUUAAACCUAGUGAGUAAAUUAUAGAAAAAUUUCAAAUAGGGGCUUAAAGUGAAAUUUUUUUUUUUAGGCCUAAAAUAGACAUUCUCCCAAAUAAUAAUUUAAAGUGAUUAGUUUAAUAUUAAAUUAGGGCCCCAACUCACAUGUGUUUCUCACAUAUCACUUUUCAAGUCAUGCUUGGGGGCAUUUUCGUCCAAGAGCAUCUUUCUUUCUUUUUCAUUUUUUGGGUUCAUCUUCUUCAUCUCAAGAAUAAGACUUGCGGCAUUCCCAUUCUACUGCUGAUUAUGGACGAGGCCAUGGGCAUCAGUGAAUUUGUCUGGGAAAGGGCGUGACCCAAGCAAAGUGAUGGCUCUUUUCACCGUCUCUUUCUUGUCUUUGACCUCCCCCUCUCUGCUUUUGCUCUUCUUCUUCUUUGGUCAAUUCCCCAGCUUCAGGAAUCCCCAAACCCCAACAACAAAACAAAACAGAUUUGCCCUUUUGUUUAACGGCGUUAUAUGACUUGUGUUUGGCGGUUUUGGGCGUUGGAUUGCCGCAGGGUAUAUAUGAUUCUUUGUCAAUUGUUCUGUUUUCUGGGGAGACCAACAGGGGAUAUGCCAGAUUUGGGUAUUAAGGUUUUGGACUUUUGUCUUUAGAUUCCGAGACUUACAUUUCAUGAGGUUCAGGCCACCACCUUUUUUGCUCUAAGUUAUUUUUUCCCAGCUCACAUAAGGUGUAUUUUUUUCUUAGUUUCAAAACAAUCAAGAAGAAGAUACGAUAGAAAAGAAGGGAAAAUAAAAAAGUGCUCGGAUGAAAAUGUCCCCAAUCAUAGCUCGAAAAGUAAAAUGCGAGAUGCAUAUAGAAGCUUAGGCCAUUAUUUGAGACAAAUCUUUAUUCGAGACAAAAUCUACUUUGAACCUUUUUUUUAAAAAAAAAGACUUACUUCAGAUUUUUAUUUAAAAUUUAUCCUAAAUUAUAUAGAGUUUAGUAAGUUGCAAUGGAGUAAAUUUCCCACGUCGAUUAGUAACUUUCUCUUUGAUAGAAUUGAAUUUCCUCUACAUUGACCCAUGAUUUUCAAAUAUAAGUUCAAACUUAAAGUUUGGAACUCUAUAAUUAUCGCAAGAUAGUAACUCUUAAAUAUUGUUGUUUACUUUAGAGCAAGUUUCAAUAUAUUUUAGAAAGUUAAACUUUAAUGUUAAUAAAUUAUAUUUGUUACAGAAAAGGAAGACGAUAAUAACUUUUCCUAGGGGCAGUAUAGGCCCUGAGUAGAACCAGAAAUCGAACCGAACAAACCCUAGAAAUUGGUUCGGUUUCUGAUUCCUAGACUCCUCGGUCUAAUUCUUGGAUCCAUAAUUUUUGGAACUUAAACUAUGCAAUUAGGUUCCUAAGUAGAAGCUGGAUUGGGAACAGUAGAACCAAAGAAUCAGAUGGGGAAGUGAAGAAUCAAAUUGAAUCGAGAUAACCCUAGAAUUAAUAGUAUCUAUGGAUCUUUACCAAUCUUCAUAUUAGUAAUAUUGAAUUUUCAGAAUUCGGAACAUCAUUUCAUCACAAAUGUUAUUCAACAUGUUCUUCCAUUGCUAGGGUUAGUGUUAAACUUGCUCUGGUGUGGGUGGAAGAUAUGUACCCAUUAAAAUCCCCCCGCAACUACACUCAUUACAGGAGAAACCAAUAUCUUAUGCACUUUAGAAACCUUAAAUUAACUAAUCAUUAAUCUUUAACAAAUGUUUCUAAUUUACUCUUGAAUCAACCCCAUUCAUUUACUUUUCAUGACAACAUAAUACAACUUCUUGUGUGGUUUGACAGAUUAUUUUACUUAUAAAUGUUUUUGUUUGGGAUAGGUGGCCUUGUUAAUGGAACUCUAUCUAUCUAAUGGGGCAUUUUUGUUGUUACUUUAAUUUUUAUUUUCCUUGACUAAAAACGAAGCAACAAAAAGAAUUAAAAAAAUGAAGAAAAAAAAAGAAAUUCGCUAGUCCACCCAACCUUGUUAGGAAAGAUGAGACUAGUAAUUAACUAUCAACCUCUUAACCUUUUCCUCCAAAAUGACAAAUUCCCUUUACUUUUCAGAAAUUCUCUCUUUACCAUAUCAAGAGCCCAUAUCAAUUCCAAGUUUGAUCUCAAAGCCGGAUUUUGGCAAUUGGGCAUCCUUCUUAAAGACAAACCCAAAACAGGGUUCUAUAUCACAAACCAACAUUUUCAAUGAAAAGUUCUUCAUUUUGGCCUAAAGGUGGCAUCAUCCCUUUUUCAAAAGGCCAUGUGUCGGAUUUCCCAUUAAAUAUUGUGACAUCCUGAUUUUCAACAUCUGAUUUCGAUUAAAUAAGUUGGGCCUUUCGUCGACGUUCCUAUAGUGCUUUUCUCUGAUAUGGCCACUCAUGAGAUAACUGACCCAUCAGGUGAAGCCAUUAAGGGAUUUUAAUACAAUAGACAUGAAAAUUCAAUCAGGAAUUGACUGCUCGACCGUGUUAGUCUGCAAGGGUCAUUACGGCACAAUUUAAAAAUCUAUCGGAGACCGGAGAUAGGUCGAUUCAACUGAGAUGUGUGAUCAAAGUGUGGGUGAUUCCACCUGAUUACAAAAUUCUAGUCGAUCGCACUAAACCGAUUUUCUUUCGUUUUGGGUACCCUGUGUCCAUAUUUGAAACCUCGAGAUUUUCAAGACCACUGAGAGUUGCCAAUGUGUCGAAGAGGUGUGUGUGGUUCGGAGAAAAUCGACCAUGGGUCAAUUGCACCAAAAAUUUCUAAAAGCUACCAGUAGGCUAGGUCACACUAAAAUCUCAUCAAAUUGAAAUUAACCGUGAAUUUGAAUUCGAUUUCAGAAAUUAAAAGUUCUGUCAUGUCAUCAGUCAUUCUAGGAAUGCUGACUCACCUUUUGAGGAAUUUUCGGCGAAUUCGGGAUUUUUACGGAAAAUCGAUUCAAACAUUCGAAAAACGAACGGAAAUUCAGAUUGGCCAAUUUGAAGGGAUUUUUGGCAUCUAGUGUGAGUGAAUUAGUGACAAGGAAUUUCGUGGGCUUUUUCUGCAACAAAUCGAACCUCAAUCGGAGAAGUUUGUUCAGAAAAUCGGAUUCCGAGAAAAAUGAAAUAGAAUUCGAAAGAGGUUUGAGGGACUGUUUUAUUUCGAUCCUCAAUUGGACUUCAAAUUGAUCAAGUUGGUGAAGAAAUUGACCCUAGGAUGAUCAAUUGACAAAGUUGUGAAGUUGAGCAAAAUUACAAUAGUGUUUUAUGUUUUCUUUUAAUUUUUCCCCUUUUCCCUCUAUUUAUUCCACCAUCCUCGCACACUCCUUUCCCUUUUUUCUUCUUGGCCGACCAGCCCUGCAUGCUGGUCCCCUCUUUGCUUUUUAUCUUUGACUUUUACUCUUCUUAUCCUUGCAUGCACAUAUCUCUCUCUCUCGCAUGUUUUUUCUCCUUGACCGACCAUCCUCCUUCAUCGAAUUUGGUGGACUCAGCUCAUCCACACAAUUCUCUCUCUUUUCCAUUUAUCUCACUUGGUCAGUUCUUCUUCGCCGGCUGCCCCCGAUUUCUUUUUCAUUCUUCGGUCUUCUUCGGCGGUACACCAGCUGGAGUCAACACACUCUUUGCUUCGGUUUUAUCUUUUCUCUCUCUCGGUCCCUUUCACAUUUCGGCCCCGCCAGUUUCAGCGACGCCCAGGCUGCUUCGGCUUCUGCUUCUUCAUUAUUUUUCAAUUGUUUCGCAUGCUUCUGCCCCCACCGAACUUACCCGAACCCUACCAUUUUGUCUUCGGUUGCUACCGCUUCAUGUGUGGCUUCUCAUCGAACCAGUAGCCGCGCCCAACAAACUCAAAGCUGCCCCACCAUCCAUCCACCUUGGCCCAGCUUCGAGGCCUAAACGGCAGCCCGUUCUAGCAAGCCCAUUAGUUCGUGAGCCCCAACUUUCAAGUCAAGCCUCACCCCCCUCUGCGGCUGCCGAACCUAGCCUCGAAUCGUGCCCGAACCAGCCACCACUGUAGCUCCUUGGGCCCAAAUCUGAACCCAAAACCAGCAGGGGUUUGUGAACAUCGAGGCCGAUUUCGGGCCCAUCCGGCCCCGUUUGGCGGUCCCACUUUGAAGUUUAUCGAGCCCCUUCGCGUCCCCGACAUUUCAAUCCGAGCAGAUCGUUAAACAGGUGAGUUUAAUUUACUAAUCCUCCCUUAGUAAGUUAAUAAUGCUUAAGCGUUUGAUUAAUUUAGACUAGGCUAGGAUUAGGUGGUAAGUUAGAUUUAAUUAGUGAAUUUAAUUAAUUAUCGAUGCAUGUUAGGUGGAUAGUUAGUGCAAUUAGGGUCUAGACAAGCUCUAGUAUUUAUCUAGAGUGAUUUGAAAAUUUUCUGAGUCCGUUUUGGCUUCCAAUUAGGCUUUACGAGCCUAAGUUCGCAAUUUUAGUAUUUAAUAAUUAAUUUUCGUAAUUAUUUAAUUAUUUUUUUUUCAAAAAUUAGACCAGGAUAGCCGGUGACCGAAAUUUUAUGCUGAUUGCAAUAAUGUGAUCUGUUUAUUUAAUUGAAUUCUAAUUUGUGCUGAUUAUGUGUGAAUUGUGCUUUUAGAAAUUUAUUCCUAAAAUUAUUUAAUUUCAGUAAUUAAUUGGAAAAUCACCAAGCGUUGGUUUACAAUGCCAAAAAUGGAUUUGUGGAUUGUUGAAAUUAGUGGGAUUUUCAAAGGUGAAAAUAUUGUAUUUUUGGCUAAAGCCGACCGUGUGCCCACACACGAAUAUUUUAUCGGGAAAAAUAAAAAUGGUGAUUUGAUUAAAUGAUCAAUUUUCAGCAUACAAUGAGAGUAUGGCUAGCAGCUUCUAGUGAGCAUAUAUUGUUUUCAACAUACCAUGAGACUAUGAUCGGCAGCUUCUGGCGAGCAUAUAUAAUUUUCAGCAUACUAUGAGAGUAUGGCUGGCAACUUUUGGCGAGCUUAUAUUAUUUUCAGCAUACAAUGAGAGUAUGACUGGCAGUUUCUUGCGAGCAUAUAUAAUUUUCAGCAUACUAUAAGAGUAUGACUGGCAGCUUCUGACGAACAUAUAUUAUUUUCAACAUACUAUGAGAGUAUGAUUGGCAGCUUCUGGCAAGCAUAUAUUAUUUUCAGCAUACCAUCAGAGUAUGGCUAUCAGCUUCUAGUAAGCAUAUAUAAUUUUCAGCAUACCAUGAAAGUAUGGCUGGCAGCUUCUGGCGAGCAUAUAUUAUUUUUAACAUACCAUGAGAGUAUGGCUGGCAGCUGCUAACGAGCAUAUAUAAUUUUCAUCAUACUAUGAAAGUAUGGCUGGUAGCUUCUAGCAAGCAUAUAUAAUAUACUAUAUUAGUAUUUGAGGCGGCUUCUGGCGAGCAUAUAUAUAGUAUAUUAUCUCAGUAUAUGAGGCAACUUCUAGCGAGCUAUACUAUCUAUUAUUGGCUUAGAGUAAGCUUUCCACAAGGUGGUCGGACCUUAUAGAUAGUAUUGAUUGAGAUGACCGGGAAAUGGUCUUACUGACAUGUAAUCGACUGAGUCGAUUGAUCGAUGAAUCGAUCUGUCUUGAUGUGUUGAAAUGAUUGGUUGAAAAUGUCAAUUGUACAGACUUGUAGGAAGGAACAGAGGCAAAGGUAAGUCCUCUGACUCAUGAUUGUACUUAGGCAGCCCUUUGGGCGUAUUUUCUUCCUAGUCGAGUUUUAGGGGGUUAAACUUACUAAGACGUAAUCUCACCCUGUUGUGGGAUAAUAUUUUCAGGUCCCUAGUUGACAUCGGUGGAGGAUCCGAGGCCCGAAGUUUAGAAGGUGAAGCCCGAAGAAUCGACGAUCUUUUCUAACUAGUUAGCCCUAGGACAAUUCUAUUUUGAUGAAAGUUGAUUCCUUUUUGUAGGCUUCUGUGUAUAAACCUGUAUGCUUAUAAAAAAGCAUUUUGAAAAAAAAAAUGGGCCCUACUUUUCUAUCUCAUUUUGUUGUUGUCAGGAGAUUUAUUUAAUCGUUUCCGCAUGUACAUUAAAUUGAAUGGGUCAGCGAUGCGUCCCGGAACAUUGUUAUUAUAUCGACCAAGCAAGGAUGGGCACGUGCUCGAAGGAUCGGGACGUGACAAAUAUUGUCAAGUGCAACAACAUACAUUGAUGACAUCCUACUUUACAGCCCUGAUGAGAAAUUCCACUACCAACUUCUUGGGCAAUUUGCAGAAAUCGUGAAAAAACAUGGGAUUAUGUUUUCUUAAAGAAAUAUGAAUAUUGCCUAGAUAGAAAUUGAAUUUCUUGGUAUGAACCUUAACAAAUGAACAUACUAUCCAAAACCACACAUUGCUCAAGAAUUGUUAAAAUUUCUUGAAGAGAACCUUACAACAAAGCAAGUUCAGCAAUUUCUUGGGAUAAUUAAUUAUCUCAGAGACUUUGUUUCAAACAUUGCCAAACUGCUGAUCCCAUUGCAAUCAAUGCUGAAGAAGAAUCCCCCACCUUGGGAAAAAUCUCAAACUAAAGCAAUCGCUGAACUUAAGGAGAUUAUGCAGACUCUUCUCCCAUUGCAAAUCUCUUCAACAGGGAAGAGAAUUAUCCAGACUGAUGCUAGUGAUGAAUAUUGGGCAGCCAUUAUGUUCGAAGAAAUUGAUAGUAAAAGACACAUGUGUGCCUACAAAAGUGGAAAAUUUUCCCAGGCUGAAAUGUAUUAUCAUUCCACUUUCAAAGAAAUCUUAGCGGUGAAAAAUAAAAUAAAAACGUUCGAAUUCCAUCUCAUUGGCCAUCACUUCUUGGUAGAAUUAGACAUGGCAUCAUUUCCUCAGAUGACCAAGUUCAAGCAGAAGUAGAUUCCAAAUUCUCAACUAUUUCGAUGGGCUGAAUCGUUUUCAAAAUACUCUUUUGAAACCAAACACAUUGAUGGAAAGAAGAACGUAAUUGCUAACUUCUUAUCAAGACCAAAAGCACUAGCAAAGAUCAACAUGUACAUCAUAAAACGUGCUUUCCAUACUCUUCAUCACAACGAAAAGUAUAAGUUUAAAAGAAUACGAGAUUGGCCAAGCUGGCAAUACCCCUCAGGAGAUUGUUGAACAAGUCUAGAAUGACAGUCUCACUGAGAAUCUGGAAAACCUCAUGUGGCAAUGCCACACAUAACUAUUUAGACUCCAUGGAGGUUCAAUUCUUUAUCCUUUUGGAUUAAAUUCGAACUAUCCGUUCAUACAUUCUUUAAUCUGGAAGGAAGAAGACUUCCCUUAUUAAUUGCGAUGGUUAUUAUGAUACUUAACCAAUAAGUACUCAAUAGCUAUUGAAAUCCCAACCAGAAGAUUCAUUGCCAACCUUACUAGGAUAUUCGAACUAGGUCGACACAUUGAAAAGGAAAGUGACAAAAACCUCUUAGCCUUCCUCAAUUGGUUUUAUCCUCCCACUCACUAGAAGCAACUCUUACAGCAUGAAUUGAGAACCAUCCAACCAAACCCUGAAGUCCACAUUGGUCUAUUCUUCCGACGUCCAUGGGCUUUUGUAAAAAACAAUGGCAACAUCACUGAUGCUCCACAGAUUAUAGGUACCACUUUUUAUAAACCUCAACUACACCUUAUAGAAGCUCGGAUUUACAAAUCUUUUCCAGGAUCUGUUGGUUGUUAUGAACACUGGUACCGAGAACUUCAAAGAGUUUUGUGUUAGGAAAAUAAAACUAUUCCUGAAGAUGUAUGGAAUUAUAAUGUACCAUGGGAUCAUUAUAACCUUACACCAAAAGUCAAGGAAGCACUCGAGGAAUUCAGACAAACUAUAUCAUCAUAGUAGUAAGAAAUGACAGACACGAAUAACCCUGCUCAAUCCUCUCAAGACCCCUAUGCACGAUGGAGAGGUCCUCUUUCCUAAGACCCCUAUCAUCAAGGACCUUUGUCCUUAUCUCUAGACAUGGAUACAUCCUAUUAUGUUCAACCAUCCAAUUGGCCUCAGCCAAACAUGCUCGCCGACACUACAGGUUCCUUGCAGAAUCUAGAGGAAGCAUCCUCUUCAAACCAAAUUCUCUCACUAGAUUCACUUGCAGCACUUGAGCAAAAGUAUGAAGAACAUCUCUUGGUAGAAAUGCAUAAUUCUGAUAACUUAGACUAUGACUACAAUGCUCGUGACGGAUGAGACUGCUGACUGUAGCAUAUCACUGUAACAAGUUACUGUAACAGUAGGCUAAGGAAAUCACAGUUCAUUGUCACUGCUCAUAUCGCCAAAAAUAAUUCCCUACUGGAAGUUUCCGGAGCCUCUGUUUAUUUUGGACCCGUGAGCAUGGUCCUUAUUUGUGUGUGACCUCCCAAUGUCUAUAAAAGGUAAGGAUGAUGUAAUGUGUUGGGUAGAGUCCCUUGAAGUAAAGUGAGUGUUUUGUAAAAAACUCUCGAUGGCUUUCUAAACUCUUUCUUCUUCUCUAGCUUGAUAGAAUCCUCUGAGAAAUGCAGCUCAGAUAGUUAGAAAUGUUACCAUCCUGGCAUUUCUAGGUGUCUCUAGGCUCUGAACUAAAGGUCAGAGUGGUUUCCCUGCUAAAAGGUUGUGCCUGAAAGACUUGAACGGGAGAGGCUCACCCAUAGUGGGAAAGCAUAUGUGACGUCCCAGUAGCGCCACGUACUAAGCGCAAGCGUAAACUACAUACAUUAUCAUCUUACAGGGCUUAUAAAUUUUAAUUAUCAGACUAUAGUGUUCACUUUUGAAGGUUAGCAUUUAUAACAUGGAUAAUUUAAAAUUUAAAGUUUAUAUUACAAGGUUAUCCUGCAAUAGCACUAUCAAUUCAUAAUAGACAAUCUAAUUAAAGAUUCACAUGUGAAGAUCAUGAGAAGCUUCAUUUCUUUCCUUAGCAACAUCCGGGCUUACAAAAAUCAACCUGGAUCACUUCUAGUUUUUUGCCUAUUUACAUCAUACUUACAAGAUCAAAAGUAAAGGCGUAAGUAAAAAGCCAGGGAAAAAGGGUGAGGGGGUUUCUAUCUCCACUAUCCCACACAAGCCCAUGUCCAUCAAAAAGCAAAAAACGUUCCUCCAGAUCAUAGGCAUCUAGGCGCCAUCCGUCCCAGCUCUAGGUCCACCAGCACCAAAAGGAAGAGAGCCAUACAUCUCAUCUUCGUGGUUUAUGAACCACGCAACGAACCUCAUGGAAAUCAUCUCAGCUCUACCAUCGUCCAUCCACAGCGUAGCCUCAUACUUCGAGAAGGUCAUCUCAAUGUCAGGAUCAUACACAUCACAAAAAGUAGCCUCAAUAUGCGCUAUCACACCAUAACAAGCUAUUGGCAGCAUGUCCAUACUAACAAUUUGAAAAAAAAAUAAGGAAUGAGCAAUGCCCAGUAAAGAAAUUAUAAGACUCUAACCUAGACAAUUCACAGUUGCCAAAGAAGACAAGAGAAAUGUGACUAAACAGUUUAAGAUAUUAAGAUUGAAUUGUCAUAGAUGUACCUAACUAAAUAUUGAUGUACCAUAUGAAUGAUUACUCCAUACCAAACAUGCCAAAUGUAUAUGUGCACCUCAUGUUCUUAAUCUGUUUCACCAUGAAAUGCAAUAAUGAUAUGCACAACUCACACGCCAAGUGGAAAUUAUAAUUUAAUGUGUAUAUCAUAUCCACCCUCGAUUAGUUUACCCAUCAGAACACAGCCGGCCCGAUUGAGUCACUUCCGGAAUUCCACAUCCGGACUUCCACAAUAUUUCUAUCAUAGGCAUCUCACUCCAAGGCAUCUCAGUAUCACACAACCGAGGCCUCCCAAGAUCACUCAGCAUGGGGCAUCUCACUCCGAGGCAUCUCAGUAUCACAUAACCGAGGCAUCCUUGAUCACCUACAAGGGCAUCUCACUCCGAGGCAUCCUAGUAUCACAUGACCUAGGCAUCCAAGAACACACAGCAUGGGCAUUCCACUCCCCAGGGCAUCACCGGUAUCUUAGUACCGAUGGAAAUCUCUUACUCAACCUUCCUCAAUACGAGUCACGCGGGUUAUGUGAGUCAAGGAACCAGACUGAAUCUCGGACCCAGAAUUUUUCCCUAUCAAUUUUUUACUACCAGUGCUCGAUCGGAACCAGGCGACCCACUUCACACGACUAAUGUCGACGGGCCGAAAUUGAAGCUUAUCAGCUAGCAAUUGACCGGUGCCGACAAUUACUCGAGCUGGUCGCGAGAAUUUCGACGGGCACUAGUAACAAAAGAUAAAUAUUUCUCGACGGGACAAUUCCGAUUCCAACCGACGAAAGGAUGGCACGACUUUGGAAGAAAUGCAACCAACUGGUUAGAACGUGGAUUGAGAAUUGCAUAACAACCGAAGUUGCGGCCGGACUCCCUUUGACAGAGGAUUCAAAAUAGAUGUGGGAGAAUAUCAAAGAGAUGUACGGAAAACUUGAUCAAGUCAAGAUUUUUUCGUUAACACAACAAAUCUCGGAGCUUAAACAGGGAAACAUGUCCAUUGCAGCCGUCUACAAUAAACUUUCGGCUUUAUGGAAUGAACUCGAGGCAGCCGAAGAAAGGUUUGACUGGCUUGAGCCGAUUCUGCAGCAAUACAAACGGAUGCACGAAAGGGAAAAGGUGACAAGAUUUCUGCUCAUACUCAACGAGACUUACCUCUUAUUCCGCUCCCAGAUCUUGACUAUAGAGCCCUUAUCGAGCAUCGGCCGCAUCUAUCAAUUAGCCGUGCAAGCAGAAAAUCAAUAGAGAACGACAGAUUACAACAGAGGCGGAGAUGGAAUGGUGUUGGCAGCGAAAACCCUAGUUCGAUCUUCGCCGAGGAGCGGAGGAGGCAAAGGGUAGAAAGGGGCGGAACUAGGGUUUCUUGAGGAGAACCCUAGCCAUCUUGAAUAUAUUGGGCGAUCAGACGGCCCACGUUCAUCCUUGGCAGCGAGCAGAUCUAACAGCUCACGUGGAGGCGGCUCAAUCGGCCCAGAUGGGCCGUGGGGCAUUCAUGGACUGGAGGUCUUGCGCGGGCCAUUAACCGGUGGAACAAAUGGCUCGUAUGGGCUGACUUUGGCCUAAAUCUCACAAUCUACGAAUAGAACUCUUUUAGGCCCGAGAAAUUUUACCUCCAAAGGCAAAGGUAAAAUGUACUGUGACUAUUGUAAAUGUCCACAUCACACAGUAGAGAAUUGCUGGAAAUUGCAUGGGAAACCUGGAGAAAAAGAAAAAGGAAAAUUUUCCCAAAUUUUUUAGGUAUCGGGACAACCAGCGGAGAAGACAAUCAGUCAUGAUCAAUAUCAGGAACUGAUGGAGGCCCUAAGGAAAUUGGAUGCCUUUGAUAAAUUUGGAAGUUUCACAGGUACUUCUUAUUGUCUGGUAAAUUCAAUUUCGAAGAGUGCAUGGAUUAUUUAUUCAGGUGCUAGUGACCAUAUUGUCUGUGAUAAGAGCUUGCUUUCAAACAUCAGAAAAUUGUCUUUUCCCAAAUCUGUUUAGCUCCCAAAUGGAAACAUGAUCCAAGUUGAAAUGAUUGGCACUGUGAAUCUUAGUUCUCACAUCACACUUCGAAAUGUGCUUUACAUUCCUAAUUUCCAGUUCAAUCUCAUGUUAGUAUCUCGAGCUUGUGAAGAAAAUUCCUGUCGUAUCUUAUUCAAAUCUGAUAAAUGUUUCUUUCAGGCCUUUUCGACUGGGAAACUAAUGGGCUUGGGUAGAGUCUUUCAAGGGCUAUAUUUCUAGAUGAAUUUUCAAUUGUCUUCCAUUGAAUUCAAUAAAUCAUUGUGUAAUACUACUAUCAAUGAUAAGAAUAUUUUAUUAUCAAAGAUUGGGUCAUACUGCUUUGUUUCCUUGUUCUCAGUGUCCUAUCUGUCCAUUAGCAAAACAGACACGUCCUCCUUUCCCAAAUAGCACUUCUCGAGUUGAUGAAAUUUUCUCAUUAAUUCAUGCUGAUGUCUAGGGACCCUAUCACACUUUGAAUCAUGAUGGGUCCUGAUUUUUCCUCACAAUCGUAGAUGAUUUUUCACGUGCGACACGGAUAUUCCUCAUGCAAUCAAAAGCUCAGGUUCUUUCUCACCUGAGAACUUUCCUUGCUUUGUCCAAAAAUCAAUUUGGGAAAUCACUUCGUUGUAUACGUACUGACAACGGUAGAGAGUUCUUUAAUGGGGAAUGUACUUCUUUUCUUUCCUUAAAUGGAAUUUUGCAUGAAAGCUCUUCACAUAUACACCACAGCAAAAUGGAGUAGUUGAAAGAAAGCACCGUCACCUAUUGGAAGUAGCACGUGCUCUUAAGUUUCAAGCUUCUAUUCCUGAAACUUUUUGGGGAGAUUGUGUGGUCAUAGCAGCAUACCUGAUCAAUCGUAUGCCAUCAUGCAUUCUUAAAGGAAAAACUCCUUUCGAAAUAUUGUAUGGGAGAAAACCGGAUCUAAGUCAUCUCAGAGUUUUUGGGUGCCUAUGCUAUGUCACCACGGUAGGGCACAAGGAUAAGAUGGGACCUCGUGCAAGACAGUGUAUAUUCAUGGGGUAUCCAAAUCUGAAGAAGGGUUAUCGUAUUUAUGAACCAUCCACAGAGGAAUUUUUUGUGAGCAGAGAUGUGUUUUUUUAUGAAGACAUUUUUCCUUUCAGAGAUGCACUUCAUAUAUCUCAAAAUGAAAGGCCAGGCACUAAUCGUUUCUUAUCAAAAGAAGAGCCAUCUUCUGGAGAAUCUUACAUUAUUAUUCCUACUCCAAGAAAUUCAGAAUCAACUGCUGCACCAUCCCCGAUGUCUACUAAGGCCCAUAUGGAUCAUUUAAUUGACGAGGACCCCAAAGAAAGGGAUUCUCAUCUGACAGCUCCUCCAGAAUCGAAUAUUAAUGAAGACUCGACCUUAAUCCAGCAUGAAGAACCUCGGCGAUCUGGUCGAGUUAGUCAUCUGCCUAUUUGGACGAAGGACUAUGUGUGUGCUUCAUCAGGAUCACCAGGUACUCGAUAUCCCAUCUCAUCCUAUAUUUCAUUUGAUAGGCUAUCGUUAAAACAUUUAUGUUGCAUGAACCAUAUCUCUAAGGGGCAAUAACCAUCUAGUUAUAAUGAAGCAAUACAUGAUCCACGUUGGCAAAAGGCUAUGGAGGCAGAAUUACAGGCUUUAGUAGAAAAUCAUACUUGGGAUGUUGUGCCAUUACCUACUCAUAGAAAACCUAUUGGGUGUACAUGGGUAUAUAAGAUUAAGUAUUAAGCAGAUGGUUCUAUAGAGAGAUAUAAGGCUUGACUCGUGGCCAAAGGUUUCACACAACGAGAAGGUUUUGAUUAUCACGAAACUUUCUCCCUAGUAGCCAAAGAUGUCACCAUUCGUUCCUUCCUGUCGGUUGCUGCUUUUCGAGACUAGCCAUUGCAUCAAAUGGAUGUCCAUAACGCCUUCUUACAUGGCGAUCUGGAUGAAGAAAUAUACAUGGAUCUUCCACUAGGAUUACGGAGACAGGGGGAGUCUAAGGUAUGUCGUCUCCGCAAAUUUAUGUAUGGACUGAAACAAGCUUCUCGUCAAUGGUAUGCCAAAUUUACUAGUGCUCUUACGGCCGCUGGAUUCAAACAAUCUAAAUACGACUAUGCAUUGUUCACUUGGAGGAAAUGUAUGUCGUCUAUUUAUUUGAUGAUUUAUGUUGAUGACAUACUCAUCAUGGGCAAUGAUGAUUCUGCUGUCAAGAAACUGAAAGAAUAUCUACAUUCCACUUUCCAUAUCAAAGAUUUAGGCUCGCCUAAGUAUUUUCUUGGAAUUGAGAUAGCUCGUUCAAAUCAGGGAAUCUCACUCAGCCAGCGGAAAUUCGUAAUGGAGAUUAUAUCAGAAGCAGGAUUGUCAGGUUGCAAACCUGCUAUUAUUCCCAUAAAGCAAAAUGCCAAGCUGACUUCUGUUGACUAUGAUGCUGAAGUAUCUUCUUCUGAUGAUCCAGUAUUGGAAGAUCCAUCAGGAUAUCAGAGACUCGUAGGGAAACUUAUCUAUCUUACCAUGACGACGCCGGACAUCUGCUAUGCAGUACAGACCCUUAGCCAAUUCAUGCACAGCCCAAAACAAUCUCACAUGAAUGUAGCUUUGAAAAUUGUGAGAUAUUUGAAGACAUGCUCAUGAUUGGGAAUACUUCUUUCUCGGAAAUGCAACAUGGAAAUGACAGCCUAUUGCGAUGCGGAUAAUGCUACAUGCCCUAUGAGCAGAAGAUCUAUUACUGGGUUUUGUAUCAAAUUUGGGGAAUCAUUACUUUCAUGGAAGACGAAGAAAUAAUCCACUGUGUCCUUAUCUUCAGCUGAAACCGAGUAUCGAUCUAUGGCCAAAACUGUUUGUGAAAUAGUUUGGUUAAGAGGUUUGUUUAUGGAUCUCGGGGCACAAAUUAAGGGACCUACUACACUCUUCUGUGACAAUGAUUUAGCACUCAAGCUUGCAACAAAUACCAUAGUUCAUGAGAGGACAAAACACAUAGAGGUUGAUUGUCAUUUCACUAGAGAGAAGAUUCAAGAAGGAGUUAUCUAGACCAGAGGGAUCAGAACCACGGAGCAACCAGCGGACAUGUUCACUAAACCUCUAUGUCAGAGACAACACACAUAUCUUCUAAGCAAGCUGGGCGUCUUGGACAUAUACAAGCCACCAGCUUGAGGGGGAGUGUUGGAAGAUAUGAUUUGCAAGAUCGGGAUAAUUUGUAAAUUGAUAUGUUUGUGUCUAUAUUAGGAUUAGAAAGAUCAUAGGAUAUUCGGAAAAUGUAAACUUGCUUUUAUUAUUAUUUAUUUUGUAUUAUAUACAUCAUUGUACAGAAAAUACAAUCAAUGAAGUGAGGCACAUUUUUCCUCUCCAAUAUUUUCUUCCCUACGACUUUCGGUUCUUUCUUCUUCGCUCACCUAGUUUUGUGACAAUCUCCACUAAGCGCAUUUUAACCCAGAACAAUGAUUCGUAGAGUUGAGAUCAUUUUUAGUUAAUUAGCAGGCAACAAAAGAAGAGGUUCUACAACUACUUUCCCAGCAAUGAAUAAUCUUUUUUUUUUUUGUUGGUAAAAGUAAGAUAAGCAAUGAAUAAUCUUUAGUAUUGCAAAAGCUGAGAAGACAUAGCAAAUAGUAUCUGCCUCACAUUGGGCUGUGUGAAGAUCUUUAACAUAGAUAGCGUCACAUUGUGGCAACCCUAAGGGUGGAGGCUUACGCUGACAGACGAUCCAAGAGGCUAAGCACAUGUCUCCUGUCCCACAUCGCUUAGGGGAGUCCUAGGCUAGUUUAUAAAGCUUGGGUUCUCUAUUAUGUAUAACGCGUUUUAAAACCGUGAGGGGCCGAAGGCCCAAAAUGGACAAUAUUACACAGUAGUAGCCCCUGGGUCCUUACAGAUGGUAUCGGAAUCGACUCCCCUAGCAUGUAGGGCCACAGUAAGGGCACCCUGCUGUAAGGGGUGGAGAAUGUGGCGACCCUGAGGGCGUGGCUGGGAUGAUAGGGGAGGCUGCGCCGGCGGGCAACCCAAGAAGUUAAGCACAUGUCUCCUGUCCCACACAUCACUUGAGAGGGGAGUUUUGGGCUAAUCUAUAAGGCUUGGGUUCUCUACUAUGUGUAACGCAUUUUAAAAUUGUGAGGGCUGAAAGCCAAAAGCAGACAAUAUUACACAGGUAGCCCACGGGUCCCUUACACACAUCCUAGGAGAACUCUUGCUACACUUAAGAUUGGAAAAAUUAUCAAAAAAAUCCUAAACUUAUUGUAAUUUUUCCGAUUUAGUCCUAAAUCUUUUUUUUUUUUUUGUCAAUUCAAUCAUAAACUUUUUGUAAUUGUGCAAAUUCAGUCCACUCAUCCAAAUUUGGCCGGCUAGUGCUAAUGUGGACGCCGGCCGAUGACAAUGGACAAUUUUUUUAAUAAUAUUUUUUCUUUUUUUUCCUCUUCUCUCUCUCUCUCUCUCUCUCUCUCUCUCUCUCUCUUUCCUCCUCCUUCCUUCCUCCUCAUCUCCGACGACCGAUUAGAGGGGAGGAUCGAUCAUCAACUAGUGACGAGCUCACCUCGCUGUGGUAGUGGCUAGGUGAGCUCACCCAACCCUUGGCAUGCUCGAUGGAUUUGGUAAGGCAAGGCUUGCCUCGCCGGACAUGGGCGAGGUCAGCCUUGCCAUCCAUCGAGCAUGCCAGUGGCUGGCAAUUGGCCCUCCCCUCUAGCCAGUUGCCAUAGUAGGGGAAGAAAAAGAAAGGAGAAAAAGAAAAAAAGAGAGAAAAAAACAAAAUAUAUAUAUGUUUAAAAAAUUGUCUGUCGGCAUCGGCUGAUGUCCACCUCAACAUCGGCCAACCCAAUUUGAUCAGAUGGAUUGGAUUGACACAAUUGCAAAAGGUUUAAAACUGAAUUGGCCAAAAAAAAAAAAAACGUUUAAGACUGAAUUGGAAAAAUUAUAAUAGAUUUAAAACUUUUUUGUAAUGUUCCCAUUAAUAUUAGUGGCUAACAAAUUGUCCAUAAUUAAAGCAUGCAAAUAAAAGAGACAAUUGAAGCAAAUAUAUCUGAUACAAGCGGAGAUAAUUUGCUGACUGUGUCAGUUAAAAGAGGCUUGUAGUGCUCAAUUCUUAUAUGCAAGACCAACUUGAAAAACCUAAACCCAUCCUUAUACCUUUUUAAUCCUUUCUCGUCACAUAAAAGUUCUGUUGUUUCCUUUUCCACCCUUUACCAUGUUGCACACACUUUCUUAUCAAAAUCUAUAUUAGAUACUAACACCAAAAUAUAAUAAAAUUUGAUAGUGGCAUCAGAGCCUCCUUCGGUUGGUAGUCACCCGAUACUAAAAUCACUCACCUCAUUAUCUGACAUCAAAAUAUGGCCAAACUCUACGUCAUGCUCACUACCCAUUCCUACUUUCAAUGGAUAUAUCUAUGACUACUGGAGUAUUAAAAUAACUACUUUAUUGAUGGCUAAGAUUUACAGGACAUCAUUGAGUAAGGAUAAGCAGCUCCGAAAGAAGGUGCAAGUGUUCCAAUAGAAAUGCAAGGCCUGUGUAAUCCAGCAAGCACUCUUGGAAAUGAUAUUUAUGAGAAUCAUUGGAGCGAAGACUGCAAAAAAGGCAUGAGAUAUACUACGAGAAUAGUUCCAAAGCAAGGUGCACACUGUUAGACUUCAAUCUCUUGCAAGGGGAUUUGAAAAUUCUAAAAUGAAAGAUCACGAGACCAUCCAACAAUUUUGUGCUAGAUUAAAAGAACAAGUACAUCAAGGGCCUAUAGAGAUGAUAUCACUGAUCAAAGGAUAGUAGAAAAAAUGUUGGCAGCAAUUAUUAGAAAAAAACAAUUGUCACCUCCAUUGAAGAAUCUAAGGAUUUAAAAACCCUAUCAAUGAAUGAAUUAAUUGGCUCUCUGCAUGAAAAAAGACCGAUUGUUUAAUUGAAAAUUUUGUUGAAAGGUGUUUCACUUUGAAAUAAGCAUUUGGUCUAAUAAAUCUAAAAAUGAUUGAAGGAGGUCAUGGAAAAAUAGAAGAGGAGGAGAAAAGUCUCCAAAAGAAAAUUAUUUAUGCAGUAUUUGCAAGAAAACAAAUCACUUGGAGAAAUAUUGUUGAUUUUUUUAAAAAAAAAAGAUAAACACAAUGUCGCUCUUGUAAAAAUUAUGGCCACAUUGUAAAAGAUGUCACUAGAAAACAAAUUUCCGAGCUAACUAUGCUGAAGAAGAAGAAGAAGCAAAAUACAGACGGUACAUUCUACGCAUGCCAACAGACUAAUGUGGAGAAGAAUGAUAAGUGAUAUAGUGGUAGUGGCUGUAAUCACAUGGCGAGAUGAGUCUAUAUAUACUGAAACCCAAGUGGGAUUGGACAACGCUACAUCAGUCGAUGUUUAGUGCUCUGACACAAGCAGAGAUCAUUUGCGGGGCAUGUCGGCUAAAGAGGCCUAUAAAUAGGCUUGUAGUUCUCAAUUCUCGUAUACAAGACCAACUAGAGAAACCAAAUCCAUCCUCAUGUCCAUGUAAUCCUUUCUCGUCCACAAGCACAGAUAGAUUCUCACACCUUCGUAUUAAGAUCUAUACAAAAUACUCACGCCCAACUCGAACAGAGUCUAAGAAAGUUCAUAUCGAGCACCAAUACGAGCUUUUGCAGUGAGCACAACUGAGAAUACGACGAAGAACAUCAAGCUCAUGAGGAAGAUAUCGCAUUACCCGUUAGCAUCACGAGAUAAAUGCCAUCCCGAUAUAUUACCGGCUGCUUCAAGUGAAUCCCUACACUUCUGCACCAGCAAAUCGUCCGUGCGGGCAGCCAAACACCUUCCGAAACCAUCCCCAAAUCGCUCGCUCUGUUUCCGGACAUCGCUUGGCUCCGCAUCAUAGUAAAUAGGCAGAACCACGUGACCCUGGUGAUCUCUGAGCCUGUUGCACUCCAGGAUCUCCACCAGCUCAUCUAAGCACCACUGCGAGGCGUCGUAGUCAGCGGCAGACACCAUGAGAGAAACCCUCAAAUGGCGGAUCGCAUCGAGCACCUUGGGCUCAAUGAGAAUCCUGGCCUUCACCUUGCCAUUGUCCUCGAAGUACUGGAACCCCGCCUGCUUUAGCGCGUGGAAGAGGUGGGCCGCAAAGGCCUUCCUCCUCGCCUCUGAAGCUCACGAACACAUCGUACUUCCACCUAUGAACCGAAGAGGAAGAAAAUGGAAUGCAUCGUUUUAUUUCUUCAGUACCCAUGAGGAUGAUACGUGAUUGAGCGAGCGACUGCGAAAAAGCUCGAAGCUUUUCCUCGCAGAUGAAGAGUACGUAGGAGAGAGAAGGUGGUAGUUGGUAGACAAAGAAGAAGCGGCAGAGGAGUCUCGCCAUGAGACCCCGUCCAGCUUCUUCAAUGGAUUGUUCGGACAAGACGACCAAUGGAUGUUCCAUUCGUUUAAUGAACUCAAGAAGAAGAAGACUGUUCACUCGAGGACAGAGUAGGUUUGAAUUUGUCAAGAACCAGAGUAUGAGUAAGCAAUUACCGCACUCAUUCAAAUUUUUGACAGAAACAGUCAAUCUGUGGAGACGCAAGUGGAAUCAUCCAGAACUUCUAGUUGAGCGCUCUUCCCUCAAACCGGCCCCCCCCCCCCCCCGCGGGGGAAAGCGAAGACGUGAGAAGCGGCGACGAAUUGAGAAAUGAUUAGUUGAUGAUGGACGCCCAGCUGUUUCGAACGUUUGGACUGUUAAACUUGUCGAGGGAACGAAAAACAGGGACGUUCUAUGGUUUUUGUAAGAGUGUUUCUACGGACUGGUCCCGUUUUCAAUAUGAACCGUCAUUGUUGGAAAAAAAAGAGAGGAGGAAAGAGUGGUCUGUCCGAUCUGUUUCGUAAACACCAUUUGUUAUCGAACUUGUAUUCGACUAAGAAAAGUCAUGAUUGGGGAAGAAGACUAUUCACGCACGUCUUAACGAAGUGCAAGUCACGAUCGAUUAGACAUUUUACUAUUAAUAACAAAAGUGAAGUUUGCUCUUGACUUGGUAUAUAUUAUGAUUGUGGUGGAAUAUUACGAACCAAGGGACUAAAGAAUUUAUGGCCACUAAAGAUAAAUUACGCUUUCCGAAUAAAUUUACGAGAUGACAAUUACACAGGUCAAUGGAAAAUUACAAUCCAUCAACAAAUUUACCAACAAAUAGAAAAAGAAACUCACCAUACACUUAGGCAAAUUACCAUUUAUUAUGGAAUUUUAACAACUCACAGGACCUAAAAAAAUUAUGACGAUAAAUGGGAAACCGCGUCUUGUGAAGAAAAAUUACAAAAUGAUAGAUAGCGAAUAAAUAACUUUUAGUAAGGAAAAUUACGAAUGCCAUAGGAUUAUUACAAUUAAUCAAGUAGGAUCGCUCCUGUUUUUCUCCUACGGCACUGUAAAAGGACCGGAAACAUGACCUUUUGGCUCUUAUUGAUUAUUUAAGCAUUCCCAUUUCGGUCCAACGUAUAAGAUGCCUCAACUUAAGAAGAUUUUAAUUCAUUUCUCAACCUAUCCGGCCUCAAUUCUUACAAAACUGUAGAUACAUGUGAAAACAUACUAAGAGGUAUUAAAACUAUUUAGUAACAUUAUUAAUCUGAUGAACAAAUUAUUAAAAAGAAAUUACUACCUUUUUUAAAGUAAUAAUUUCUUCUUAAGAAUUUAUUCAUCAGAUUACUACUUAAACUGGUUAUCUUUUGUCUAAGACCUAAAAUAUUGAUAUUUGUUUGCCUGGACUUAUCGGCUCUUAUGCACUUCUAUUUAUAACUUUUAUCAUUAAAACUUAAAUUAAGUUAAGCUAGCAAAAAAGUCGUAAAUUGAUGGGCUUGAGAGAGCCUAAGUUAAGCUUGAUACUUAGCGAGCCAUUAGUAUCACGUCCCAAACUCCGAGCAUGUGAACAACCCGCCAUGGUCAUGCAAAUGCGACAAUCCCAGGUAGUGUCGCCGACCCCAUUCAUUUAUUAUGUGCAUGUGGAACGUAUUACAAAACCCCUAACAAGACUUACAGGAUAGGAAAGCAGGAAACCAACACAUUCAAAAACAAACAUAUGUUCAUAUAUAAUCAUACCAGUGUUUACAUACACCAAAAAUGGUCAGUCUACAAAAAAAAGAUCCAAAAAGAAGGAAUGGUCCUAUGACUACUAGUCGGACUCAUUCGUCGAUCCCACUUCUGACUGAACAACCUCCGGAGACGAUGGGUCCUCCACUCUACCAUCAGGAGGGUCAGCUACGCCCUCACCUAGAAUAGCCUCCAUCACAGCAGGUGGAAUAUCAAAACUAUCAAGAUAACCAAUCCUGAAACCAUUGGGCCCAAAGCGGAACCAUGCCCUAUAUCUAUGAGGUACCCUGACAAGCACGGCCUCCUGGAUCCAGACCGUGGUCCUAAUUAGCUCAUAGAUCCAAUGACUAUUAGGAUCGGGAAAACUAUGCACCUGCUCCAUAAUCUGCACAGGAAUACCAUAUCGCUUCGGAGGUUCUGCCAUCUACGGACCUGUAAUUUUGGCCCACAACAGAGUGAGACAUUGUUUCAGCAAGAUCAUCCCCUAAACCCAUAUUAGAAAGAAAAUACACCAAGGGGUGCCCUAGCCACACUCAAAGAAGAAUUAUCUCAUCUUACUUCCUUCCUGCAAGUUAGUGCAGUUCAAAUCACUCAAUCACGGGUAGUAAUAAAAACUUAAACAACUGAAACGCAAUCACUUUCAUAUAAUCAACAACCACACUUGGCACGCAUUCCAAUUUUCAUUCAUUCACUACCACACAUGAACAUAGCCUACUCACAAUUCAGCUAUCUACUGACAUUCAGCCAGGCAUCAUCUUUCCACCUUGGAGCACGGCUUCGUCAUUACGUCGACGGCGAUCCCGAAGGAGCAUAGGCCCAGAAUCUACUACGACCCGCAUCCGUUGUAAGGGGCAUCCCAUAUAGGGGCAAGUCCGACUCAACAGCACAGGACAAUUUUCACUUAAUUAUCACACGACCAAUCCAUACUCAGCUCGAGACACUUUGCAUUUCGUCCAAUGCUUCAAUUUAAAAUAGUGAUCCCGACUUCUUUUCUUCAUAUUAAAAAUAUUCCAUAAAUUAUUCAUAUGUGUGGGGGCACGUUAAUUUCGAACCAGAAAACCAAUAUCUCACUUUUUUAAACCCCACUAUUUGGUAUAAUUCUAAAAAUCCAAUUUUGGUAUCAAAACCCUACACUUGGGAUUUUAUGAAUAAAAUCCCUAUUUUUCACAACCAACGUUCAAUUUGCAUUAUCCAUUCAUCAAAUUCAAAAUCUGAAUACACAACAACGAUCGGCGCGAAAUUCUAAGAAAUUAAGGUCCCGAAAUAAUUUUUGGAAUUUAAUAAUAAUUAAAUUUAUUUCGAAAAUUAAUUAAAUAAUAAUAUUUUAAUAAUUUCGAAUAAUAAUAUAUUAUUAAAUUAUUAAUAAUUUAGAAAUAUUUAUUUAAUAAAAAAUACUUCAUUUAAGUCAAAUCAAGACUUAUAUUAAUAUAAACAUCCACUUAGCCCUAAUUAAACAUACUUUAAAUUAAUCACACCCCUUAAUCUAAUUCACACCUAAUUAAACUAAUCUAACAACCUAAGCUUACUUAACUUAAACUAAGAACACCCUAAGCAUCAUUAACCCUCUAAUCAAGGUUUAGGAGGCUAAACUCACCGGAAUCGCUUUCCAAUGAGUUCUCGACGAAGACAACGGCGAGGUGGUCGGAAAACCUCCUCGGGGCAGCACCAAAAGAAGACCGGAAGGCACCCAAAACGGGCCUUAAAGGUCCGGAUCUUGGCUGGAACUCCGGUUCUAGUGGCUGUUCAAGGCCGAACGGAAGCGGCUCGACGGUCGGUUGGGGGUGAAACCGGCGGAGGAGGGCGACAGCAGCUCGUGUGAUGACCGGCGAUGUCUCCGGUGGCAAAGCGGGCGGCCGAGCAGGUGGAGGAGGGCGUCUGGCUUGCUGGUCUGGUCACACACUCCCUCUCUCUCUCCUCCAAAAUCCAAGAAGCAACCCCAAGGAAGAAGAUGAUGUUGAUGGGUGAAGGGAAAGCCCCACUUUUUUUAGGGCCAAUUGGCUCUUGCCACUUGUCCAAAUCUCCUCCACUUUGGCCCUACCAUGACAUCACAUGAGGUCACAUUCCACUAACUCAAAUCCUCUACAACAUUCCUCCAAUGGAUCCAAUUGCUUCCUCCGCCGUGGCGCAUGAAUUUUGAAAUCUUGUACAUCAAAUUCUUCAAUUCCAUUCAAUCAACUUCCAAUUAAGCCAAAUUGAAGUCCAUAAAAUUAAUCCAUUGUCACCGCACUUCAAUUCACAUAUUCACUUGACCAUAAAACCAUCUUAGGUCCCAAAUGAACGACCAAAAGCGAGUCUACCAAUUUUCCGAACCAAAUUAACCAUACUUUGAUUAUUUUGCUAAAAAACUCGGUUUGCAUGAAAAAUCUUCCGAAAAUGAGUCAAUGUUCCUAAAAUGAUUUGCAUGAUGUUUUUAUCUAUCUAAAUCAUUAAUUCCAAUGAGAAUUAUCAAAAUAGACAAUUCAAUGAAUGAUGUGGGAUUGAUUAUGCUAAACGAGAGGUGUUAGAAUGAUAAAAGGCAAUGUAUAUCUCAUACAUAGUUCCCUAUUUAUACACUUGUGAGAUGAGUGUAGGUAGUUUCAUGUCUAUAAAGUAAAGAAUUCUCUUACGAAUGGUACAAUGACCAAAGUGAUGAGGGCAUUUCCUUUCUCUAUCCUAAACAAUGUAGAUUAUCCGUUGCUUAACCUAUUUAGGCCCAAACACUUGUGAAGUUUCUUUCAUAUUAUUCCUAUCAAGAACCACCCCACAUUGGGGUUGGAAGGAGAGCGGCGUCACAAGGUGAGAAAAUGUACAUAAAUUUUUUUGAUUGCACUUGCAUCAAUCUUUGGGUGUCUUUAGCGCAAACGAACACUCACGAUAAUUUAAGUGCCUUAGAAGGAUGAAGAGCAUUCAUUUCUCUAUCCUAUGCUUUUGUAUCCGUUGUACAGCCCCAAUAAGUAUGUAAUUUCUUUAGUAUAAACCUAACUGAUAAUAACCCCUCACAUUGGGGCAAGUUAGAGGUCGCUACUAUUCAAACAUCAUGAUCCAAAGCGCCAAAUGAAGAGGAAGACUCAUGAAUCUAAUAGCAAUGUUUUGUUUAAACUUGUCUAGGCCAGUUCCAAAACAACAAAUAGAAAUGAAAACUAGGGCCAUAAAAAAGUAGUGUACCUAAGAGCAAGGCUAAUGCUCAUAGAUGUGAAGAGUAGGUUAAAAACUAGGGGCAUAAAAAAGCAGUGUUUCUGAUAAAAAUAAAGCCAAUGCCCUCAGACAAAAAAAGUAAAUUUCAGCCAUUCGUAUUCCCUAAUAAAGCUAUUGUUGUGGUACAAUUAAUGGAGCCUCCAUGAAGAUAAUUCUUGGCAGUGAGAGGGAAGACCGUUGACAAUGCCAAGAUAAUCACCAACUCUUAUACACAUUUUUGAGCCUGUGAAUUCCUUCAUUUCUCAACCCAUGAACCAAGCUAUGUUGCGUCCCUUUGAAAAAUUCUCUUUAGAUUAAGGUACUCGAAUUAACGUAGACUUCAUAUGUUUAUAAGUAUCACUCGAAGAAGUGCUAGCAAGAUUAUCUCUAUGUCAUUUUGCAGGGUUCUUGACGUAUAAACUCGAAGAUGAUUGCAGAUGAUUUCUUUCAGAGCCUUGACUUGGACAGUCCCCUUUGAUAAGCCUUUGACCAUGUCUACAUUACGAUCCUGACAAAGACCUCUCAAAUUGGUAAAGUCAUACCACUUUACAAGAAUACUUGGACCCCUGUUGACAUGAUGAUAGUGAGAUGGUGUGGUUUUUGUAAAUCUUGCAUUAAUGAUCGAGAUAAAACAACUUUUUCAAUGAGAGUGAGUGGAAAGCCUUUUCGAACUAAAAGUCCUUCAAUUGACAUGUUUAAGACAUCCACAUUUUGAAUAUGCAUUGUCUUUCUAAAUUUUCCCCAUCGGAACUUUGAUGAUGCAAAAUUGACAAAAUUAUCAUACAUGAACCUCAUUUGAAUUCAUGAAUUUACACCAUGUGUACGUAUUGCAUGUAUUAACAGGAGACAUACUUUCGUAUAUCGGAUAAAUCAUCAGAUAAGUAUAUCUUUCCCCCUCUUCCCCCCCCCCCCUCCAAAAAAAAAAAAAAAGAAAGAAACUUUUCUCUAAUCAUGUGUUUUACUUCCUUUGAGUACUUGCCACUGUCCAAGUACUCUCACUUAUUGACACUUGACCCAUUCGAGUUGUCCUCAAGAUAUGAAUAUUGGUGACAGUCCAAAUAUUCCAUUGUCUCUGAGUACUUGUCACUAUCUAGGUACUUUCUCUUAUUGACAUUCAACCUAUUCAAGUUGUCCUUGGGAUAUGAAUACUUGCAACUAUCCAGGUAUCCAAUUAUCUUUGAGUGUCUGCCACAAUCUAGGUACUCUCUCUUAUUAACACUUGACCUGUUCAAGUUGUCCUCAAGAUAUGAAUACUUGCGAGUGUCCAAGUAUCUCAUUUUCUUUAAGUAUCUGCCACUAUCCAGGUACUUUCUCUUAUCAACACUCGACCCGUUUGAGUUGUUCUCAGAGUAUGAAUACGUGCAAUUGCCCAAGUAUCCAUUAUUUACGAGCAUCUACCACUGUGUAGGUGCUCCUUUUCAUUAACACUCGACCUAUAUGAGUUGUCCUCAAGGCAUUCUCUAAACUGCAUCCUUGGAUACUUGUAGAUUUCCAAGUAUUCCACUACUUUGCGUGCUUGCAACUUCGUCACAUCAUCAUAUGAGAUGAUACCUUGAUACUUGCCAAAAAACUCAGACUCACAUCCCAUAUCACUCAUUUUUUGUAAGUAACUACAAGUAUUUUCUUAUCAAUCUUAGUAUGUAUCAUGCUAUAGUGCCUUUUUUUUGCAUAGGACACCUGGUCCCAAACAAUAUAUCAUCUACUGCGUAUGCAUGGACAAAAUUUGGGUAUCAUUUUGUCUUUGAAUGCAACCUUUGUAAGCUCACUUUUAAAAAGGGAAAGCCAUUGACACCUAAAUUUUGGCUAAACCUUUAAAAUUAAAUUGCAUCUAAUUUGGCCUUAACAAAAAUGAUUUUUGCAUUACCUAGGUAUUAAUAUUUGCAUCUAUUAAUUUUUAUUUUAUAUUUUAUUUUCCCCCAUUUACCCUAUUUUGGGAUAAUUAUAUAAAUAAAAAGGAAAUUUUCAAAAAAAAAGAAAAAGAAAAAAGAAAGAGCCCAUCGGGGCUGGGCUUAGCCCAGCUCCCCUCUUUUUGCCCUUUCUUCUUUCUUCCCCACGUGGGCCCAAGGCCAUUCCCAUUUUGUUCUCCUUUGGCCCGAUCCCCUCCCCCUUUCUUCAUCCUCCUCCUUCCCUCGACAACUAACGCGUGAAGGAUGCCCUACCGAGGCAGAGUAGGGUAGACCGGCGACGAAGGGGACGUGCCAUCAAUGCUACUGGAUGGAGCAGCGUGAAAUCCUACGAGAAACCCGGACUGAUGGGACGACGGCGCAGACGCCUUCAAUGUGCCUUCAUUGCGUUGAGAAACCCAGACGGUGGGCCUGCGUGGAUAGGGCGGCCGAUUGGAUGCCGGUUCAACCGAGGCGGAUGCCGGUUGGCAUGGCAAGGAUCGGCGGCCGAAGCCGCCAUCGACCGUCCUCCUUGGCCUAUAUAUAGGAUAGCCGCGAUCGCGGUUGGAGGUGGGGAUAUUACGGAGGAAGAGAGACAUGGCCAGAUUUGAGAGGUAGAGAGAGUUUAGACAGAGUGAGUGAGCCUCAACCGACGUCGCGACUGUGACGACCCUUGUCUGGCGAGCUCUAGCCGGCGUCCCCGAGCCGAAUUGUGAGCCUCCGAUUCCUCUAUCUUCUGCCCUGCUUUCCGAGCGCGUUGGGCCGGAGCUCGCGGCCAUCCAGCUCACACAAGCUCUAGCCACCAGUUGUCCUUGUAAGGUCGCCAUGCCUGUCCUGGUUCGCUUCACGAGGGUCCUAACACCGAUUCUGAUCCUGUUCGAGCCAAGAGAUCCCGUUCCAGUGGUGCACUUCACCUGUUUGAGAAAAUGCCCGAACUAAAUCUGCUUUUUGUUCCCUUGGGUUCGAGCGUUCAACAGCCGCGGCGGGAGCCGCAAUGGCCAGCCGUGGACGGUGGAUGGCUAGGCAAGGGUUGAGCUGUCUGUCUAGGCGUUCGAGGCGACACCAUGACGUACACAUCGCCGGGCUAGGACAAGCUGCGCCACUCGCCUCAGCCACUACUGUCAUGGCCAAGCCAAGCCUCGGCUAGUGAGGGUGGCUGGCCAGGUGGAGCUUGAGCCUUCGGCUCGUGGCAGCUAGGGCAUCGCCAAGGUGUACCCUCAGCCGUCUCCGCCGUGGCUGCAUCAGGAGCAAUGGCCGCUGCACAUGGUUUGCAAGGUUCUAUAUUUCAGAUUUUGCUGAAAAUUUACCAAAAUUCCUUCUCCACGUAAACAAAUUCAACUUGCAUGAAUAUAUAAUAUCUUUACAAUGCCACAGCGAUCACCGUAGCCAUCAAAUUUUAAAAAUUGAAAAUUAUAUUAUUUGAAAUCAAUAUGUAUCAUUUAUAAUACGAUCAAAUGUUAUAGGUUGUACUGUCUCAUAUAUAAAUUCAUUUUACACUUAUCAACUGUCUCGUAUGUCCUAUUUUACUAAAAUAAAUUUAUCAUGCCCUGUUUUUCUUUUUAAUUUGACACCACUAUUUUGUCAUUUUUAAUCAAUCAUCAUUCUUUAAUUAAGUAAAAUUAACUCUAACACUGUAUUUUACUACAUUUCGUAUAUUCUUGAACCAAAGUAAUUUUUGUGUUAUAAUAUUGAUUCAUGCUAAUAAUUAUCUAUGUUUUCUUACAUAACAUAAUGUGUAUGGUAUGAUCAAUUAUACUAUAAUCAAUUCUUUUUCCUAUACUUGAUAUAUCGUUUCAUGUAGCGUCAGUUUUGUUUCGCUACAAAUUCCAUUACCAUCCCGAAAUCAAUUUUUCUCUAACUUGCAUUUUUUUAUCACAUAAAAUGUGGUGCCUAAUUCGUAUUUGUUUUUUUUCUACCACAUAAAAUGCCGUGCCUAAUAUGUCAAUUUUACUUAUGUUUACAAGCAAAAUUAUUUUCUCUGUCUUAUGGAACUUACUUUUACAACUUAUUACUAUAUAUAAUUGUGAUACUUAUGAUUUAAUUUUUCUAAGUUUUUUCUCUUGAAGUUUCUUGAGAGAAAAGAAAAUAUUUUUCCCUAUCACAAUGUUAUAGUACAUAUUUUUUACUACAUAUAGAAAAAUGAUGAGAUUUUUCCCUAUCACAUGAUCUUUCCCUAACAAAGAGACUUGAUUAUACUUAUUUGACAAGAUUUGGACUUGAUUACACUUUUCAAAAACUCUAAAAUUCGAUUGCACUUGCAACAAGUGUUAGGAUCACCGGUUCACUAAUAUAAGAAAAAAUUAAGGAAGGAAAUUUAAAUAAUCAAAAAACAACUUCAAUCUUUCAGUACAUUUGAAUGGCUUUGAUUUCUCUCAAGAUGCUUUCCACGCCCCAAAGGUUGUCCUUGUCCAUUAUGUAUACGUGUCAAGAAAUGUUAAUGCAACAAGUCGAGAAGCAAAAAUGAGAUAUGGCACUGCUUAGUGUAUGAUCCACUCUCUUGAUGAUUGAGAUAAUAGUGCAUGAUCUGGACACAGUAGAUUAUCUUGCCUACUUCAGCAUCAUAUCAACAUAUAUUAGAUGAAAUAAGAAAAACGACAACCCGCGUAUCUUUAUUUUGUGGCAAAUCGAUAAUUCGAAAAAUAUCUUCCUAAAAUUGAUCAAGAAUAUCCAUUACAUAAAUGAAUUAACAAAAAGAUUUUCAUCAUCAAUAAAAAUAUUUAGAAAUAAAUUUUUAUGGAUAAUAAAAUUUGUCACUUAAUUUUUAUAAGCGAUAUAAAUAAUUUAUUUUAUGAACAUGUCUUCCAAUUCAUUAAUUUGCCACGACAGAAACACACUCAGGCUGCUAACGGAAAAUCUUGGGCGAGCCCUUGUAAGUGCUCUUUUGUCAGGGGAAGAACUCAUUGUUGGAACAAUUAUGCCCAGAGAGAAUAACUAGAUUUGGUCCUACCGACCAAAAUCCACCUGCAGAAAGUCCGUAGAUGGAGAAAAACAGUUGAUUCACUCUCCUUUAUCCACCGUUUUCAAAUGCAAAACUUAAAAAGUGUUCGAUUUAUGACGAAUUUUUUAAACAAAUCCUUUUUCUAUAAAAACUUGCUUUCCAUUGGCGCCAUCCCUAAGCCACAAGGUUAGUUGAUGAAGAUUUGAUUCAGUGGAAUAAAUGCUUUAACACACUUUAUUUGUAGAGGAUACAUCAAUUCAUGUCCCUAAAUUUUUUAGGAUGUCCAAUAUCGCGACCUCUCUUUUCAACGCCCUUAUGCACCGGCGUGUGUGGAGGCUAAUUGCUCACUAAAUGUUACGUUUAGCCUGAGCUCUCUCAAGCCCAUCAAUUUACAACUUAUGGUUCAAGUUUUUAAUUUGCAAGUCAAUUUUAUUUAGGAAUCACUACUAAUCUAUUUGAGAUGGGUCGAUUAGAAACCCAAGUGAACCGCUCUUGCAAUAAUGGAGAAAUUAAGAUCAGAGACUUGAUUAUACUAGUUAAUAACUAAUGCUCUUCUAUAUCGAAUCUUGUUUAAAUCUUGAAGUUUUUUGAAUUUUGAAGGAUUUUCCAUGCAUUUGUGGAGAAUAAAAACCAUCUUUCAGGCUUUUUUUUCUGAUUUUUUGGAAAAUGUAAAUCAUUUUUGGAUUCUUUAUUUUUUAUUAUUAAAAUUAUUAAAUUAUAAAAUAAACGGACCCGGGUCGGGCUACCAAGCCCGAUCUGGCUCGGCCCGACCCGGACUGACCAGGGCCUACCAACUGGGCCCUUGUCUUGAGUUUGGCCGGACCGGGCUCCAUCAAGAGCCCAGUUCGAAUUAAUUCUGCUUAGGCCCAAAAUUUACUUGAAAGAAAAGCCAGGCUCAUGACCUUACAAGCCCAUGCACACCCAGACCCAGUUGGCCCGGACGAACGAGACGCUACCCGAAUACGACCCGUGCCCGACCCGGUUCACGACCUGGCAUCGUGCCUCUCUCCUCUCGUCCGCAGCAGCUUCGCCGCGACGGACACAGCCACGGCGAGCAGCGCCGCUCGCCUCCGUCUGGUUGAGGGCGCCUCCAGCCGUCGCCUUCAUUGGCUCGAUUUCAGCCGCAACAGGGAAAAGGAAGCAGAUCUUGUUGGGGCAUUCUGUCGAACGAGUGAUGUGCGAUAUCGAACGGGAGGCUUUCGGCGCCAACGAGGCUCGAACUCGAGCCGACAUUCUCGAAAAUCUGUAUACAAUAUCACAGGUUCAAAACGCAGGGGCGAUGUGGACCGGAACUCGCGCUGGCCAGACGGCUGCGAGCGCCGGUCCAGCGUCGCCCAAAACAGGGCAAACAGAGCACGUAGACAGGGUGGUCGACCGCGGAUCCCCUACGCGGCUCGCGGUGUCGGACGGCGGACGAGCUCGAGGGUCGAACUGCGUCCGUCCGCCUCGCGCACCACCGAGUCGAGAUCCUUGGGGAGCCGACCCUGAACUUGAACAAAACAAAAUUAAAAAACAGAGCACCACCCACCAAACGCCGGCUCGGGAAGGGAGGUGACGCCGGUGAGUCCGGCUGUUUCUUUGAGCGUCUCGUCACUGGAGAGCACUCACCGACCCUCGACCUUUAGUUGGGCUCGCUCUCUCAGAUCUCUCUCCCUCGAGGCCUCUCGGAUGUCUCUCCAAGGGCCUCCCCUCAGAUCUCUCUCUCUCUCUCUCUCUCUCUCUCUCUCUCUUCGUGUGUUUUUCCUUGGCUUGCGGACGUCCUAUAUAUAGGCCGAGGAGGUCGGUCAACGGAGCUCCGGCCGCCGGUCCUUGGCGUGCCGACCGGCCUUGGUGUGGCCGAACCGGCGUCGCCUCAACCGCCCCACCUGCUCUGCUUUGCUCCUUAGCUCCGCGGCACUGAAGGCGCCUGCUUCGUAGCUUCGCGGCAUUGAAGACGCGUCCCAUCCAUCCGGGUUUCUCGCCGGCCUCGGCGCUGCUCCUCUCCUUCGCGCGUGCGUGAGUUGCAGAGGAGGAAGGGAGGAAGGGAGGAUGGAGGAGAAAAGGGCAGGGGGCCGAAGAAGAUGACUCCCCCCCUCUCUCUCCCCUUUUUUUUAUUCUCCUUCUUUGCUCUUUUUUUCAUUAUUUUGUCCUUUCUCAAGUCCCCCUUCUCGUCUCUUCGGAGACAUCUGAUAAAAAAAGGUCCCCCUUCUCUUUUAUUUAUUUUUUAUUUUCACUUUCUUUCAUGGGCAGAGCGCUUGCUCUUCUUUCGUGUAUAUGAACAAGAUCGAAGAGAGAGAGAGAGAGACCAUUUCGUGUCAGUUCAUGUAAAAGAAUUUUUUCAAUGAAUAAUAACUUUUUUAUAGUUACCCGAAAUGCAAUAAUAAAAUUAAAAAUAAAAAUAAAGCUCAGUUGAUACAAAUAACAAUAGUGCUUACUUGAUGCAAAAAUCCAUUUUGUUACGACCAAAUUGAUCCAUAAUUUUCUAUGUAAUAUUUAGCAAAAACUUAGAUGUCAACAUUCGAGAUGAUACAUAUUUUAAAUGUAAACUUAAACAUCAACUACAAGGUGCACAUAAAGGUGGAGCUUAGCAUGUCAAGGUUCAAAAUAUGCUCCAAGUGAAUCAAGCCAUACUCCAGAACUUCCAUGAAACCCGACGAUCUUUUUACCGAUUGAUGGAAAAUGAAAGUGCUCCCCAACCUCCUCACCAUAUGGCCCAUAAGUUCUUUCAUUGCUAAAAAAUGUGAGCGAGCGAACAAUAGUAUACCCGAAAUAAGAUCCAAAGUGACUAGAAAAUGAGGUUAAAUACUCUCGAGGAUAAUCGGGCUUAAUCUGCAAAAUUGGAAAGACAAACAUAUUUAAUCCCAACCCCCCGCCCCCAACUAAAUAAUCCUAAAAACAACAUAAAGAGAACACUUCAGUUGAUAAGUUAUAUUUGGUUAAACAAACAAUGUAAAAGUUGAAUAGAUAAUCGGCUGCAUUUAGAACAUAAGACCUAUUUUGGUCCGCCACAGUUAUCAAAUCAUUCAUCGAUAAAACGGAAGGCAAUUGAUUAUUAAAAAACGAAAAAAAAAAUGCUUUGGCAACUCUUUGAGAACAGUUCCCAUAUUUUAGGAAAGUUAUUUUUAGACUUAAAAGUCAUAAAGUUAAAAAAACCUUUUAAUAUUUUUUUUUUUUGCCUUUUUUCAGAGGCUGUACUUUUCUUUAUGUAUUGAGUGAUCUCAUCGUAAAUGGAACCGAGGAAGGUUGGAAAAGUUUUCCAGGAAAACCGAUGAGAGGUUUCUUUUCUGGUGUUGAUAUUAUAUCAUGCCCCAACAGUUCUCAGAAGUUCCCAUUCUAGAUAAUUUGCCAAUCUAAACUCAAAAUCUACGAACUGUUCUUAUAUCUCACUUCCACCUUUAACUUCUAUUUAUAAGAUACUAUCACACUCGUGCAUAAUCGUGACCUCCGAACCACUUAAACACCAAACCUUAGCAAUGACAUAGAAGUUGCACGUUCAUAAGAUUAAGUAAAUGUUAAAGGCCAUACCUCGAAUGUUAGAUGUCCUCCAUCUCCACCAUGUUUAGGGCCCUGAACCACAGACCCGUUCUUGUCAUACUCAAUAGUAAUGGAGUCAAUAGCUGAUCCACCUUUUACAAUUAUUUUUCUCACACCUAUGCUAUCUCUGUCGUCCCAUAGAUUGCUACCUUGUCCUCCAAAUGGCCCAAUGGAUUUCAAGAGAUGAAGAUCAGAAAUUGGUUCAAAGUAGACUCCUAGCGCAUCAAGUUGAAUGCCAGACCUUCCGUGAAAGCUAAUUAUCUUGCUACAUGCCAAAGCACAGCUAAAGAACCUUCCUUCUUCCUUACCAAAGGGUCCGUGCCUUCUUAUAUUGCUUUCGAACGUGAGUGAUUGAACAAUAGAAUUAUCAUGUCUGAUAUAACCUGACACUGAGGUCAAGAACUCAUGAGGAUAGUCCAACUUAACCUGCAGAAUUAGCAAUAAAUUGUCAUAUUGAUCUAUAUCAAAGAUGAUGGACUGCAGUGGCCUAAGCAAAAAUCUCAUCCACGAACAACCUAGAAAUUCAAGACUUAGAUCCAAGAAUUUCUUAAAACUAAUGUAUGGAUGGACCACUAUUCUUACGUCAUACUUUUAGGGUCAGCAAUUGAAGAUAAUAGACCAUUGGGCUCUCUAGGGCGCUUUGCCAAUUCGCUUUCUUUAGUAUUAGAAAAACUUAUCGCACAAGGUCACUUUCAUGGAGUCCCUCUCGCAUAAAGCAUAUUAAUGGAACUUUGUCUAAUUUACAAAAUAUCAAUUACCGGAAGCAAUUUUAAUGAUCAGAAGACGAUUUCAAUCAUUCAGUUCAUUUGGACGGUUUUCAUUUCCCUCUAAGAAACUAUCCCAACCCAUACUUGAUCAUUGUCCAUCAUGUAUACAGGUUCUAUCACUCACAAUUUAGUUUGAUAAAGGUUCUCAAGUUUAUUAGAAAACUAAUACUCGAUCUAAUGGUGGCGUAGGGCAGUGGGAGCUGCCUAAGAUCUUCUCCGUACCUUACCGAACUACAUAAAAACAUUCCUUCUAAAGCAGCUAUCAAUAUCAGUAAGAAAAACUCCAUUAUAGUCAUUUCAGUACAUUCAAUUUGCUUAUAGAGAAUACAUAACAUUAACGUAGUAAAUAAGAAAUUGAAAAUUUUCAUUGAAAUUAUUUGUUUGCAAAUUUUCUAAAAGGAUUAUCAUAAGUUCGUCUUUCCAUCGAAACAAUAGGGCUGUUAUGCUUGUUACUAAACUUAUGGAAGAGAUAAAAUAUAAUCAAGGUAUAUCUUUUUUUCUUUUUUUCUUUUUUUCCAUCAAAGGUUGGAUCAAUCAUCAGAGGAACGAUUAGGCAAAAAUUAGGAUACAGUUUAGGAAAAUAAAACUUCCAAUUGAAGAUAAGCAAAUGAAGGGCUUUCACAAAAGUUCUCCUAGAAUCGAUAGAGGUUUGGGCAAGUGCGCGCGUGAGAGAGAAGGGGAACUGUAAUUUGAACAGAAAAUAUGCAAUGAACUCACCAUAUGGAUAUCUCCGCUACCAUUGUGACCACGGGUAGAGGACCAAAUAGAUUCGCCAUUAUCAUCAUACUCAAAAGAGAUGCAGUUGACAACAUCUUCCAACAUCAUCUUUAUUUUCUUUACACCAUUAAACUUUCCAUCGUCCCAACGGUGUCCACCUUGGCCUCCAAAUGGUCCAAUAAACUCGAUCGGACAUAGAUGAGAGAUUGGUUUGAAAUAUGCUCCGAGAGAUUCAAGAUGGGAAUUGGAACUCCCAAAAAACCCAAUGAUCUUUCCCCCGGUGGCGGGGAAUGAAAAUUUCCUUCUGGUUUUAGUGCCAAAUGGCCCAUAUAUUCUUUUAUUGCUUUGAAAUGUGAGUGAAUGGAUGAUAGUAGAGCCAAAAUCACUCGUCAUAUAGCCCCAAACUGAAGUUAGAUACUCACUUAACCAAUCUAGAAUUAUCUGUAAUAAUUUUUAGAAUGUAAGGAAUAGCCAAUGCAACAACUUGUAAAACAAAAACAUUACGCAUGAUAGUAACAAGUAUGUGACACCAACUUCUAGAUAGUCAGUAAAUGCGCAUGAGUGGAAAAAUAUAAAAUAGAUAAUCUUUCGUAAUUCACUGUAAUGCCGUAUAUCUCAUAUAAAAAGUAGAUACUCUUUGAAUUGCACAUGAGAUAUCAUUGGUAAUAUUGUGUAAUUUCGAGAUUAACUCAUCACUUGAGUUUCAUAAAACAAUUCAUUAGAAUAAAGAUAAACAAGAGAGACAGUUAAUUAUUGACAUCCGGACUCCUGAAGUGCCAAAAGUUGGCACAAAAGGACAUUUAAGUGCCAAAAGUUACGAAAGUGGCACUUAAGUGUAAAAAUCGGAGCAAAAUGGAUCACUUAAGUGCCAAUCCGGCCAAAAUGUUGAUGUCAUGAUUUUCCGGUAAAGCAAGUGCAAAACAGUAUUGUUUUGGUGCUAACAUGGUAAAAAAUUAAUUAAAUUAAAUUAAAUUAAAAAUUAAAUUUAUUUAAAACGUUUGAAAAUAAAAAUAAAAAUAUUAAAAAAUUAUUUUUUAAAAAAAUGGAGGCGGCUAAGGGUUGAGCCCUCCCCAUCACCGCUAGGAAGGGUCGGCGACGGAGGGGGGAGGGUCGACCAGGGCCGCCGGGUCCUAGCCAGGGGCCGGUGACCCCGGUCGAUUGGCGGCGAGGGCCCACGAGCCCUCGCCCAGAUCCGGUGAGGGUCAGUGGCCCUCGCCGGCUAGGCCAAGGGUCAUCCCUCGCUUAGGCGACUGGGCGAGGGCCGUCGACCCUCGUCGGAUUUGGGCGAGGGUUGUGACCCUUGCCUUGAUUUCGAGUGAGGGCUCAUGGGUCUUCGUUGCCGGGUUGGUCGGGGUCGCCGGCCCCUGACAGCCUGUUGGGGGUCGCCCCAGUGGGCGGCGGCCCUUGGCCCGGCCGAGUGAGGGUCAUCGACCCUCACCAGAUCUGGGCAAAGGCCAUAACCCUCGCCCCAAAUUAGGACAAGGGCUCGUGGGGCCUUGCCGUCAGCUGACCCUCCCCCCUCUGUCACCAGCCCUUCCCGAUAGCGACAGCUAAGCCCUCAACCACCUCUCUCUUUAAAAAAAAAAAAAAUAUAUAUAUAUAUAUAUAUAUAUAAGAUUUUUUAAUAUUUGUAUUUGUAUUUUUAAAUGUUUUAAAUAAAUUUAAUUAAAUUUAUAUUAAUUUUUUACCAUGUUAGUACCAAAAUAAUAUCGUUUUUACAUUAUCUAGCCACGUUAGCAUGCAAAAUGGUAUCGUUUUGCACUUACUUCGCCGAAAAUUGCGCAUAUUAGUAUUUUGGCCGGAUUGGUACCUAAGUGAUUAAUUUUGCUUCGAUUUUGACACUUAAGUGUCACUUUCGUAACUUUUGGCACUUAAGUGUCUCUUUAUGCCAACUUUUAGCACUUGAAGUGUACUUUUGCCGUUAAUUAUUCCACAAGUUGUUCUGGAAACAACUCAUGUAUGCAAAACAACAUUCACUGGCAUACAUUUCACCAAUUUUCAAAAACAAAUAAAUCGUGUUCCAAUAGUUUUUUUUUAAUUUUAUUAUGUUAUACGUCCCGCUUUUAUAUUUCCCGGAUGAGUUAUAAUUACGGUGGUUCAACUUGGCUAAGUUUUAAACAUUAGCGAAUAGCGACUAAUGAUUUCUAUUUAUGCAUCACGUCUUCAGCCCAUGUCAUUAUGAGCUGCACGAAUCAGAAAUAAAAAAAGAGUAGCUUUCAUCUAACACCAAGAUCAACAAUUCAUUACUCGAAUAGAACCGGUACCUUGUUCGUUGUGCCUCCCCCACUUGUACCGUGUGCAAAAGAACGACCUUGCUCAUAGGUAAUACUUAUCGACUCAAUUGCAGAACCAGAGACGACAUCAAUUUGUCUAACGUCUGUAUGCUUGCCGUCAUCCCAUCGGUCUUCAUAAUUACUAUUUCCAAAUGGGCCUACGACUUCAAAGGGAUAUGCACGAGAGAUUGGUAAAAGAUUUGCUCCAAUGGAAUUUAGACAACUGCCACACCUCCCAAAGAAUCCGACGAUCUUCCCAGCAACCGGUGGGAAACUGAAAAAUUCCCCGAUCUCAUUGCCAAAUGGACCAUAUGUUCUCCUAUUGCUGUGGAAGGUAAGUGAUUGAAUGGCGACAAAUCUGGGAUCGUCCAUAAUGUAGCCUGACACUGAAGUCAAGAACUCAUUUGGAUAAUCUAGUUUUACCUGCAGGCAGCAGCACAAAUCUUGCAUCCGUCACCUUCAAGAAAUGGAUAUUACCAAAACUAAGGAUAUUGGAUACUUUUGAGGACCUAAAAAGUACUUCAAGCGGAUACUGCAUGAGCACUGAGAAAAUCAAUUCGCUAGUCUCACUAAACUCACUCAACUUAUUCAACUCCAUCUUAAAGCCCUGAUUUUUGCAUAAACAGAUGGAGUUCAUGACACUCUGUGUUGGGAACAUCAAAGCAAAAUCAAAAUCUUUGAUAAAUCUAACAUCAAGACAAGUAUAUAAAACCAACACAACUUCUUUUUCUUCUUUUACAAACGUCGAGAAUUUGGGAGAUCAUGAAGCACUGUGGACCAACCCCGUUGAAUCCUUUUAAGCAAUUUACCUUCGAUGUAGACUCUUAUUUUCUAAUGACCGAACAGUACAUCAUAUUUUGAUGUGGAGUAUAGCAUUAGUAGAAAUAAAUAUUUACAUAUAGGCAAAGGUCUGCGAUGUCUUGGCAAAAAUAAUUACAAAUAUAUGCCAUAGCAUACUAUAACAGUGGACUCACCGUGCAUAUUCUGCCUUCCGUAGGUCCACCAUGUCUUGGCGAGCGGACCAAACACCCAUCCUGAUCAUACUCAAUAGAAAAGGACACAAUCCCUGACAUUACGACAACAGUUAUUUUUCUAACAUCAGUGUGUGUUUUAUCAUCAUAAGGACUCCCGCCACGACCUCCAUAUGGCCCCACUGAUUGAAAGGGAAGAACAGAGGAGAACGGUUCUAAAGGCAAUCCAACUGAGUCAAGAUGAGGGUCUCUCACCAACUUCUCCAAUAUCUCAUGCCACUGACUUUUCCUCUUCUUAGAAAGGAAGGAACCAAAUCUUUUCAGGGCUAUUGGAAGUCCACCCGUGUAGUGGACAAGCCUCUUUGACAGCUCUUCAUAGCCUUCUUUAGGGUGGUCUUUGCGGAAGGCAUGGUGACUCAAGAGUUCGAGCGAUUCUUUAUGAGUCAAUCCUGGAAGCAUGUGCUUGUUAUCUACUUGGAUAUCUUCCAGCAACUGCUCAUCUCUUGUAGUUAUCAAAAUUCUACUCCCAUGUUGGAACCAAUCUCGAUCUCCAGCUCCGAAAAACUCAAUUUGGUCCUUCUUAGUAAUGUUAUCAAGUACUAGAAGGAUCCUUUUAUGGCAGAGCUUAGCUUUUAUCUCGUUGAUGUUGCUGUGAAGAUCAAACGUUUCUAGACCUUGUACCUUCAGAACAUCGUGGAGAAGUCUCUUCUGUAGAAGUAAAGCCUUAUCUUGGUUGGCAUCUCCGACAUUUUCAAGUAAGCUAACACCUUCAAAUUCCCUAAUAACACGAUCGCAGACGACUUUGGCCACCGUUGUCUUGCCAAUUCCUUUCAUUCCCCAUAUUCCAAUCACACGGACAUCAUCCUCUGACCAAAUUUCCAGCGAUGAUAUCACAUCCUCUACAAAGGAAUCCACCCCGAUAACAUUUUUGACCAAAUAGGGCGAGAUUGCUCUAGGACUGACCGUGAGUAGAUGUCCGACGAUUUGCUCGAUGAAGUUUGAUUGAACCCUGUAGUUACAUGGGAAGAACAAGCCCUACAUGAGUAACUAUAGCAUAGAAAGGCCAUCAGCAGAUGAGCGGUAAACCCAAGAACUAGACUCGAUCAACAGCAUAUUUCAAAUCGACCACUAAUAUGAGCUUUUUCAGGAGUGAACUUAUUAAAUGCUUUACCCACUAGCAUCAUUAUUCAAGUGCCAUCCUGACAAAUUCCCAGCUUCUUUAAGCGCAUCCCUCCACUUCUGCACAAGUAAUUCGCCAGUGUGGGUGGCCAAAUUUUUGAAACCAUCCCUGAAUUGCCCGCUUUGUUUCCGAACGUCCCGUGGCUUGACAUCAAAGAAAAUGGGCAGAACCGCGUGACCCUGAUGAUCUCUGAACCUCCUGUUGCACUCUAGGAUCUCCACCAGCUCGUUCAAGCACCACCACGAGUCGGCGUAUUUGGUGGUGAACACUGUUAAGAGUAUAACACAAGAUAUGGGUGCUGAUAGAAACAGAGGAAAGAAGAAAGAAGACUUCAAGAAUAGAGGAAAGGAAGAAGGUGAAAGUGAGUUCAGUAGCAGCAAUAAGAAAGCUGAUGAAAACAGAGAAGUUAACAACAGAGAUUACAGAAUUCGUGAAAUUGAUUUACCUUUGAGAAAUCGGUUUUCAAUUUUCAAUUUGUAAAGUCAAACUCUGUUCUUUAAUUCAGUUAGUUUGUUAGUACUGUUAAGCUAGUUAGUUUUCAUUCAGUUUAGAGCACUUCAGCAGAUAUAAAAGCUGAUAAGAGAAAGGCAAGAGGAUGUACCUUCUUAUUCAUUGAAACAGAGCACUCAGUUGAAUAAUAGACGAUUUUUACUCUCUGAAUCAUCUUUCCUUCUUGCUUCCAUUCAUUGUUCUGUUCAUCAAAAUCCUUCAUGGUAUCAGAGCAGUCUUCCUGAGAGUAUGAAUCCACCUUCUUCUCAAUGAAAAGAUGAUGAAUCUACAGCAGAUUGAAGCUUCAUCGAUUGCUGUCUUCUGGUGUUGAUGGUGAGCAGUCUUCCUGAGAGUAUGAAUCCAUCUUCUUCUCAAUGAAAAGAUGAUGAAUCUAUAGCAGAUUGAAGCUUCAUCGAUUGCUGUCUUCUGGUGUUGAUGGUGGUAUGUACUCGUCAUUUGAGGAUCUGGAAAUCGGUUUUCAAUACUAAAGAAGAACAGUGAGUUGUUUCUUCUUCUAAAUCAAGUUCUUAUCAUCAUCGGUAAUAGAAUCACAACUCUGUUCUCUGUUCUGCAAAAUCAGUAGGGGAUUAGUUUCAGUAAUAAAGAAUCCUCAAGAAUCUGAGUGUGAAAAUGGCAGCAAGGAUGCAGAAGUAUCCAUUCCCUAUUCAUGUUAACAUCUCAAACUUUGUUACCAUCAAAUUAGCCGAAGAAAAUUUUCUUCUUUGGCAAGCUCAGUUUCAUAGGUUUUUAAGAAGUCAAGAUCUGUUCGGUUUUGUUAGUGGAGAAAGUCCACCACCUGCCAAAUCAUUGCAAAUUGAAGGAAAAGAACAGGGUACUUAAAUUAUAAACCCUGAUUACAAUGAUUGGAUUAAGACAGAUCAACUUGUGUCGUCAUGGAUUAGUGGUGCUGUCUCAGAGAACAUACUUAGCCUAAUAAUUGGUUUAGAUACUGCGUUUGAAGUUUGGCAGACACUACUUAACCGAUUCACACAAAAGUCUGUGGCCAGAGAAUUUGAGUUAAGAAGGAAGUUGCAAGGAUGUCAGAAACGUGAUCGAGCUUUGGCUAUAUAUUUUAGGGAAUACAAGUCUAUCUGUGAUCAACUCAAGGCCAUAGGGAAACCUGUUGAUGAAAUAACAAAAUUGUUUGGAGUUUUGGAAGGUUUAGGGUCUGAGUAUGAAAGUUUUAAGACCACAAUAUAUUGCUUAAAACCACAACCUGAAUAUGAUGAGGUGAUAUCACAUUUGGAGAGAUUUGAAGCAAGAUUACAGAACUACUCGUCAAAUCAGUUCAGUCCUAAUCUAGCCUAUUAUGGCCAAAGGAAAACUGAACUUCUACAAAGAGAAGUUUUUGACAGAGAACCAGCACAAAAUGUCAGUUUUGGAGGACCAAGAGGAUAUAUUCGUGGAGGCAGGAGUUAUGGAAGAGGACGUCCAUUUAAUAAUCGAUAUCGCAGCUAUGGAUAUUCUGGUAGAAGUAUAAGCUACAGACAGAAUAAUCCAAGUUAUGAUCAAGGGGAACAACAGUUCAAGCAAUUCAACACUAUCCCUGGCAUUGGUUCUGGUCAAGGUUUUAGACCGUAUGCUGGUUCCACACAAAGAAAUCCAGAUAUCAAGACAUAUCCCUCUAACUCAUCAAAUCUAACCCUUCAUAAAAAUCUGCAGGAAAAUAGAGUGACAGAAAACACUCGAUUAGAGUGUCAGAUCUGCAAACGUCCUGGACAUGAUGCUCUUCACUGUUGGUAUAGAUUCGACAACUCUUAUCAAGCUGAGGAAAUACCAACAGCACUAGCAGCAAUGCAUCUUGAAGAACCAGGUGGCAGUGAAUGGUAUCCAGACACUGGCGCAACAGCUCACAUCACUGCUAAUGCUGGUAUUCUUCACAAUUCCUCUAAACACAUUGGUAAUGAUACUGUUAUGAUUGGUAAUGGCUUAUGCUUACCUAUUACUCAUAUUGGUGAUGCCUUACUACCUACUACAGUGGAUACUUUACCUUUGAAUGAUGUGUUAAUUGUUCCAUAAAUUAAGAAAAAUCUUCUGUCAGUCUCAAAAUUAACUGAUGAUUAUCCUUGCUCGUUUGUCUUUGACAAAAUCGGUGUAUAUAUAAAGGAUCACUCAUCCAGCAGAAUCAAGAUGCUCGGAAGGAAAGUUAAUGGACUCUACCGAGUAGACCCUCGUGUUACAGAAGUCCUCUUUACUCAAAAACACAGGACAGUUGGAGAAGAUGUGUGGCACCAACGUUUAGCCCACACGAACUUGAAGGUCUUGGAGCACAUGAAGAAUCAGCAGUUAAUUCACUGCAAUACAAAGCUGCAGUCUAUAUGCAGGAGUUGUAAAAUAGCUAAGAGCACUGCUUUACCCUUCCCAUUAUCAGACUCUGUAGCUUCUAGACCCUUAGAACAGAUUCAUUGUGACAUCUGGGGACCUUCUCCAGUUAAUUCAUUUCAGCACUUCAAGUAUUAUGUGAUUUUUGUGAACAACUUCUCUCGAUUUAGCUGGCUUUAUCCGCUGAAACUAAAGUCAGAUUUCUAUAAUGUCUUUCUCAUGUUUUAGAAGUUAGUAGAAAAUCAGUUUGAUUGUAGAAUCAAGGUCUUCCAAUGUGAUGGUGGAGGAGAAUUCAUCAGCCACAAAUUCAAGUCUCAUCUACAGAAUUGUGGAAUUCAACAACGUCUGUCCUGUCCUUACACACCUAAACAGAAUGGCAUAUCCGAAAGAAAACAUCGACACAUUAUUGAGAUUGGUCUGGCUAUGCUUUAUCAUGCAAGACUUCCUUUAAAGUUUUGGGUUGAUGCAUUUAUAACAGCAAACUACUUGGUUAAUCUACUUCCCACUCCAAAGUUACAAAUGAAGUCGCCCUACACUAUGCUAUAUCAGCAACAACCAAGUUAUGAUCAUCUCAGGAUCUUUGGGUGUGCAUGCUAUCCAUGUCUCAGACCCUAUGCACAAAACAAGUUUGAUCCAAGAUCUCUUACUUGUGUAUUCUUAGGUUACAGUGAUCGCCAUAAGGGAUAUCGGUGUCUUAUUCCCACCACUGGUCAUAUAUACAUUAGUCGCCAUGUUGUAUUUGAUGAAAGUUUCUUUCCAUUUACUCAGAAACUGACAGCAGACUAUCCUCAUCAUACAAAACUAUAUCAACUGUGGACAAAGGAAGCUCAAUUCUUCAACUCUCCAAAUGAAGAAGGCAAACAAUCCACAUUAUCUGAACAUACAAACCAUUUACAGAACAACAACAUCAUCACUGCAGCUCACUUACAAGACUCUCCUAGUUCAGAAUCACAUUCAGCCUUGUCUUCAUCUCCAUUGCCCAUAACAUCUGCUGAUUCUUUAAAUUCAGCAUCCUCCUCAACCUCUUCUUUGGAUCAUUUGUCUCGAACUAACUUUGCAGAAUUAGGAGCUCCUAUCUCCACCACUGAAUCACCAGGUGAUCCUACUGUUGCUCGAACUUCUUCUUCCCCAAUUAUCUCAUCACACAUAUCAUCUACUCAUCCUAUGCAAACUAGAUCCAAAUCUGGCAUUGUAAAGAUCAAUCCUCGAUAUGCCUGCUUAGCUGAAUAUCAAGUGCCUCCUGAGCCACGCUCACUUAAAUAUGCACUAGCAGAUCAAGGCUGGUAUAGAGCCAUGAAAGAUGAAAUGGAUGCAUUAGAUGAAAAUCAGACUUGGAUACUAGUUCCUCGCACUAGCCAGAUGAAUGUUAUUGGCUGCAAGUGGGUAUACAAGACAAAACUUGCACCAGAUGGCAGUCUUGAUUGUCUAAAGGCUCGGUUAGUAGCCAAGGGCUUUCAUCAGGAAGAAGGAGUGGAUUUUACAGAAACAUUUAGCCCUGUUGUCAAGCAUGCCACUAUCCGCAUUGUGCUCUCGGUUGCAAUAGUACAGAAUUGGCAGAUCCAUCAACUUGAUGUGAAAAAUGCAUUUCUUCAUGGCAACUUGAAUGAAACAGUCUAUAUGCAGCAGCCUCCUGGCUUUGUUCAUCCACACAAAUCUCAGCAUGUCUGUCUUCUUAAGAAGUCCCUUUAUGGGCUUCGCCAAGCACCACGUGCCUGGUUCGAUAAGUUCAGCAACUUCCUCCUUGAAGUUGGUUUCUUCUGUAGUACCACAGAUCCAUCUCUCUUUAUAUUGAGAAAUGGCCAAGAGAUAGUCCUGCUGCUAUUAUAUGUGGACGACAUUAUCUUGACUGGCAGCUCAUACACAUUACUACAUAGUCUGAUUCAGUCUCUCAGUCUUCACUUUCAUAUGAAAGAUCUUGGCCAUCUUCACUACUUCUUAGGAAUUGAAGCAAAACGUAUCACUACAGAACUGUUUUUGUGUCAAACUAAAUAUGCUCUUGACCUACUCAAACGAGCACACAUGGUCGACUGUAAACCAAUCUCCACUCCCUUGUCCCUGCAACCAGUUAUCCUCAAAACUGAUCACACCCUUCUCUCCAAUCCAGUUGAAUAUCGAAGUUUAGUUGGUGGAUUACAAUAUUUGACUAUAACACGUCCUGAUCUUGCUUUUGCCACAAAUCUAUUAUGCCAGAAAAUGCAACAGCCUACUGUAGGCGAUCUUCAUCGAUUAAAAAGGGUCCUUCGGUAUGUUAAAGGCACAAUUCAUCUUGGCCUCUUCAUUCGUUCCCACAGCUCUAUGCAUUUAUAUGGCUUCUCUGAUGCAGACUGGGCUGGCUGUGUAGAGACCAGACGAUCAACAACUGGUUACUGUACCUUUCUUGGAUCAAAUCUCAUUUCAUGGGCAGCUAAGAAACAAUCUACUGUCUCUCGCUCCUCCACUGAAGCCGAAUAUAGAGCACUUGCCUCGGCUACAGCUGAUCUAACUUGGAUUAGUUUUGUUCUCCGUGAUAUUGGCCAACCUUUGCAUUCUCCAACUCUUCUCUUCUGUGACAAUCAGUCUGCUAUCUCACUCACAGCAAAUCCUGUUCUCCAUGCUCGCACCAAACAUAUUGAAGUCGACUUCCACUUUGUCCGUGAGAAAGUUUCUUCUGGUUCUCUUCGAGUUCAAUAUGUUCCGAGCAAAUGUCAACUUGCUGACAUUUUCACUAAAGCCUUAACACGGCUCACACAUUCUACUCUACGGAUCAAAUUGGGUAUCGGUAUACUACCUCCUACCAAUUUGAGGGGGGAUGUUAAGAGUAUAACACAAGAUAUGGGUGCUGAUAGAAACAGAGGAAAGAAGAAAGAAGACUUCAAGAACAGAGGAAAGGAAGAAGGUGAAAGUGAGUUCAGUAGCAGCAAUAAGAAAGCUGAUGAAAACAGAGAAGUUAACAACAGAGAUUACAGAAUUCGUGAAAUUGAUUUACCUUUGAGAAAUCGGUUUUCAAUUUUCAAUUUGUAAAGUCAAACUCUGUUCUUUAAUUCAGUUAGUUUGUUAGUACUGUUAAGCUAGUUAGUUUUCAUUCAGUUUAGAGCACUUCAGCAGAUAUAAAAGCUGAUAAGAGAAAGGCAAGAGGAUGUACCUUCUUAUUCAUUGAAACAGAGCACUCAGUUGAAUAAUAGACGAUUUUUACUCUCUGAAUCAUCUUUCCUUCUUGCUUCCAUUCAUUGUUCUGUUCAUCAAAAUCCUUCAAACACGACGAGGGCAACCCUAGAAUUGCGAAUCGCGUCAAGCAGCUUGGGCUCGAUGAAAAUCCCAGUCUCCACUUUGUCAUUGUCCCUGAAAUAGUAGAUCCCCGCCUGCCUCAGCGCACGGAAGAGGUGGGACGCGAAGUUCUUCCUUAUGUCCUCACCUCUGAAGCUCACGAACACAUCAUACUUCCAUGGAUGGAUUAAAGCAGAAGACGAAAUGCGUCGCUCGAUCUCUUCGGUUCCCAUGGGGACAGUGCGUGAUUGAGUGAGAGAAUGGGAAAUAGGCUGCAAACUUUUCUCGCGGGUGAAGGUAUGUAUCAGAGAGAGAGAGAGAGAGAGAGAGAGAGAGGACAGGCUCUGCUUCUCCAAUUGAAUCCUCGCACAAGCAGGCGAGCGGGACUCGAUUCGUUCGAAGCACUGAAGAAAGACUUGCACGCUCGAGGACGGCUAGGUGCGAAUCGUCACACAAACCACGUGUUGGAGUCAACGCCUAAUAUAAUAAUGAAAAUACAUUAUGCAUGAAGGCUGCACGUAAACCGCCUCAGAAAAGUGUGCUGCAGCGCCACACUUAAACCGCCAAAGAAGAAAUUUCUUGAAGAAGCCACAAGGAUCAAAAGAAUGGGCACAUAUUAAAAUAUUAUUAUAAUGGCUGCUGGAGUCUUCAAGAGAGCACGAAGGAAAGAAAAACUUGCGGCUGGCAACUUGGACGUGAAGGAAAAGCAGCCCACAAUUUUUGACUGCCAAGAAAAGUUCAAAUUCAACUCUUGCACGUUGAAGACAAUGGCGGUGGAGUUUAGGCGGUGGAGUCCAGGCGGUGAACGAUGCUUAUAAAUAUAGGGUCACGUUAGUUUAUUAAGAGAGAGAGAGUGAGGUAGCUUCAAAAGCAUAUAGAAAGAAUGAGAGAGUUUUAAGCUUAGCAAAGCUUGUGUGUGUACUCCAUUAAGCCUCUACAAGGCAUAUUGUGUAAUAUAUUCUCUCUGUGUGUUCUCUCCCUCCAAAUCCUUUCAGUUCCAACAAUUGGUAUUAGAGCUAGUCGGCCAGGGACUAUAUCAAAGCUAGCGGUCAGGGAUCGUGAAUCUAGAGCAGGCCAAGGAUUGGAGUGUCAGAGCCUAGGAGGUCAGGAACCGGAGUAUCAAAAGAGUGGCCGGAGACUGAGAACCUAGAGCAAUCGAUCAAGGAUCGUGAACUCAAAGCUAGCAAUGGCUUCCACCAAUUCUAUUCAGUUGCUACUUCCAAAGUUGAAUGGAAAGAAUUACAACAACUAGUCCGUCCAGAUGAAGGUUCUUUUCAAAUCCCAAGAUUUGUGGAACCUAGUAGAGAACGGCUACACCGAAGUGGCCGAUGCCGAAGCAUUCGAUGCUUUAAGAAAGACAGAGAAAGAUUAGAAAGCAUUAUUUACGAUCUUUCAAGAUGUGAAGGAGACGAUAUUUGAGAAAAUAUCGAGCGCGGAGACAGCGAAAGAAGCGUGGGAUAUAUUGCAAAAAUCCUACAAAGGCGAUGAUCGUGUUAGGCGGGUGCGGCUCCAAACACUUCGAGGAGAUUUUGAGUCUUUACGCAUGAAUGGCUCUGAAUCUAUUUCAGCUUACUUUGAUCAUGUACAAACCAUCGUUAACCAACUGAAAGUUAAUGGUGAAGAACUCCAAGAUGUACGAGUCGUAGAAAAAAUCUUGAGGUCUUUGAUUGAAAGGUUUGACUACGUUGUUGCGGCGAUUGAAGAAGGCCAAGAUAUAUCAACCAUGACAUUGGAGCGUUUGAUGGGUUCAUUAUGCUCGCAUGAGCAAAGAAUGAAUAAGAAGUCCAUCAGUUUGUAUCUUGAGCAAGAAUUGCAAAGUCGGGUUGUUCAGUCAAAUCAAGGAGAUUACCAAGGUGGACAAGGUCGUGGAGGUACCCGAGGUAGGGGUGGAAAUUCAAAUUUCACCAAAAGAUAUAAAACACGUGACAAAUCAAAAGUCAGUAAAUUCGGACAUUACAAAUCCAAAUGUCAAGAAAAGGUGACAUAACAUGCACAUAUCGUCAAUGAUGACGAAGAUGUGGUGCUAGCAUGUACCGUGGAUGAUGCAUGUACUCUUUCUAGAAAUAAAAGAGGUUUCAAGAGCCAAUGGAGAAAUGAUGCUGGCAUUAGGAAUGGCAAACGGUGGAAAUGUCAUAGUGAAUGGCAGAGGCGAUCGGUAGCAAGAAGCACUCAACCAGGGAGAGCACACCAAGAUUGUAACAAAGAUAACAAAAGGUAUAGCAAACGGUGCUACAUUUGUGGCAAAGUAGGUCACUUUGCCAGAGUUUGUUGGUUCAAGCAGGUAAAACAAGAUGCUACAACUUUUACCAAGAAGAAGAACCAUAGUAAUAAAGAAUGGAGUCUCCAAGCGAUUGUUGCAGCAGAGGAGCAAGAAGAGCCCGUAGCCACCGAUAUCAUCAAGGCAGAUGAUGGGAUAGCCAUUGAGACAUCCCCGAAGAAGAGCAAGCCAUGGGCAAGCUCGAAGAAGCAAGUACCAGCUUCAACAAGCAAUUGUGAGAAGGAAUUGUAAGAGAUGCGGGAGAUGUUGAAAGAGAAGGAUGAAAUGCCAAAGCAAAAGGACAAGGAGCUCAAGCUCAAAGAAAGAGAGCACGAGAAGCUUCGAUACGAGCUCAAGAAAUUGCAAAGGCUCAAGAAAUGUUGCCCAAAGAAAAAGAUCCCCAGGGACAAAAACAAAUGGAAGAUUGUAGAGAAGAAGUUCCAUGAGAAGGAAAAGGAGACUGAUACGCAAAGUGAAAUGGCUAUUGGAGAAAUCUUCAUGGAGUGUUUUGGAGCUAACGAAACGUUUCCAUCAGUCUAGUCUGAAGAUUUGCAAACUCUUCUAUUUAAAGUCUGAAGACCUCCGGACUGCCAGACUCAAAGUCUAUUCUCAUUGACAGUUUCUAAUCCGUCGAAGAAUGCCUAUCCAGGACUAGAUGUUUCGUUAAGGAUUUGACCUUAUCGACUGAAGAAGAUCUCUUGGCUGGAUAUGACAUAACAGAAUCAUUUAUUCGGAUCAAGAUUGAUUCAGAGAUUGAGGAUCCGAUGAUUGGGCGAAGUAUACUUGGAAUGUUCUACUUAUGGAAACCGAGAUCCUGAUUAUAUGGGCGAGCAGGAUUGAUGGACUAUCGUCAUGUUCCUUAAAUAGCUCGAAUGAUUUUCCUAAUUGAUUCUGUCCAACGGGAAGAUUGGAAGAAUUCCUUUGAUAAGUGCCAACAGGUAUGAUGGCGUAAAGGAGUAUAUAAGGAAAACGUUCCAGUUGUUCGAGUGUGUACGUGAUAGAAGAAUUCCAAAGUCUAAAACUCAUUGUUCUUAGUCAAUUCAUUUACUGAGCGAAAUCUUGUACGCAAAAGAGAAUCUAUAUUCUUGAGAAACCUUGAGGGAGUGUGGUAGAGUAUCUACACUGUGGAAUCAAUUGAGAGCUUUGCUGUAACAACUCUUUUGUUCAUAGUGAAAUCCAGCCGAUGGACUGUCAGUGCGGAAGAGUGGACGUUGGUUUGGAAUAAGCCGAACCACUAUAAUUUCUGUAUUCAUUUUCUUUUCCCUACUCUCUGCUUUACUUUGAUCAUAAUUCGUUUUGUUAACAAAAUGAGAACUUCCUUUCUAUUGUCUAUUUAGUAUUGCUCACUUAUCACGAGAAACGAUUUUUACACCUAUUCACUCCCCUCUAGGUGCUUAUACUAGCUAUCUCAAUGGCAUUAAUGAAAUCAGAGCUUCACAAAUCUCAAUUGGAAGUCACAGUUGCUGAGGCAACUGAUGAAGAUGAAUAUCAAAUGCUAUAGAAGAAGAGUAUUAGGUGUUGUGGGAGAGCGUUGGAAUCAACACCUAAUAUAAUGAUGAAAAUACAUUAUGCAUGAAGGCUGCACGUAAACAGCCUCAGAAAAGUGUGCUGCAGCGCCACACUUAAACCGCCAAAGAAGAAAUUUCUUGAAGAAGCCACAAGGAUCAAAAGAAUGGGCACAUAUUAAAAUAUUAUUAUAAUGGCUGCUGGAGUCUUCAAGAGAGCACGAAGGAAAGAAAAACUUGCGGCUGGCAACUUGGACGUGAAGAAAAAGCAGCCCACAAUUUUUGACUGCCAAGAAGAAAAGUUCAACUUCAACUCGUGCACGUUGAAGAUAAUGGCGGUGGAGUUUAGGCGGUGGAGUCCAAGCGGUGAACGAUGCUUAUAAAUAUAGGUUACGUUAGUUUAUUUAGAGAGAGAGAGAGUGAGAUAGCUUCAGAAGCAUAUAGAAAGAAUGAGAGAGUUUUAAGCUUAGCAAAGCUUGUGUGUGUACUCUAUUAAGCCUCUGCAAGGCAUAUUGUGUAAUAUAUUCUCUCCGUGUGUUUAUACUCUCUCCUUCCAAAUCAUUUCAGUUCCAACGCCACAUCCAUGAUUCGUACUCUCUUGAAAGCUUGACCUCGAUCUCCGUGACGGUAGACUUCAAUGCAAUCUACACGGCUGCAUGUACAUGGCAAACGAUAAGCUGACCGCACCAUCACUUUUUCAUGUAUUUUGUCAAGGACAUUGGAUGAGUUACUUGUCUCGUCUAGUGGGAUACCAACAGAGAUCCCCUUGGUGAAAAAGAUAUUGAAUACUUGAAGCCCCACAUUUGACUUUCCUUUCUACUUCGCACUACACUGCACUGCUUUGCAGAGAGGGGAGAGAAAGAGAGAGAGUCCCUGGGAUGUAACGAUCUUUGUCUAAGUAGCAUCGACACGCGAUAUAGACAUGCAAUACGAGGAUACGUCGACAUGUAAUUUUUCAAAAAUAAAAAAUUUCGACACGUUGAGGCACAUUAUAAAUUAAAUAAAUAUUUUAAUAAUUAAUUUGAUUCAAAUUCAUAAAUAAAUAAUACAAAAAGAGCUUACAAUAAAUUUACACUAAUAAUAUGAAUAAAUUUAUUUAUAGUUAAUGCAUACCUAUAUUUGGGAACCUAUUUCUAACUUUAACAAAAAUUAUAAAUGAAAUUAGUGACUAAAAAAAGAUUAUAAUCAACUUAUUUAUAUAAAUCUAUGAUAUUUUAUAAAGAUCAAAAUUUAUCAUUAAUUAACAUUCAGUAUUUUUAUUUUUGGAAACUAUUAUUAGUCAAUUUAUUUAUUUUUCUAACAAAAAUAAUCUCGCCGCCCAAAAUUAUUUCCCUCCCUCCUUUUUUUUUCCCAAACCCUAAUUCCCCAAAAAUUAUUUCCCUCCCUUGUUUCUCUCUUUCCCACCCCGCCUCAAUCCCCCCUCUCAGUUUCUUUUCCUCCUUUCUCCCCUCAAUCACCUGUCAUUUCCCUGGAUUCUCUCUCCUACCCACACCACCCCCCCUAAUCACCCGUUGUUUCUCCCCAAGCGCCACCCCAACCCCCGGGGCCCCCCUCUCCGCCUCCUGUUCUUCCCAUUUCUUCCACCCUCCCUCGGUUCUUUCCCUUUCUUCCCCCUUCCCCCAUCACUUGUUAACUGCAAACUCCUCCUCCUCCUCCACCUCGCACGAUCCUUUCUACUCUCUUUCAAUCGCCUCAUCACAAUUGCUCACCACCUCACCUUCGGCCCUUCCUUUUUCACAGUCGUAGCCUCGCCAUCAACCCUCCAUCACAGCAUCGCAAUCGUGACCCUCUAGAUCGUCUUAGUCUCUGUUCUUCCUCUAACCCUCCCUCGUCGCCACGGCCUCGCCUCCACUCCCUCGCCCUCACCUCCCCCCUCCAUUAUCUUCUUUAAUGAUCCUCUCUCAGACACAUGUGUCGGAACAUGUCAAGAAAAGUUGACGAUGUGUUGGAAGAUUCGACAUGUGUUGACCGCAUGUCCGAGCGUGUCAGACAACACGUGUCGUGUCCGAUACGGAAGCUCCGAUAACAUGUCCGUGCUUCAUAAGUCUUUGCUCAAUGAUUCUAUAUUUGUCGAAUGUCUCUUAUUUUGUCUAUUUCGGUUGUCAAUUGCAUCUUCACUUAGUGUGGGAUCAAAACGGCACUAUUAUUCACAAGGAAUAAUGGUACCAUCACCUCAGCAACACCUUUUUUCUUUUUUCUUUUUUUAAUUUCAUUGGAAACUUCUCUUUGUGAUCCUUGCCCUUUUCUCAAUGGAGAAACGAUGAGCGUCGAGAUAGUUGUUAAGGACUAAUGAGUCUCCCGUGGCCUAGCGUGCUCAAGUGUGACAACAUAUAACCUAAUUUUACAUGAAAUUUCAUAAAAAAGUCCACCACAUAUAUCCCGACAUCUGUCAAGUUAUAUAUAUAUAUCACUCAUUGCAUGAAAAAAUUAGGGAUCCAACUUAAUCCUUAUACAAAAAUAUUAAUUUGUAUAGUUUUGCAAUUUGUAUCCUUUAAUAGUAGGGGCAAAGCUAUUUCCAGCUCAUAAAUAAGUACAUCUACCCCUAUUUAUAUUGAAAUGACAAAACUACCCUAAUUGCAGUUUAAAGUGAUGACCCACUCUUUCUUUUCUCUAUUUUUUAUUUUUCUAUUUAUGAUAGCCGCCAUAAAUUGAACAUUGCACAUGUUUUUUUUUUUUUUAGUGUAUUAAAGAAAAGUGCAUGCUCUCGUAUUCCUAUAACGUUCACAUACCCUGUCUAAAAUGAUCUCGUUAAUAGUAAGGAAAAAAGACAUUCUUUGUCUCUUUUUUAUCAUUGAUCUCCCAAUAAUUUUUCUAUUUUUUUGUCCCUCUUAUCUUAAAAGCUUACUUUCAUGGUGAACUUUUUAUUAAUUUCAUUACUCCGCAAUUUUUAAUCAAGUCUCUUUAUUUACUAUAAAAAAAAAUUAUGUUUUUUCCCCUAUUAUACUGGUGAAAUAAUUUUAUACAGAACAUGUAAACCAUUAGAGGAAUAUAUAGGAAUACACUAAAAUAUUACACACAAUGACGAAUUUUGAAUUUUUUUUUGUUAACAUUUCAUAGAUGAUAUUAAUUUUUGUCAAUAAAAAAUAAUAAUAUUUCACUGGCAUUUUCAAAAAGAAAUUAUUACUUUAUGCAAUAUUUUGAUUUAAUUAAAUUUCAUUUACUUUAUUCAUAAAUAGGAUUGACAACACGGAAAAGAAAAACUAAGAAAAACUAAAUUUCUUCGAAAUUUCUCUUUUCGACAAAAAAAAUUUAUGGAAGUAAUAUCUAAGAGAAUGACUUUGAUAUACAUAAAAAAAAUAAAAAGAUGAAAUUCUUAAUUAUGGAAAGUAGAUCAUACAUAAUAUAGAAAAACUAGAAAAAAGGGAAAGUAAAAAAAUUUGGGACAACAAAUUUAAAUUUAAAUUGAAUGAUAAAGGGUAGUUCUGUAUUUUUGGUUAAACAAAUGGGUGAAUUUAGUUAUAUAGGGAGUGGAAGUAGCGCCACCCUAAAAGUAUUUAGGACUAAUUUAUUCGCAUCAAGCAUGUCGCGUGGCAAGGUGAAGACCAAGCUUAUAAAAGUAAAUUUUAGGUGAUAAGUUUCAAAAUAAGUUUUAGGACUUCCAAUACACUUAAUAAUAAUAAUAAUAAUAAUAAUAAUAAUAAUAAUAAUAAUAACAGCUUCAAUCUUUAAGUACAUUUGAAUGGCUUUGAUUUUCCCUCAAGAUGCUUUCCACGCCCCAUACGUUGUCCUUGUACAUUAUGUAUACGGGUCAAGAAACGUUAAAGCAACAAGUCAAGAAGCAAAAGUGAGAUAUGACAAUUCUUAGUGUAUGACCCCUCUCUUGACGAUUGAGAUGAUAGUGCACGAUCUGGAAAACAGUAGAUUAUCUUGCCUACUUCAAUAUCAUAUCAACAUAUAUUAGAUGAAAUAAGAAAAACGACAACCUACCAGUCUUUAUUUUGCGGUCAAUCAAUUAUUCAAAAUAUAUUUUGUUAAAAUUAAUCAAAUGUAUAGCUUACAAAAUUGAAUUAACGAAAAGAUUUUCAUCAUCAAUGAAAAUAUUUAAAAAUAAAUUAUUAUUGAUAAUGAAAAUUCAUUGAUUAAUUUUUAUAAGCGAUAUAAAUAAUUAUUUUAUGAACAUGUCUUCCAAAUUAUGAAUUUGCCACAACAGAAACGCACUGAGGUUGCAAAAAAUAUAUCUUGGGCAAGUCCUUGCUAAUGCUCCUUUGUCAGAAAUAAAACUCGUUGGAACACUAUGCCCAGAGAGAAUAAGUAGAUUUGGUCUUCCGACCAAAUCUAUCGUUUCAAAAUGCAAAACUUAAGAAGUGUUCGAUUUAUGACGAAUCUGUUAAACGAAUCAUUUUUCUAUAAAAACUUGCUUCCUGUCGAUGGUGUCAUCCCUAAGCUACAAGGUUACUUGAUGAAGAUUUGAUUCACUAUAAUAAAUGCUUUAACACACCUUAUUCUUAGAGGAUACAUCAAACAAACCUAUUUGAGGUGGCUAGCAAGUAUCACUUAAAGAGGGGUGAAUAGGUGAUUAAAAAAAAUGAUGAUAAAUUAAUGUGGAAUAGGAUGAGUCAAUAUUAAAAUCUGAAUAAGGGUUAGAUAUUGAAAUGCCGUAGAACAAUCUAUGAAGCACCCAGCAAGUGUGCGAUAAGCAAUAGGAAUGAAUAGUGAGUGCACACAUGAUAUCCAUUUUAUAUCUGUUCUAGAACUAAUUUUUUGUUCCACAAGUUUAGAAUAGGAAUCCGUUUGGUAAUGUAAUUUCAUUUUUCUAUUUCUAGAACAAAUUUUUAGUCCAGAAAUAGGUUUAGAAUAGAAAUGAUAAAUAAAAACUUGCUACUUCUCUAUUUAUGGAACAUAAAUGAAAAAUAAAAACUCUUCUCAUCGCUCAUCUUUGCUACUAGCUGACCACCCACUCACCAUCGCCCAUCGCUACCACGCGCCAUUCGCCAUUCUCCAUUCGCCGCCGCCGCCAAUUGCCACCCCGCUGGCCACCCCUCAUUGUCCGCCGCCACCGCUUGGGCGAGAGAAAUCAUGAGUUGUUAUCAAACGAAUUUCUAUUCCAAGAAUAAAAAUUUUAUGUCAUUAUCAAAUGCAUAUUUUUGCUCAAAAACUCAUCCUAGAAUAUUUAUGUUCUAGAAAUCAAUUUUUUGGUUAUAAUCGUUUUCAUUCUCGCCCUAAGAAUUUAGGGAUAAAAACAUUGUGCAUGAAAUUUAUAAUGAUUUGGUUUAGAUCAAGUCUACAUCAACUCUUUCACAAUGACAGUUUAUUGGUUAGAUUCCACUAGAUAAGUUAUGAAAAGUUACGGUCAAGUUCUGCUACUUAUACGCAAGCGCUUCUACUCAAAACUAGUGCUCCUUAUACCCAAGCCUAUAAGACUUAUACCAAAGCACACACUUAUAACAUUGUCGACAACUCUCAAAUGAUUACAAAUCAAGGCUCACAAGACAAGUGUAUAUGGUCAAAUUACACUCGGACUUUGAAACUAUAAAUUCUACGCUUUGUCUCUUACUUGCUCUUUGAUCUCCUUAAAUACUUCCGCACUUCCAAAUUAGCCAUUGGAUAGUAUUUAUAGGAUUAUAUUCCAAUCUACUUGUUGGAAAAAACUAUAUCAAGAAUAUUGAGUAGCCGUUGAGUGAUGUAAACAAAAUCUCCACUUGAUUUUGGUCGCCUAUAUAACUAGAGUCUUGAUUUCCAUAAGUAGAGUUUCUCUAUUUAGAAAGAGUUUGCCUUCUGGAUUGAUUGGCCAAUCAAUUUGAUUGAGUUAAUCAAAUCUAUUUUGCUGUGAAAUCCAAACCUUAAAGUCUAAGUAUGUAAAGUCUAAGUAUAGAAAGGACUUGUCUUCUGUAUGUAAAGUCUAAGUAUGUUCUAUCUAAGGUAGACUUUAUAAUUUGGACUUAAGUCCGAACAUAUUUAUCCUUAGAGUCUCUAUCUAAAUAGAUUUAACCUUAAAGUUUGAACUUUGUCAUAAUACAAUAUGAAUAAGUUUAGCUUCAAUAUAGAGUCGAGAGAGAGAGAGAGAGAGAGAGAGAGAGAGAGGACUUGGGGAUAAAAAUAGAGGAAAAGAAGAAGCCUGAGUAGAAUCGAGAAGGAGAGAAAGAGAAAAUGAAGAAAAAGGAAAAGAAAGUUGUCACGCACAGUUGCCCUGGAUACAUUGACUGGUCAAAUCAAUUGCGAAUUGUAACCCUUGGUAAAUUUUCAAGCUGAUUAUUCGUCUAAUCGAAGUAAUUUUGGAAGUUAGGGUGCAAACUUUGAGUUAUGUAGAUCUUGAACUUUGAGGUUCAAACGAGGAGUUUUUGAGCUGCCAUUUAUAUGGAAAGGUAGUCUAAGGCAUUAUGGAGCUUUGGGGUUUGACAAACUUCGAUUCCAAAGUACAGUUUGAUCAGAACAAUUUUUUGAAGAUUCGCAUUCGAGUUAUGCGUAGUGGAUAAUUCAAGUAAUGGAGAAUGAUGACAUUUACUAUAAAUGAGCUUCUUUUAUAGCGUGUAGGUGUCAUUUUAUCGAUGUAUAAGAAUAGUUUAGUCGAGUUGUUAAUUAGACUAGCAUAUUACUUGGUUUUAAUAUCUUUUUCGAUUAAUUGAUAAUAAUACGAGUGCGUUGGCUCAAGUAACCACUUUAGGCUGAUUUUUUACUUUUCCAGGUGAGCAAUGCAAUCUCUUCUAAGAAUUUAUAAACUCAUGUAUUCAAAAUAAUAUAUAUUUAAUAUAUUAUGAAUUAUGAAUAAGCAUAUUUGUUGCAUAAAAAUUUGGAUAGGGCAUUUACUACGUUUUGGUAUUUGUGAAUGAUGUGAGAUUUGUUAGUGAAAAUAUUAUAUAUGUAUAUAUAUAUAUUGUUUGAUGAACGAAGUUAAGAAAUAUUGCACAUAUCGAUUUGUGAAAUACUUUAUCACAUGCAUUUAAUUUGAUUUGGUUUACAAAACCAAGGUAUGAGACGAGUCUUGAAAUGGUUUGAGAAUGUUUUAUAAAAAGUGUUUCGGGUAGAUGAGUCGAGUUGCGAAAGUUGUUGGUGAUUGAUUUGUGAAAUGUAUUUUGAUAUGUGAGAUUUUUAAUGGAUUGGAUUUCUCAUAUCGGAGGAUGAGGUUGUGCUUAAUAUUGCUACGAGCCUAAUGAGGGCCUUGUGAGUAUGUGCACAAUAGUCUAGGAUAUCAAUGUGGGCUGAGGCACUAGCUAAUAAUAGGUGAACAACUUGCCAAGAUGAGAAUUUUCAUCACAUUGUCACUAGGCAUUAUGUUGUGACCAUGGUUUAAUAUUGAGUAUAGGAUUGGUUGAUGGAUGGACCAUCGACAUAUGAUUUCAUAAGAGAUGAAUCAAUGAAACAAAAUAUUGAUGUGUGGCAUAGGAUUAACCAAUGAAACGGACCAUUGGCACGUGAAUGACGAGAUUGAUCAAUGGAUUGGACCAUUGAUAUUUGUUACGAAAUUAUUGAUUUAACAAGUGUUUUAUGAUAUGUAUAUGGUUAUGUAAAAGCUAUAUAACCUAUUUUUAUCUAGUAUGUGUAUUAUAUUCUGGAUUUGGAUUAACUAAGCUAUGAUUUGGUUUCGAAAUUGCAUAAUGGAUACUCAAUCUGUUUAGAAGAGAUACGCACUACUCACUGAACUUGUGGUUGUUCACCUUUCUAUUUUCCAAUUCUUUUCAAGUUCUUUAGUUGGCAAUUAGUAGAGCAAGAAUUCUAUCGAUGGGGACUUUAUGGAAGUGGACUUUAGAUAUGGUUUGAGGUUGCAUCCAUUGGAUGAAAGGAUGGCCAUGUCACCUCCGUCUCUACAAGAUUUAGGGUGUGACAAAGUGAAUCAACCCAUAGUUUAGACCUCUUAUGAAAUCCGAUCUUUUUACCAAUUGAUGGAAAAGAAAUGUACUUCCCUCCCCUCCCGGCAUUGCCAAUGCCUGGUGUGCCAUCGCUACCCGCCACACCAACCACCACCGUAACUGAGCCACUGUAUAGGGUAGUAUGACAGCUAUUUGCUAAUUCAACAUGCAGGGAAAUAUGAGGGUGUUACCUGUAUGUUUUUGGAUGUUGGGAAAGAAAUUCAUCAGGAUUAAGCAAUUUUUCCAAUGAUUAUGCGGACAGAAACAUGAAAUUGAAUUAAAUACCUGUUGGAAGUUGCGCGGAAUGGCUGUCGCAUCAAACUUCUUGCGAAAGGUGUUCUGUAACAUUCGGCAGAUUAAAUAACUCCAUCUUUACUAAAUAACUGCAUCUAAUGCUUAGUUGUAACAUUCGGCAGAUCAGGUGCAUUUCUGAGCACAGUACAAGUGUGCAUCCUAUAAUGUUCAACGAUUCAGAGACUGAAAUCCCUCGAGACCCUGAAUCUCUCUUUUUUCACAAGGUCGCAAUUCUAGAUAUCGUAACCACUUUUAAGUUUUGAAAGGUUUGGAAGUUUCUCAAUGUCUUUGCACCAAGAAAUGUUCCGCAACUCCAACGAUUCCAUCUCUUCAAACCUUCAAUCUCACGUAGACUCAUGCAACUUUCAAGAUACCUUCACUUUUUCAUAACAAAGAAUGAGAAAUUUAUCAUUCUCCAAUAUCUGCUCAAGCUCUUUGAGCAGAUAUUGGAGAACGAUCACCAUUUAGGAUGUUAGAGACCAGUACACUCUGCAAAUAUUCUAAGACCCUGGUGUUGCAGGGACGGCUCUCAGAUGUCUGUGACAAAGACAUGGCAUGCAAAUGGUUCAAGAAGUUGGUUGUAACACGACCUCAGCAACAUUAGUCUUACCUGAUUGAUGGUGGUUGUAGAGGCAAUAGGAGUACAGCACGCUAGAUUGGCUAGCUAGUGGUGGUGGUUAAAGCAGUGAUAAACCACCGAUAAACCACUGAUGAUGCGCUGUGUAAAUGUCAUACUUUAUAGUAGCAACAUGUCAAAUGCAGAUCAACGUUCCUAAAUUGCUUAAGAGUUGAAUGGGAUGGGAUUCUACACCAUGUUACUUGAUCACUAAUUUACAACGACAAGGAUCUCUUCCCUAAACACAUUCAAGCAAACCAAGUAUGCAUUCACAUGGCCAGAAAAUAGAAAAAUCCACAACAUCAUAAGUCACACAAAUUCAUGAGUCGAAAAAUUACCCGUCGACCAUGUUCUUCGGUUCCCACCUUGCAAUGAUCCAACCACAUCAAGAUCAUUUCUCUAUCCUUGGAUGGUCUCACAGUCAUAGUGCUUCUCGUGCUGUGAGAAGGCUUUUGCAUAAGGUCCAGAUUGGCGCCGAAGUGAUGGAGCGUGAUAGAAGAUUGCAAAGAUCAUUUGUUUCCUUUCUUCUCUACAUUCAUCCGUACGUGCCACCUCCUCGAGGCACUUUCUACUAGAAACAUAUUCUCUACUCUUUAGAGAAAAUGGGAAGGAAGAUCCUUUCUUGAUGGCUUCUAAAAGAUCAGGGGCACUCUCUUCUCCCGCACGGAGGUCCCUCAUUGUCUUUGAAGACCUUGACACCGGGAUCUAAAAGGCUAUCAUCAGGGAAACCCUUGUGAGUAUCCGAUCCCCUCAAGCUUGAGAAAACCUCAUAAUGAUAUCCUGGUAUAGCAGAGACGUGCAAUUUGCUAUUUACUUGGACAAGCAUUAAGACAAGUCGCUAUUGACUUGCGGUGCAUCCAAUUUGGCAUUUUUACGAAUGGAUUGUGCCCUUCUUCUCUUGCAGAAGUUCGAGAAUUCGACGGAGAAGAUUACUGAAAUUACCGUCACAACACAGGAAAUCCACGUUGACCAAGGAAAGCAAGACGUCACCACCAAAGUACAUAGUUUUGAGGUCAAUUCGCGAUGAAUGUAGACCAAGCAGCCCAAAUGGCGAAUCACAGAGUGAAAGUACGACUAACGAUGACACAGUCAAGGAGGUGGAAAUCUUCUUUGCCUGGUUCCAUUAUCGCUUCAGUACGAUGUUAGCUUUACUUCCACGACAGCCAAACCGGGGAUUCCUCCUCUGAGCACCUUUCCGGUCGUUCCCACAAGUCUUCUUCAAGUUGAUUGAGUUGUUGGGUCGAUAAUCCAAGACACGACAGGAAGCAGAGGUCAAAUGCUUCACCUAUCAGCCCCUCAAAUCAAACCUCCCAGGGGCCAGGGGGAUUAGUAAACAUUUGAACCGUUGUUAAUUCAUUCAUCUCUCUCCAUAUUGAAUACCCAUCAAACGCUAUAGGCAUAGAAGCCAAUCAAAAAACAAAAAUUAUUGCCGAAUCUAAUUAUGGUUCGUUUUACCGACGACCAUUGCCAAUAAACAGAAUUCAACGAACAAAACUCCAUGUUUUUAAGGGGUUCAAUGAAAAAGGAAGGGAAAACGAGAGCAGAACAGAGAAAACACAAAUCAACCAACUCAAGUUGCCAUGAUAAUUCCUGUAUAAAAAUGUACAAUCAAUUGAUCAAAACUCACUGCUUUGCUCCUCCCAUCCGAGAAAACAAGGAAGAAAAUGCAAAGCGAAUGAGCACUUACCACCAACAAAACCAUUACCCCCCAAGACACAAUCACUUGUUCUCCCCCAAGCCCAUCAAUCUCUUCAAACUAGGAAAAAACGCGGAAUCGUUCGAGAAAGACGGCUUCUUUUCCUGCCGCAGGUGCUCCUCGACCAUCUCCACGACGGACCUCGCGGACAGGGGAUGGAAAUCGGCGCUCCAAUUCGACACGAACUCCGCCGCCAUAUCCCUCCGCUCGCCGUCCUCCAUCCUCUCCCACCUCCUCCUCAGCUCGUUUUCCCCC